RNAcentral lists this long non-coding RNA (130809 nucleotides) under Triticum aestivum (bread wheat). Its description in RNAcentral is "long non-coding RNA (TAES_LNC026414)". The record is from RNAcentral. Lineage: Eukaryota; Viridiplantae; Streptophyta; Magnoliopsida; Poales; Poaceae.
GCUGACUCUGUUUAGGGCGUGUGACAACUAGGCACGUCUUCCUGCCCCUGCUCUCUCGUGCUUCAAAUCCCGUCGACGAAUUUGGUAUCCUGAUGAGUCCUUGACAUGAAGAAUUGUAUAGUCUGGUCUGUCUUGCUGGCACGGUGAAAAUGUUGCUUACUUUAGUUCAGUUGAUUGAUCCCUAGUAUAGAGGAAACAUAAGAAAACCGUGCGUCGGUUCUAUUCUAUGGAUGGUAGAUGUGAUGUUGUAUUUAGGGGGUCUUUGACAUGCUGGAUUGGUGGUGCUGCGUUUCUGAUAUCAUUUGUGUAGCCGUGUGGCUUCUGGACGAGGGCUUUCUGGUCUGUCUAGUGGGUGGCGUUUGUCCUGUACUAUGAAGUAAAUAGCCCAGAUUCUAAGCUAUUCCCUCCAUAUAUGUCCUUUUAGUCUUUUUGGAGAUUUAAAUACGGAUUAUAUAGGGAUGUAUAUAGACAUAUUUUAGAAUGUAGAUUCACUCAUUUUGCUCUGUAUGUAGUCCGUAUUGGAAUCUCCAAAAAGACUUAUAUUUAGGAAAGGAGGGAUUAAAACUAAAGGGACGCAUGUUUUUUUGAUGAAACGCUGGUGAAGCAGCUUUUCUUUUCAAUUAGACGCACGUUUUCAUGUAUACCACUUAGAGCAACUCUAGCAGAGCCGUCAUGUGUGGUCGCUGUGAUAUGCCAGAGAGAUUGCAAAGGCAAAAUGUGUGGUAGCCAUCAUAAGGCGAAACGUGUGGUCGCCGUCAUAUGACAUAUAGAGAUUGUGAGGGUGAAACGCAGACUCAAAUUAGCUAAGAAGACAAUCUUCAUAUUUUUCACACACGUGUGUCCUACCUGUAAUUGACUGUAAUGGUUCUUUUCAAAAAGUCAAAAUCAAAACAUAUUUGAUUCAGACUUCAGUUCGAACAAAAGAGAAGCAUUGUUCAUUGUAGACCUCUUACAUCAAAUUGUGCAUAAAAAAUACAUUGUGGUAGAUCCACCAUUUACAAAGCAAACCACAACAAAACAGUUGACAUUUCUGGUGAGACUUUUUCACCUCCCAGUACAUCAUAAUAAGACCCCAUGCAAACUUUCACUCUUUUGGAUCAUAGUUAGGUUGGAUUCAUUUUUCUAAUGAAAAAUGCAAAUGGUGCCUAAAGACAGGAAAAUUAAAUAUAUAUGUAUUGAUUAAGUUUCCCAAACUUUCUCUAGUAGUUUGAUUAAAUCAUGACAACAAAUGUAGACUAUAUUGGAUUGCUAUUCUUACAAGCUGCUUCAAAAGGUACUACUAGUUAUGAACUGUUUGAAGAGUGCACGAAGAGAAAUCAAGACAUGAGAACUGCCAAUGUAAGAUUAUAAUUGUCACCAUCACGGAUAAAAUAUAGGAUCUAAAGCAUCGCUCAUGUGACAUGUACGUAGAAUGAUUGCUCAUUACAGCCAUCUUACAACGAAUUGUGCAUAACACACACAUCAUGGUAGAUCUACCAUUUUCAAAGCAAAGCACAACAACACGGUUGCCACUUCUUGAGAGACUUUUUCACAUUCCUAAUUUAUCCAUAAUAAGACCUCAUGCGAAAUUUCACUUUUUUGGACCAUAUGUUGGUUUUUUUAAUUUAUAUUAUGAAAAAAAAUGCAAAUGGUGCCUAAAUACAACAAGUUUUUUUAGGAAUAUUUCAAUAUCCAUUUGGGGUUGCUUCUUGUGCAGACUGCAUAUGCUGGGGUGGAUGUCCCUUCUUUUUGGCACAAUACAACAAGUUGGUUUGUACGUCAUAUACACAUAUAAAAUUUGUAUAACAACGUAAAAAAUGCAUUUCAAUAAUGUUUCUGAAAGUAUAGAUGAAGAGUUACGGAAGUUCUUGCAUAUGUUAUGAAAUCCCACCAAUUUCUAAAAGUUCAUCAUUAUCGCUCCCUCAAUACUUCCAACCACUCCAAAAAAUUUGUCCCAUUAUAAUUUUCUGCCUCCCUCUCUUCUCCCCUAGAUCCGGCACCAUCCCGAAGGCGUAUGGUUCCAUCUCCGACAAACUCUGAAGCGGGAACAUCCGCAAACCUUCUCCGCCUACCGUAAAACCUAACCAUAACGACCAGGUGUUCUCCCCCUCCUGCCCCACCCAACGCCCUCUAAUAUUUGGAUGUGCGUAUAAAUUUAUACAUGUUGUUCAUUUGUCCUCUUGAUGUAAUUACACCUAUGGUUACUUCUGCAAGAAUUCCAAUUCUGGAUUUGUAUUAUGAUAUGAACUGCAAGUCAUUCUAUCUAGGUUUAUAGUUAUGUUCCCAUGUUCUUAUUAAAAUUACUGUACUAAUGAUUUAUUAUGUUUUGAGGAAUGUAUGAUUAUUUCUUAUUUACGUAGCAUGUUAUAGUUUAUCCAAUCUAGAAGUAUGUCUCGUUCUACCUAAGACAAUACAAGAUUAUUUAUUGACACUUUGUAUUUAUGGAUUCUUUGAUAAGUUAUACAUAUAUAUUCACGUCAAUGAUGAAUGUGCAUAUUAGCAAGUCGUCAUUGAUAUUCAGCUGCUGCCACCAAAUCAGCACAUGUAUAUGAGAGGGUAAUGUUAGAGACCAUGAAAGAGAAGACUGCUCGAAUAUCCGAAUGUAUGAAGAAACAUUGUGUUGGUAAUGUUGGUCUACUAGAUUUUGCCUCUGUAGCACAUUCUUUUGUGUAUGGUGGUGCACAAUAGGAAGUUGAGAUAGAUAAAUAUUCAAAGGAGGCAUUUGAUGUCUAUGAGAUUAAAAUAGCCAAAUAGGUCUCUUGGAAACUCUUCUCGUCAGAUCCAGAUUUAUUGUGUAUUAUAUUACCAGCCUUGCUAAAUCAUUGUUUGGAACUUUAUCUCAUCAAGUGCAUUCCACCAAGUAGUGGAUGGUUCUACAAUGGCAUGACACAAGAAGCGUACCAAAGCUGAUGUGCCUUCCUCAUUGAUUCAACAAAGAAGUACAGUAAACCCAACUAUCUACACGAUACAACUUUGCUUGUUGAUUGCAAAUGCAUCUCUACUAUGUAAUUCUACCAUAACACAUUUAUUUAAACGUGCACUGCUUAUGUUGUAACAUCCAUGGUGCAUGAUCUCUGAAAGGAAAUCUUAAUGUUGACUUAAAGGAUGAAUUUUGCCGCACAAAUGCGCAUUGGUAUUUUUAGAGGAAAGUGCUCAGCAAUGUAAAUAUCACACUAGGAACAUAUUUUGGAACGCUAAUCCCUUACCGAGCAUACUCAAGCAAUCUCCCAUUAGCCGCUCUUUACUUUAUAGUCAAGCGAUUGCAAACUCCUUAUUUAGGCUAGCUACUUUGCGGAUUAACAAGAUUAUCGCAUUCGAGUUGUGACAAUUCUCUAGCAAGUAAUGAAUCUGAGGUCAAAGCCAAUGAGUAUGCCGGAUGUUGCAUUUUCGUGUUGAGGGAAGGUUGGCUUGACAGGCUUUGUUCUGGAUGUUGUAACCUCUUCUAAUGGUCUUUGUGUGUGCUUUAUUAUCUCGUUGUGAGAAUGGCUAGGACUAUGGAUCCACAUGCCCCUCUAGUCAGUACUUUCUGAGUAGAGCAAGGCUUCUUCAUUGGCAAAUAAACGAAUUAAUGAAUUAAUUUCCUAAUAUGAAGUGAACUGAACUAGCAUUGAUCAAGUCCAUGAGAUCAGAAGGAGUUCUUCACGUGAAAAAGUCCACAACUUAGCUUAAUUCAAUAGAAAAGAAAGUAUCCAAUCGACUUUAGGAGCGCCACACUACUAGGAAAAUGGCUAUAGAUGAUAUGGUCACUAAUGGCACACCAGACAUGUGGUGCGUCAUUACUAUAUACUAAUGGCGCACCAUGUGUUGGGCUCCAUUAGUAAUAUAUUACUAAUGGCUAAUGGCGCACCUGGUGUGUGGUGCGCCAUUAGUAGUUUUGAAAAAAAAAAUUAUUACUAAUGGCGCACUGUGGUAUAGUGCGCCAUUAUUAGUUGACAUAGUAAUGGCGCACCACACCCACCGUGCGCCAUUAGUAGUUUUGAAAAAAAAAUUGUUAGUAGUGCCGAGCCCCACCUCCCCUCGCCACCCCCUUGCCCCACCUCCCCUCGCCCCGUCGCCCCACCGUCCCAACCACCCGCCGCCGCCGCCACCUGCCACCGCCCCCUGGCCNNNNNNNNNNNNNNNNNNNNNNNNNNNNNNNNNNNNNNNNNNNNNNNNNNNNNNNNNNNNNNNNNNNNNNNNNNNNNNNNNNNNNNNNNNNNNNNNNNNNNNNNNNNNNNNNNNNNNNNNNNNNNNNNNNNNNNNNNNNNNNNNNNNNNNNNNNNNNNNNNNNNNNNNNNNNNNNNNNNNNNNNNNNNNNNNNNNNNNNNNNNNNNNNNNNNNNNNNNNNNNNNNNNNNNNNNNNNNNNNNNNNNNNNNNNNNNNNNNNNNNNNNNNNNNNNNNNNNNNNNNNNNNNNNNNNNNNNNNNNNNNNNNNNNNNNNNNNNNNNNNNNNNNNNNNNNNNNNNNNNNNNNNNNNNNNNNNNNNNNNNNNNNNNNNNNNNNNNNNNNNNNNNNNNNNNNNNNNNNNNNNNNNNNNNNNNNNNNNNNNNNNNNNNNNNNNNNNNNNNNNNNNNNGGAGCCAGGCCCGCCGCCGCUGCCCUAACCGCGGCCGUCCACCACCACCCCCUGCACCCGGAGCCAAGGUGAGCAUAUUUUUGUUUUUUUCUACUGUUUUUCUUUGCUGUUUAGGUUUAAUUAGGUUAUUGAUAGGUUUAGGUUAGUGCUAGAUUUAGGUUUAGAUAAUUAGAAGAAGAAGAAAGUUGAAAAAAAGAAGAAGAACUAGAAGAAGAGGAAAAAGGAAAAAAGGGAAGAAGAAUAAGAAGAAAGUUGAAAAACAGAACAAGAAAGGAAGAAGGAGAAGAGGAGGAGGAGGAAGGAGAAGAAAGAAAAAGGAGAACAAGAAAAGAAGAGAGGUGGAGAAGAAGAAGAUGGAAAGGAAAAGGAAGAAUGCAUCAUUGUUUAAUUGUAGAGGUUGAUGAUCGAAAAGUUGACCUUUCUUAGGAGUAGCAUCUUCAAAUAAGUAACCCUUCAUGUCUUCAAAUAAAAUAACAGAACAACAUAACUCAGAAGGGUAAUAUAACCAAGAAUGCAUCUUCGAGGACGAGAGCUUUUUUCAAGUGUUUAUUUGCUGCUUCCUCAUAAGCAACGAGACAUCUCUGAGGACAGAACAUCAUUUUAGUAGGAUGUAACAAUCAUUAGUCCGAGAAGAAUGAUAUUAAAUAACAUAGUAGCCUGUGAUGUAUUUUCGUACCGAAAAUGCAUUUGGCACUAGUCCUCGCUUAACAACAUCAUGGGUGGGAAGCGGGAACUUCGGAAGUGCAUCGGUGUAGUUGAUUAUCUUCUGCUCAAAAUUUAUGCUGCUAUAAUGUUGUAUGAUAACGUUGUAAGGGUACUAAUUGGUCUCUUCUGCUGCUUAUCAGAGAUGGGGGGAAGCAGCCACCGCCGCUCUGCCUCACCGGGGUACGAGUUGGAUACUUUCGAGUUCUUCAGUAUCAUACUUGGGACUUCAGUAUCAGCCACGAGGUAGGUAUAUAAAACGAGAGAUCUCCUCUUCACCCAUCUCAUUAUGAUAACUCUAUUGUUUGCUACAUCACUCCUUGUCCCAAAUUGCAGAGGCUGCCUGACACUUUUAUGAACAUGCUGGGUGAAGAUCCGCCAGAUAAUGUGAAGCUCCGACAGGCCGGCAGCGGGGUUCGCAGGAUGUGGGACGUGGAGUUGGUGAUCGAGGAGGGCCACAUGUACCUGUGCCGUGGCUGGGAGAAGUUCUACAGUGCCUACGACCUGCGGACCGGGUACUUUCUUCUCUUCGGGUAUGACGAUGACGCCAUAAUGCUCAUCGUGAAGGUUUUCAACGCGACUAUGUGUCACAUGCGCUACGCUGAUGAUGAAGAUGCCUGUGCGUUCUGCCUCUUCUUAUUCCUCUACAUCUGGCUUUGUCUCACAUCGAUUGUUAACGGUCAUUGUUGCAUUUGGACAGGCAAUGGGAGCAGCAGUAGCGACACCAGCUACAGCCAAAGCAGUAGCGAUUAUGGAUGUAGCAAAAGCAACAGCGGUUCUAGCUUUAGCGAAAGCAGCAGCGAUUCUGGCAGCAGCAAAGACAACAAGAAGGAUGAUCCGGACUGGAGUGGGGGAGAAGAGGAGCAGAGUGGGGAUGAGGAGCUGCAGGAUGACGAUGGGCAUCAGGCUGAGGAUGACCUAGCGCUGGUGGUGGUUGACCAAGGGCAAGAGAUGGUGGUGGCCGACCAUGGGCAAGAGAUGGUGGUGGCUGACCAUGGGCAAGAGAUGGUGGUGGCUGAGGAUGACCUAGCGAUGGUCGUGCCCAUCCUGCCUGAAGGUGGCCUCGCGAUGGUGGUGGUGCCUAACAAUGACCACGCACCGGUGGUGGCGCCAGCAAUCCCACAGCUGGGCGACAUGACCACACCAAUUGUGGUAGAAGUCUACAUCCCACAGCUGCCUCCACCGCCUCGCCGCUCUUGGCGCAUCAGGCUGAGGAAGGAGAAGGAGAAGAACAAUGAGAACUGAACUAUGUCAGGUAUGUCAGAACUGAACUAUGCUUAGUUUCCUAUAGGUUAGCUCCAAAAUUACUUAUGUUAGCACAAAAUGAUCAAGUUUACAUAAUAAGCUUAUAGUCUUCUUCUUAUUCUUUUUCUUUUCCAAAAUGACAUAUGUUAGCUUCAUUUUACCUAAGUUGGCUCUAAUAUGCUAACUUAGAGCUUAUAUGCUUAGUUUCCUAUAGGUUAGCUCCAAAAUAACUUAUGUUAGCACAAAAUGAUCAAGUUUACAUAAUAAGCUUAUAGUCUUCUUCUUAUUCUUCUUCUAGUGUUCUUCUUCUUCUUCUUCUUCUUCUUCUUCUUCUUCUUCUUCUUCUUCUUCUUCUUCUAACUUCUUGUUUAUCAUUUUGCAGAUUUGAUUUAAUUCACAGAAUCUUGCAUGGAUGGAGUGCUUCUUUUCCAUUUGUGUUUUUGUUUUGUAUGAAUGUGAAACUUUUGUGAAUUGAUGGAUAACGGUGUUGGAUGAACAAUGUGAAACUUUUGUAAUAUAUAACGAUGGAACUAUGUGUUGGCUAUGUAUGUAUAUAUGAUGAAACUUGUGUGUUGGAUAUGAUUGUUAUAUGAAUGCUUGUUGUAUAUAUAUGUGUUGAAUAUCUCAUACGUGAAAUAGUGACCUGAGAUUAAGAAAAAACGAUUUUUUUAAAAAAAUUGUUACUAAUGACGCACUUCCAUGGCGCACCUGUGGUGCGCCAUUACUAAAAUAUACUAGUGGCGUGGUACUAAUGGCGCACCUAUAGUGCGCCAUUAGUAGCCAAAACAGGUGCGCCAUUAGUAGGCCUUUUCCUAGUAGUGCCAUAUAUAUGUUUCUAUCUGAAACGGUAAAGUGAGGCUCGCUAUAAGGGUCAUACUAGUUCAGGAUUGGUAGGAAAGUAAUACAAAUGACUGUAAUAUGACAACCCUCAGGGGAGCUAGCCUUUGUGUUAAGAUUAAAAAGAAGAGUCCUCUUUUCAUAUGACUCGGUGAUUCCAUUUCUCUAUCCGGCCGCAAGAUUCGACCGCGUACAACAUGAGCACGAGAUGGGUUGGGGACUUAGAAAUGAGCCAUGCUCCAAGAAUUUGACCCCUGAACUACCUUUGUCUGCCUUUUCUUGUAGAAUCCAUUCCCCCUCUUUUAUAUAUUUCGGAUGCUUUUAUGGCUAGUGGAAUGAGGCUCGAACCCAUCAAUAUCGCUAAACCGGGAGAGUUACUUGUGUUGGGUUCAAAGUUUCGCUCUGCCAAGGCAAGAUAUAAUAUAAUAUGCAUCUAGCUUUAGAUGAAUAUAGUGAGUGUUCAGCGAAGUAUGCUAGCCAUUGGCCUUAUGUUCAGGACACUCCUUUCUGUCUUUGUAAUGCUUGGUUAUAAGAGAAUGUUGCUCUUUAGAAAAUGUGUAUAGCGGCCUUCGUCGAUGUGACAAAAGCUCCAGUGUAUCAGUUACAAGGCAACUAACAUUUUGUCGCAGACUAAGGCAUAUCCUAGUGGUGGGAAGGGGCUGAUGCCUUCCCACCCAUCUAGGUUCAAGGCAUGGUACUUGCAAUUUGGGUUUAUUGCACCAAUUAUACUGUAGGGGGUUUCCUUACAGUCUUUUUGUAAAAAAAACUAACAUUUUGCCAUGGAAGUUCGUGAAAAAAUGUUCUUAUUUUUAUAGGAAAAACCAAAGAUGGCGUCAAGAUCAGUCUCCUUUCUCUUUUCGGGAGCAGAGCUGAAAAGGAUAGGAAAUUCCAAUGAAUCUUCAUUCAUUAGAUGUUGAUUCCUCACAACCAAUCUUUGUGAUGCUACGAAAGCAUGGCAAUUAGGAUCUCAAGACGCGGCAACACCUAUGAUGCAAGGAAUCAUUGGCUUACAUCAUAAUAUCUUUUUCUUCCUCAUUCUUAUUUUGGUUUUCGUAUCGCGGAUGUUGGCUCACGCUUUAUGGCAUUUCAACGACCAAACUAAUGCAAUCCCACAAAGGAUUGUUCAUGGAACUACUAUCGAAAUUAUUCGGAACAUAUUUUCAAGUGUCAUUCUUUUGUUCAUUGAUAUACCAUCAUUUGCUCGAUUAUACUCAAUGGACUGUGGUAUUAGUAGAUCCAGCCAUUACUAUCAAAGCUAUUGGACAUCAAUUGUACCGAAGUGCGCCUCUUAGCGAGGGUCAUUUAAGUGCAACAAAAUGUACCGGUGGUUUGCGAAGCAUCUGGCUUACCGGUCAUCUCCUAUUCCCGUCGCCAAGAGACUAGAAGAACUAUAGCAUGCCAGAAACGUGGAGUUGAGGUGGUUAGACCUAUACCCUGAAAUUCUCCUAGCAUAGGAGCCUAUGGUUCCAUUCUUGUUAUUGCUGGAGGUACACAUACCUCUUCACGGUGUGGUGGAGCGAUAUACGAAAAAUAGAUGCUAAGCCUGCAAUGUACGAUAACAGGGCUUCAGUAGUGAAUCUAUCAGGACCACAACAGUGGCAUACAACUUUGGACCUAAGGGUUGGUAUCGUUACCUUUUGGAAUGGGGGAUCCCCAUUGGCAACACCCACGGUAGUAGUUGCAGAACUACUGGGCCAAGAGAGGACAACCUGUUGUUCCUGCUCCUCCUUCUUCUCUUUGGGGACGGAGGUCCUACGGUAGGUAAGAGAACGCAUAAGCACUUGACCGAAGGGGACCAGCGCUUCUACUCCUUCAUCGAGGAGCCGUUCUUGCGAGAAGCAAGGGAUGUCGUGAACGAUGGGAGGUCAAAGAAAGAGAAUUGACCUCUGAAUACAGUGAUCCUAUGAUCCAAAUAGACUCCGUCCUUUUUUAGAUAAGGGUAACUCAAGAAAUUGGGGGUGGGAGGUGCUGGCAUAAUGCAUGUUGGAAUGUGGGAAUUCGAGGUCUCAUGAACAAGUUUUUUUUGUGGACAAACAUACUUCCCGGUCUUUUUUAUGGAUCCUUUUAGAUCUACGAGCCACUACUUCCUUCGUUGGCCAUCAAAUCUUGGGCGCACUCAGUAUUACAAGGAAUAUGUCAAAAUUUGGCAAUUUUCUCGGGCCAUUUGCUAUAUUUAUAAGACAUUAAGUGCAUUUUUAUGCAUUUAAUGAAUGUCAUGAAACUUUGAAUUGCCUAUGCAUGAAAUGAUGGCCGAAACUGGAUUAAAAUAUAUUAUUGAUGGUCUUUCAUAUAUGUUUAGCCCAAAAAGCACAAAAUAAAGGAAGUCUCAUACAAUAGUUGCCAAGAUCCGACCACCGAAAAUGUAGGUUAUUGCGAUAUGAAUUCUCAUAUUCAAACAAAAUCAAAAUUCUGAGACUUGGCAUGGUGUCAUUAUAUGACCUCCAGAGGCUGUGAUAAAAUUUAAGAAUGUUUCACAUAAGUUAUCAUGUAGACUGCUUACAGGCUAGGCCAUCCUCGAAGAACAAACUAGGUUUCGAGAGGGCAUGGAUCAGGUUUGUAUUAGGAGCGAUGGUUGUUUCUCCAUUGGUCUUCAAUUUUUUCUUGCACGGAACAUACAUCAUUACAGGUAACAUGUCAAAAGGUGUCAUUUCGGAGGGUCGUUUUCUAUAUUUAAGCCAUUAAGUGCAUUUCUAGAAAUUUAUGAGAUAUAAUUCAAUUUUUAACUACAUAUACACGAAAUUAUGGACAAAAGUGGGUUGAAAAUAUUAUUUGUGGUUUUUAGUAUAUGUGUUGCCCAUAUACAACAAAAUAAAAGACGUCUCAUACACCAUUUGGCCAAGACCCCGCCAUAGCCAUGUAGGUUAUUCCAAUUUUAAUUCUCAAAAAUUCAAACAACGCCCAAAUUUCCAGAGACUUGGCAUGGUCUUUGAUAUGAUCCCUAAAGGAUGUGGUAAAAAAUUGAGAUUUUUUCGCAGAAGUUGUUAUGUAGUCUGCUUACACACCAAACCAGCUGCAAGGAAGGAGCUAGGUUUCGAGAAGAAAAGAACUAGGUUUGUAUGUGAAAUGAUCGCUGCUUACUCGGUUGUCUUGAAACUCAUUCCACUCUCAACCAACACCAUUAUACAUGUGAUAUGUCAACAUUUGACAUUUUUUCAAGUAUGAUCUAUUUGUAAACUUCAUUACACCAUGUACCUCCAAUAAAUACCUUGAAACUUAAUGUCCUAAAAAUAACUAAUUAACCAUAGGAAGUGUCAAACUUUUAGACAUAUACAACCGCAUAAUGUUGAAAUAUGACACCCUAUAUGUCCGCGGAUGCGCUCCGAAGUUCAUCACCCCUCAUUUGUCCAUGCUGCAGCUACACCCCUCAUAUGUAAACCCCUUUUUUCAUACGAAUCCAUGCAACCUAAAAUUCAUCACACGUUCAUCAUCAUACAUAGAUAAAACAAGCUCCAUUCGAAUGAAAACUACCUUACUUGUACUCAUCGUCGAAGAUGUGUAUGACCCCCGUGCCGGUCGAACCAGCCUCGUGGUCAUUUGUGGCGUCGUCUUAUUUUCCUCGUCAUACUUCUUGAGUUCCACAAAGAGUUGUUCCCACCUCAUGUCGGCGAGGUGGAUACGAUGGAGGUUCUUCGCCACCUCCUGAUACUUGGAUUCGAUCGAGUCCAAGAGGGCGGCUUGCUUCGUCACGAACUACGUUGCUACCUCCGUGGCUUAGGCGUGUAGGAACUCCGCCUCGUCCAUGCCAAAGCCGUCGGCCUCAACCUCCAUGUCCAACACCUCCUCCAUGUCAUCCAUGCUUGCCUCCUCCUCCUCCUUCCCUAGCACAUCCUUCUACUACGCCGCAAUUUAAAAGGACGCUCUUCGGCAACACACAUAUCGGUGGCGAUCUUCACCCAACGCUUGGGCGUGAGCAUUUUUUUAGUAAAUUAUCUUUUCCCCAACCAUCACAGAACUUGAGUUCGAAGUUGCCCAUGUGUCAAUAUGUUUUGGCAUGUCUCAUCCACUCUUUUGUUCAUACAUUUCUCAUGUCUACACUUGCUUUACUUAAAACAUGGCAAUUCUUUUAAUUUGCCAUGAUCACAUGACAAUUGAUUUUUAUGGCAUGUCUCCCCUCUUUUGCCAUGACAAUUUUAGUUUUUCUGAAAUCUGAUGUUAAAAUUCAUAUAUACUAUAAUGGCAAAAUUUUGUGUAACAUUCCAUGGGAAAAAUCUUUUUCUUCAAAAUGGCAUGGUAAAGUCUUUUUUUAUAGAUCAUGGCAAAUUUAUUUAUUUGUAACAUGUAAAAAAUUACUACCUUCGCUCGAUAAUGUAGUGCAUAUAUAUUUUUAAAAAAGUCCAACCUCACAAACUUUGACCAAGUAUGUCGAGAAAAAAGAUUUACAUCUAGAAUGCCAAACAUAUUUCAUCAGAUUCAUCAUAAGAUAGAGUUUCAUAUUUUAUAUUGUAGAUAUAAAUAUUUUUUCUAUAAACUUGGUCAAAGUUUACAAACUUUGACUUUUCCAAAAAUGUAUACGCACUACAUUAUAUAAUAGAGGGAGUAAUUUUUAUGGGACCAUGGAAAUUUAAGUCCAUGAAUCAUGGCAGGUUUUUAUUUAUUUUUGCAAGUAAAAAAAAUAAAAACUCCAUCCGAUCCGAAUUUGAUGCAUCCUAUAUACAACAUUGUAUAGAGGUUGUAUAGUGGCUGCGUCAAUUAAUUCGGAUAGGAGGGAAUACUUUGUUUUGGGACGAUGGCAAUUUAAGUUCAUGGAUCAUGCCUAUGUUUCACUACAUGAAUGAGGUGGAAAAAUUUAUUUCACAUGCAUUUCAAUUUUCUUAUACAAAAGCAUAAAAUUAUAAUUAAAAUAAUACGGAAAAUUUUAAUAUGCAUCUGCCAUGGCAAUUUUUGUUCAUAUUUUGUGUUUGUACUGGUUAUUCUAUUCUUUCAUGUCAAUUUUUGCCAUGGCAAUUUCAGACACCUAAAAUUUUGCCAUGGCAAUUUCACACACGUAAUUUUUUGCCAUGGCAAUACUGGGAUAUUGCAAUGAGCAUUAUAAGAGAUUGUUAGAGUAUUUCCCAUGUUUUUAAAGAAAUCAAAAUGUUGUGAAACUUGCCAAUGUAAAAAAGAUAACAUAAUGACAAAUUGUAAAAUAUUUUUUCUACUCGAAUAGCAUUUUUUUAAAUUCCAUGUUAUAAAAAAUGAUGGCAUUUUAAAAGUGAAUGGGUGUAAUAUAGUCAUGUGGCCAAAAAUCUAUUUCCUGUUAUUUUAUUUGCGCCUUGGCAUUUUUAUGACUUACCACAUGGCAAAUCUCCCCUUGUACAUCAUGGCAGUUUUGUUGGAUUUUUUGUUCAAGUAUUCAAAAUUAGGUCCAAACACAAGUUUUUAAGUCUAAUAGAGGCGUCUUCCAGUUUGAAGGUUUGUUAGUACUCAGCAGGAAUCCUGGACUUUUUUUUUCUUGUUGUGGCAUAACGAUGAAGUUGCGGUGAGGGAAGGGCCAUUUAAAAGGCUAAGGCAUGUAGGGGUGAUGAGCAGACCGAGCGUUAGUUUGUUACUUAUUAUGGUUAGUCUAUGUACCUGGAUUUAAUUAAUUCUGGCCCAAUCCUAAGAUCAGUUAACAUUUGGAAAAUUAAAGUGCCGCUCAGAGUCAAGAUAUUCAUGUGGUUUGUCCAUAAGGAAGUGAUUCUUACCAAGGACAAUCUCCUGAGGCCACAAUGGGUUGGCAGUUCUCGAUGUUGUUUUUGUGACCAUGAUGAAACAAUACAACAUCUCUUCAUUGGCUACCCACUAGCCAAGAUACUCUAGCGCACGAUUCAUAUAGCCUUUAACAUUAGCCCUCCAACUAGCAUAGCCACGUUGUUUGGGACUUGGUUAGCGGGUGUGGAGCCUAUUACUAUGGGACACAUUCGGAUUGGAAUAUGAGCUUUACUCUAGGUUAUAUGGAAUUGCAGAAAUGAUAUGAUCUUUAAUGGAAAAAAAAACUUUACUAAUUUUUUGCAGGUCAUCUUCAGAGCUACUGCAUGGAUCCGUACAUGGUCGUUACUCACUCAUACGGACUGCACGGAGCUUUUUGUUACUGGGUGCAAUCGGUGGAAGACGGUAGCACGGGAUAUCUUCAACCGGUUUGGAUGGCGAUCCACUAACAGGAUAGGUGUUUAGUCACUGGGUCCUAUGAAUCUGCCGAUUGUGGCUUGAUGAUUUUUUUUCCGUUAUUUGUUUGGUUUGUUUGCUUCUUUUGCGAGCUGUACUAGAUUGCAGACUUGGCUACACUUUAUUUUGUGUUAAUAAAAUGGCCGCAUGCAUCAUUAUGAUGCAGAGGCCGAGGGUCUUCCUCCUUUUCCAAAAAAGAAACCCUUAAUUCCUUUAAAAAAAAUUUUGUUGCACAUAUACUUCCUUAAUUAAAAAAUAUAGGAUGAUCUAUGUUUUAUUUUCUGAAUUAGGAAUAUAUAGACACGUUUGAGUGUGUUCACUAAGUUCAGUUUAUAUAUAGUUCAUACUAGGAAACAUGUCCGUGCCUUGCAACAGGAAAAUGAUAAUAAUCAAUCAACAUAUACACAUUAGAUUAUGUAGUUUUUUUCCCGCAAAAAAACGAUUAUGUAGUUUUCUUAUUAAUAAUUCCAUGAAGUCCACUUAACAUUGCUUAAGCUCGACUUUCAAAUUAGUAACCAUCAAGGUUACGCUAUGUCAAGCAGGUGUGAAGCAACAUAAUGAUCAUGUCCUAAAGUGGUCCUCAAAAUUCAGGAGUGGACAUCCACGCUCAUAGUCAUUGGUGUGUAGUAUUUUUUCAAUGAAUUAACAUGCCUUUACCAAAAGAUGUGAAUCAUCCAUACGACCAUGUCCCGGCAAUGUAUAUCUUUAGUGAGUGUAAUAGACAAAAGUCUAAUAGGUGUGAGACACUGCAUCAAUUCUCUCUCUUUUUUUCUUGUGGGGAAGACAAUACACUAAUUCUAAAUUGAACUCUUCUAAAUUCAUCUUUCCUUCACCACAAAGCUCCAAAAACUAAAAAAGUAGAAAACAUUCAAAAGGUUAGUAAAUAUAUUAGUUAAAUGAGAAUAUAAACAGAUGAAGUAGCAAUGUUCAAUAAUAAAUACUUGGACAGGGAAUGAAUUACUCCUCAUGGAUUUGCUGAGGUGCAACACCAUGACCUUACAACAGCAUCCCAUGUCAAGGCGAUGUGGCUUGCAUUCUAUGUGCACAAUAGUUGUGGUCAAACGCUGCUCCAAGUGUAGUAUUCUCUAAUCGAAUCCAGCGAUGCAGUAGCACCUCUAUGGACGUAACUCAACUGCAUGAACACAUCCUGCUGCAACGAUGCUCAUAAUGGCCGAUAGCAGGCUCUACUCGACUGCUCCUGCAAGGAUGUCAUGCUGAACCCCCCGACUCCUUGCUGGCCAACACCAGUUUAAAGCCAGAUAAAACCAGUCAUAGAAAAUAUGCCAGUGAUCCUAAAAGAUUAAAAUAUAUGAUGUCAAAUGCAAGGGACGGUGAUCAGAGGGCCAUAAUGCCAGCAACCAGCCAACGGCACGUAGAGGCACUUUUUAUGUUGUUUUCGUACAGACUAAAAUCCAGAAAAAAUAUGUGCUUAAAUAACACCUUUUUUGCAUCAGAGACUUGUAUAUAGUUGUAUAGACUGGCUAAAUAGCUUGUUCAAUAUAAUCUGGUCUGCAUAAGCAAGUUGCUCUACUGCCUAUUCACAACCUACCUUCCUUUAACUUCAAUUCAAAUGUUUCAUGGCAUGCUUAUCAAUCAACCAGAGUAACCGCAGCAUGAAGUUUCACAUACACAAGACCAAUUCAUCAAAACAAAAAAAACUUAAUAAUAGGACCAGGUUUUGCAAGUCCUGGACUGUGUCAUUGGUUCUGUUAGACAUUAUAACUUCACACGUCUUAAGAUUAAUUAAUGAGAUUUAUCUGUUGUCUCAAUAAAUAUAUGAUCAAACUUGUCUCCCUUUUGCUUCACCAACUUCAGAAGGAUUUCUACAAGAGCCCCCUCGGAUAGUACAACACAACAGCAAGUAUUCACCACCACAAUGUUUUCAGCAAAGGAUGAAUGAACAACAAUCCUCUUCCCAUGUUGCGAUGUUAAAAUAUGAUUCAGAAGGGUUGUCUGUGAAAGAGAGAGUGAGAGAUUUAAGAGCUAAGAUUAGCUAAUCUUAACAAAAACUAUUUAUUUAAAUCCACACUGGCUGUAAUGAUUAUAUUGAUAGCGCAUCAUUUUCUCAAUCCUGAAUUCCUAUUGUGAUCACCUAGGCAUUACUGGACAAUUGGUUUAGAUUUCAGACAUGACUGGCUUCCAUAGCCUACAGCUCCAGUUAGUAAGCGAGGCGGAACUUGUAUAUGCCGAGGAAGUCGGUAAUGAACUGAGCAUGUGCUACACAGUAGGCAGAACACUUAGAUCCAAACACAGUGGUCCAUGUAGAACAGCCUCACCGGUGAGAAGGCACUCUUUUCCUACAAAUAUGGUUGCCCUGCACAUCGUCCUUCUCCUCAUACAUUUUUAAAAGGGGGGCCAAGGGAUAAUUAGAGUAAUUAAUUCUACCAGUGUUAGGAUUUCAGAUGGUACCGAGCAGAGUUACCUCCAUAUCCCAACUAUCAACAUCGUCAACACACUCAGCACACUGAUUAUGCCAAGGCAAUUCGAAUUUCAAAAUCUGUCCUGAUGCCUCAAGAUGUCUUUUGUUCUUCAAUCGCAAAUCUCAAAUAAGCUCUGGAUAAACAAAACCAUGGAAACAUGAGCAAGUUCUAAACUAUGUUUGUGUGGACACAACUAAGGGAAAGUAAUGGCCUAAUUCGGUUCUUUCUAAUACAGUAUGAUAUAUGGACACAAUUUCUAAGAAAAUAAAUACGGAUUGUGGGCACAUGCAUGAUACCUUUGCAUGCUCAAACGGACUGGUCGCAUCGAGGAUAAUUAAGCUCCCAAUGCUAGCAAGUAAUAAUUCUUAUAUAUCUCUAGAACCAAUUUCUUCACGCAUGGUUUUGGAAUAUUGCUACCAUGUCAUUUCUUUUGCUCUUCCAUAGGUAUACUUCUUCAUCUUCAGCUUCAACAAUUUUUUGCUGAACCAUCAGACAACACCACCAAUAUCAACAAACAAGAUUAAAAUAACCAAAAUUUGGUUUCGCACACAGUGAGAGACAACGGGCUGGGGCGAUUAGCACAGGAUUUUCCGACGGCGUGCAGGAGCAGGGCCUGGACAACGUAUGGAAAAAAACUACCAACGUAUGGAACCCCCCUUUUCCUAGAAGGAACCGCGAAGCAAUCCCACCAUCCGGCAUCUGCCUGGGUAGUGGGCUCCAUCUCAUCUCAUCUCAUCUGACUAUAAGUUGAGGACUACUCCCUCCGUAAACUAAUAUAAGAACAUUUAAAUAACUAAAAGUAGUGAUCUAAACGCUUUUAUAUUAGUUUACAGAGGGAGUAGAGUGUUAUGGCCGCAUCGUCGUCGCCGUCCCCAGUUCACGUUCACUUUGCACCUUUCCUCUCGCCUUGCGCCACACCCGCAAAAACCCUAACUCCGGAGGCACCAUCAUCAGUCAUCACAUCGCCGGGCGAGAUGUGCGGGCGCCAGAAGGGCGGCGACAUCGAGGCGGGGACCUCCGGUGGCACUACUGGCACCGCGGUGCCGGCGCUGGCGCAGGUGCUGGCGCAGGUGCUGUACCCCGGCAUGGCGUAGAGCCCUGCGCUGUGCUGGGCGCUCAUCCGGAAGAUCUACGUCAUCCUCUCCCUGCAGCUUCUCCUCACUGCCGUCAUCGCGGCCGUCGUCGUCAAGGUCCCCGCCAUCCCCCACUUCUUCGUCUCCUCCUACGCCGGCCUCGGGCUCUACAUCUUCAUCCCCAUCCUCCCCAUCAUCGUCUCCUCCUAGGCCUGCCUCUCUCUCUGCACAAAAUUACGCACGGUAUGUUACUGCCUGUUAUACACAAGGUUGACCGCCGUCUUUCGGGCUGGCUGGCUACUUUUUUAUCCUUAGGGGGGAGGUUGACCCUCAUCAAUUCAGUGCUCGCUGGCAUCCCAAGUUAUUUCAUGUCUUGCUUUGCCUGGCCCAAGGAGUCUCUCGGGAAGUUGGAAAGUCUCUUACGUGCUUUUUUCUGGCAAGGCAAGAACAAGGUCAAAGGUGGCCAAUGCUUAGUGGCUUGGGAUACAGUCUCGUUGCCUCGUAUCAAUGGUGGUUUAGGUAUCCGUCAAAUGCAUGCUCACAACCAAGCUAUGAUGUGCAAGUUCGUCUCCAAAGUUCUACAAGGUUCGGACAUACCAUGUUAUAAAUGGUUCGCCACACAUUACUGCCGAGCUAUUCUUCCACAGAGUGCUAAUAGCAGAGAUACUGCCAUCUGGAAAGGGUUUAAAGAUCUCGUUCCUAUGGUUAUCAACUCUUCUAAGUGUGCUCUAGGGUCUGGUCGUUUGAUUUCCUUCUGGAAGGACCAAUGGCUUGAAGUGGGCCGUUUAUAUCAGAUGUUUCCUACGCUGUAUUCCUUCGCGAUCCAGCCAGCCUGCUCCGUGCACUCACAACAUUCCAAUGGUUCAUGGGCUGUUCAGCUACACCCUAAUCUCUCUCAAACGGCCUCAGCUGAGCUAGUUGUUCUGCAUGGUUUGUUGUUGGGCAUAGCUCCGAACUUACUGCAUGAGGACAAGCGGUCUACUUCUGUGAGCUCUGGGCAGCUUUGCACUGGAUACUUCUACAGGCUGCUCACUUUCCGGGGGGUUUUGACAACUCUUGAAACAUGGGUUUGGGAUGCGUUGAUUCCUCUCAAACACAGAAUCUUCCUAUGGCUUGCUUUCCGUGGGCGCCUAAACACUAAAGAUAAUAUGGUAAAGAAGGGUUGGUCUGAGGCUUCCCCGUUUGCACAUUGUGACACUUGCCCCGCUGUUGAGUCAAUCGAUCACUUAAUACUACGAUGUACAUCCGCCAGUGUUCUUUGGGGCAAGUUGGAGCUGGACGUUUUGGCUUGCUCGGCUACUAACGUUCUGUCUUUUAUGGAGCAAGCGCAAUACCAGCUCAGAUUCAAACACAAAUGGAAUGUUGCUUUCGCGGCUUGCGCUAUCACCCUGUGGCAUGCUAGAAAUGACAGAGUCUUCAACUCAAAAGUCUGGUCUGUAACAUACACUUGUUUAUAUGCCGCAGACAUGCUCCAUCUUUGGACUUUCAGAACUCAAAGCCAAUGCACCAGGGAGGUUCUACAGGUUUGGAGACAAAAGCUGCUGCAUAGUUUGUAGACGACUGAUGUAAUCUUCCCCUCCUCUCUUCCUUCCUUUCUUCCUUCUUUUCCCGUUUCGAUCUGCUUGUGUUUUGCACCUUGGUGCACCACACAAGCUGUUCUUGUACUUGUACCUGUUACUUCAUCAGGCUCUGGCCUGUUUUGAAAUAUAAGGUCGGCAGCCUGCCACCUUCCUUGUUUCAAAAAAAGAAUUCAAGCUACCACCAUCUUUUUUGUUACGUCGCUGCAGUUUCGAUCCAUCCGAUUAUAGAGUUUCCGUCUCGAAUGUAUUCCAUUCUUCUUACUAUUGCGUUUAGAAGAAGGGAAAGUUGUGGCUGUUAAUUUUUGAGGUCCUUGGUUAGAGGACAGGAGUCACAGGACUAGCUAGCUUUCACUUUGCGUGCACUGCUCUGAAUUACCUUUGGAUGCCGUCGCGUCCCCCCAAAGCUAUAUAUGUACUCUUAAUUGCAACCCCUGAUUUUGGCAGUGAAUUGCAGAGCAUGUACUCUUAAUUUUGCUUUACUAGAAUGGGACAUGGUUGCUUUGUGAAUUGCAGCAGCUGUAUAAUCUGUUACUAAAAUGCUUCUUAAUUUUCUUAUGCAGUGCUGUGCCCGUUGUACUUCUACAGCCAGACGCACCCAGUCAACCUGCUGCUGCUCGGCGUCUUCACAGUGGCCAUCAGCUUCGCUGUGGGCAUGACAUGUGCCUUCACUAGUGGUAAUUGUCUUCCCACCAUGUAUUCUGUUCCUCCUUGUUCUUACUUGAGUCACUCUACUACAUGCUCAUGUAAAUCAGCACUCUCUAAUGCCCCUCUCGUUGUGUUAGUUCAUUACAUAUGCAUGACUAGUAAAUAUUUUUCCUACCAUUAGCUUGUUAUAAUCACUAUGUAUGGCAUUUGGAUAGUUGCUGCCAAUUUGCUAUAUAUGGCCAUGCAAAUGUUAGGAAGACACUGCAAGGCAGCCCAUGUGAUGUGACUAGCUGAUGCAUUUCCCCAGACUCUGCUGAGGCCUUGAGGGUAGUAUUGCCAGCUAGUAGGAUUACUUUUUCCCCAGACUCUAGCUUAAACUUUUAUCAAAAUGAAAGGAAUUUUUCACAUGAUAUCAGUCCUUCAAAGGUUAUUUUUAAAGGUACUCCAUGCAUGUGCUGGUUAAAUCUCAUUGGAUUAAAGUGAUUGAAAAUACACAAUCUUUCGAUUUAGGCAAAGUUAUGUUGUCAGGCACUCUGUGAUCUGUCAUCCAUUUUCAUACCACAGAAUUUUGGGAUUGUACCAAUUCUGAGGUUCAUUUUAGCUUGUACCACAUUGCAGGAGGUUUAUUUCAUUAGAUUUACAUGAAAGUUUCUUUGGUAAAGAGGUGUAUGAGAUGAUAGGAAAGCAAUUAAUUCAUUUAUUAGGCCUGCUCAUAUAUGAUAUAUAUGUGCACAGGCAAGGUCAUUUUGGAAGCUGCGAUUCUUACCACGGUGGUUGUCUUCAGCCUCAUUGCUUACACCUUCUGGGCUGCAAGGAGGGGCAAGGACUUCAGCUUCCUUGGCCCUUUCCUAUUUGCUUCUCUCAUCAUGCUGCUCGUCUUUGGGUUCAUUCAGGUUAGAUGCAGUUUCUCUAGUUAGGUGUGUCGUCCAUUCAUCUAUCUGUCUUCUCUAUUAUUCUACAAUAAGUACUGAUCAAGUGAUCAUGGCUUCUCUAAAUAUGCAGAUCCUCUUUGUUAAACAUUGUACAUACGGUAUAACUAUAAACCGUAUAUGUGUGGCGUGCGUGUAGUUGUUGUAACAAUAGUUGGGCUGUUGAGAUUGCAUCUUAUCUAGAUUGUGUCUUGGAGAUCAAUCCACAGCCCAACAACCUGUAUAUCUCGCGGCGUCUUGCCUAUAUUAACAUGCACGCGUCCCUGCUGAACGCAUACGCUUUAGCCUCAUCUUUCUACAUGGUAUACAGAGCCUCUCUCUUCCAACCCAUCUAGUUAUGUCAUCCUCCUCCUCCACCGUCGCCAUGGCCUCCCCUUCCCUCGCAUCGCUUGGCCACACCAUCACCGAAAAGCUCACCAGGGAGAACUUCCUGGUAUGGAAGGCGCAAGUCCUGCCGCAUAUCAAAGCGGCAGGGAUGAUGGGCUACCUCGACGGCUCGAUCAAGGAGCCGGCCGCCACCCUCGUCUCUGAGAAGGAUCUCGGAGACGGGAAGAAGGAGAUGGUCACCACGCCAAACCCGGAGUAUGUCAUCUGGGUCACGCAAGAUCAACAGGUGCUCACGUUCCUGAUUGUUUCUCUUUCUCGCGACGUUCUCAUGCAAGUCUCCAACCACACCACCUCUGUUAGCAUCUGGCAAGCUCUGCUCCAAAGUUUUUCAUCGCAGUCCAGGGCGCGUACCAUUCAGCUUCACUCCGCCCUGGGUAACACGCGCAAGGGGGAUCUCUCGGCCGCAGCAUACUUCACCAAGAUGAAGGGCAUCGCCGAUGAACUCGCCGCCGCUGGGAAGCCCCUUGGAGAAGACGACCUCGUCGACCAAAUUCUCCAAGGUCUGGUGCAUGAACCGGACUACAACGGUUUCGUUUUUGCCAUCUCCACACACGCUGCCAUGGAUCAACAGAUCGGGCUCACGGAGCUCUUCUCGUUGCUCUUGGCGGCCGAGGCCCGCAUCACCGCCCAAUAGGCGGCCUUCUCCCCCAACCACUCCGCCAAUCUUGCAUCUCGUGGCGGUGGCCGCGGUCGUGGUGGCUACAACAACAACGGCAGCUACACUAGUAGAAAACAGGGCUAUGGUCCAGGCCGGCUCAGCCCAUUAGUCCCGGUUCAGUGUAGAACCGGGACCAAUGUGGGCAUUGGUCCCGGUUCGUGAGCCCAGGGGGCCGGCCGGGCCACGUGGACCAUUGGUCUCGGUUCGUCUGGACCUUUUGGUCCCGGUUGGUGGGACGAACCGGGACCAAUGUGCCUUGCUCCUGGCCCACCACCAUUGGUCCCGGUUGGUGGCUUGAACUGGGACCAAAGGCUUCCCUUUAGUCCCGGUUCAUGUCAUCAACCGGGACCAAUGAGGUGCCUAUAUAUACCCCCUCGCGCAAGAGCAGAGCACAGUGCUCUGUUUUUUCUGGCCGAGGGGGAGAGGGCUUUGUGGUGCUCUAGCUCACCUCCUAUGCACAUGAGGUGUUCAAUGGAAUGCCCGAGCCACGCUACUUAAGCUUUCUCCUCUCGAAGAUCGACCUCCAAGCUCCAUUUUCCUCGAGAUUUGUCUAGAUUUAGCGGUCCGUCACGCCCCGUCCCCGUCUUCACCGCCGUCGAUCACCCGCGCCGAUCUCAUCACCGACACCACUGUGGUGAGCCUCUUGUUCUUAUCUUCUUUCUGAAAGGAAAAAUAUUCUUACUUGUAUGUUUAGAUAGAUACUUGUAUCAUUUUCUUACAUUUAUUAUUGCAUCUUAUAUAGUGCAAUGGUUUUGGUAUCCGCCCCCGUCGGUCCUCGUCCUGUCUAUGAUUCGGAUUUGGUAUGUAUAUUAUCUUUAUAACUAUUGGUUCAUUUAUUGUUUAUGAAAAUUAUGCCGACCAACGUGACAUAGAUUUUAUUUAUCUAGGAUGUAUGUGAAUCGGAAAUGCCAACCGACCCUAUUGUCGAGAGGUUAAAUUUAGUUGAAGAAGAAAACAAUUUGUUGAAGGAAAAAAUUAAAAAAAAAUUAAGGAGGAGAAGAUGAUAUUGGAGUUGCAUGUUGCGGAUGUCGUCGAUGAUCACAAGAUCAAGAUGGAUGCAAUGCGCUUGAAGAUUAGAAAGAUUAGAAAAUAUGCCAUUCAUACCAAGGCUUGGUAUCAUUAUGCCGUUGGAUCAAUUGUUACCUUGGUUGCGAUUAUGAUCGCAUUUGUUUUCGCAUUGAAAUGUUUUACAUAGUUUCAAUGUAUGGUUUAAUUAAUUAGAUGCUCUGGAGAGCUAUAUGUUGUUAGAUGAGAACUAUGUAUGCACUUUGGUUUUAAUGUGAUGAUGAACUUCUAUUAAUUUGGACACUUAAUUAUAUAUAAUGCACGCAGAUGAACCGGCAAUGGAGGUACGGUGACAGACACACCCGCGAGUACAUUAAGGGCGUGCAUGAGUUUCUCGAUGCGGCUGAGGCAAACAAGCAGAAUGGUUUUAUGUGUUGUCCAUGCACUGAAUGUGGGAAUACGAGGUCUUACUCUAACCGGAAAAUCCUUCACUCCCACCUGCUUUACAAGGGUUUCAUGCCACACUAUAAUGUUUGGACGAGGCACGGAGAAAUAGGGGUUAUGAUGGAAGACGGCGAAGAAGAAGAGUACGAUGACAACUAUGUGCCCCCUGAAUAUGGUGAUGCUGCAACGGGGGGAGCUGGUGAAGAUCAAGAGGAACCAGACGAUGUGCCCAAUGAUGCUGCCACGGGUGAAGCUGCUGAAGAUCAAGAGGAACCAGACGAUGUGCCCGAUGAUGAUGAUCUCCGCCGAGUCAUUGUCGAUGCAAGGACGCAAUGCAUUAGUCAAAAGGAGAAGCUGAAGUUUGAUCGCAUGUUAGAGGAUCACAAAAAAGGGUUAUACCCCAAUUGCGAAGAUGGCAAUACAAAGCUCGGUACCGUACUGGAAUUGCUGCAGUGGAAGGCAGAGAAUGCUAUGGCUGACAAAGGAUUUGAGAAGCUAGUAAAAAUAUUGAAGAAGAAGCUUCCAAAGGAUAACGAAUUGCCCGACAGUACAUACGCAGCAAAGAAGGUCGUAUGCCCUCUAGGAUUGGAGGUGGAGAAGAUACAUGCAUGCCCUAAUGACUGCAUCCUCUACCGCGGUGCAUACAAGGAUCUGAACGCAUGCCCGGUAUGCGGUGCGUUGCGGUAUAAGAUCAGACGAGAUGACCCUGGUGAUGUUGACGGCGAGCCCCUCAGGAAGAGGGUUCCUGCGAAGGUGAUGUGGUAUGCUCCUAUAAUACCACGGUUGAAACGUCUGUUCAAAAACUAAGAGCACGCCAAGUUGAUGCGAUGGCACAGUGAGAACCGAAAGAAAGAUGGGAAGUUGAGAGCACCCGCUGACGGGUCGCAGUGGAGAAAAAUUGAGAGAAAGUACUGGGAUGAGUUUGCAAAGGACCCAAGGAAUGUAUGGUUUGCUUUAAGCGCGGAUGGCAUUAAUCCUUUCGGGGAUCAGAGCAGCAAUCACAACACCUGGCCCGUGACUCUAUGUAUGUAUAACCUUCCUCCUUGGAUGUGCAUGAAGCGGAAGUUCAUUAUGAUGCCAGUUCUCAUCCAAGGCCCUAAGCAACCCGGCAACGAAAUUGAUGUGUACCUAAGGCCAUUAGUUGAAGAACUUUUACAACUGUGGAAUGGAAAUGGUGUACGUAUGUGGGAUGAGCAUAGACAUGAGGAAUUUAACCUUAAGGCGUUGCUGUUCGUGACCAUCAACGAUUGGCCCUCUCUCAGUAACCUUUCAGGACAGACAAACAAAGGAUACCACGCAUGCACGCACCGUUUAGAUGACACUGAAAGUAUAUACCUGGACAAAUGCAGGAAGAAUGUGUACCUAGGCCAUCGUCGAUUUCUUUCGACCAACCAUCAAUGUCGAAAGAAAGGCAAGCAUUUCAAAGGCGAGGCAGAUCACCGGAAGAAGCCUGCCAUGCGCACCGGUGAUCACGUGCUUGCUAUGGUCAAUGAUUUACACUACGUAAUCUUUGGAAAGGGUCCCGGUGGACUAGCUGUUCCGAAUGACGCUGAGGGACACACACCCAUGUGGAAGAAGAAAUCUAUAUUUUGGGACCUACCCUACUGGAAAGACCUAGAGGUCCGCUCCUCGAUCGACGUGAUGCACGUGACGAAGAACCUUUGCGUGAACCUGCUAGGCUUCUUGGGCGUGUAUGGGAAGACAAAAGAUACACCUAAGGCACGAGAGGACCUGCAACAUUUGCACGAAAAAGACGGCAUGCCUCCGAAGUAGUAUAAAGGUCCUGCCAGCUACGCUCUUACGAAAGAAGAGAAAGAAAUCUUCUUUGAAUGCCUGCUCAGUAUGAAGGUCACGACUGGCUUCUCGUCGAAUAUAAAGGGAAUAAUAAAUAUGCCAGAGAAAAAGUUUCAAAACCUAAAGUCUCAUGACUGCCACGUGAUUAUGACGCAACUGCUUUCGGUUGCAUUGAGGGGGCUUCUACCGGAAAACGUCCGAUUAGCCAUUGUGAAGCUAUGUGCAUUCCUCGAUGCAAUCUCUCAGAAGGUGAUCGAUCCAGAAAUCGUACCAAGGCUAAGGAGUGAUGUGGCGCAAUGUCUUGUCAGUUUCGAGCUGGUGUUCCCACCAUCCUUCUUCAAUAUCAUGACGCACGUCCUAGUUCAUCUAGUCGACGAGAUUGUCAUCCUGGGGCCCGUAUACACAAUAUGUUCCCCUUUGAGAGGUUCAUGGGAGUCCUAAAGAAAUAUGUCCGUAACCGCGCUAGGCCAGAAGGAAGCAUCUCCAUGGGCCAUCAAACAAAGGAUGUUAUCGGGUUUUGUGUUGACUUCAUUCCUGGUCUUAACAAGAUAGGUCUCCCUAAAUCGCGGUAUGAGGGGACACUGACUGGAAAAGGCACUCUUGGAAGAGACUCAAUAAUAUGCAGGGACGGAUAUUCUUGGUCUCAAGCACACUACACAGUUCUACAGAACUCUACCUUGGUGACCCCGUAUGUCGAUGAACACAAGAACAGUCUGCGCUCCAAACACCCGGAGCAGUGCGACGACUGGAUUACAUGUGAACACAUCACGACUUUCAGCAGUUGGUUGGAAACACGUCUCAGAGGUGACAACACUGUUUGUGAUGAGUUGUACUUGUUGUCCAGGGGACCAUCUUUGACUGUAUUGACUUACAAAGGAUACGAGAUAAAUGGGAAUACAUUUUACACGAUCGCCCAAGAUCAAAAGAGCACCAACCAAAAUAGCGGUGUCCGCUUUGAUGCAGCAACCGAGAGCGGAAAGGACACAUAUUAUGGUUACAUAGUGGACAUAUGGGAACUUGACUACGGACCUGAUUUUAAGGUCCCUUUGUUUAAGUGCAAAUGGGUCAAUCUGUUAGGCGGAGGGGUACAGGUAGACCCACAGUACGGAAUGACAACAGUGGAUCUGAAAAAUCUUGGGUACAGUGACGAACCGUUCGUCCUAGCCAAUGAUGUGGCACAGGUUAUCUAUGUGAAGGACAUGUCUACCAAACCGAGAAAAAGAAAAGAUAAGGAAGCAAAUACAUCAUAAGAUGAGCCAAAGCGCCACAUAGUUCUUUCAGGAAAAAGGGACAUCCUGGGAGUGGACGGCAAGACAGACAUGUCUGAAGAUUAUGAAAAGUUUCAUGAAAUUCCUCCCUUCAAUGUCAAGGCUGACCCAAGCAUCCUGAUAAACAAUGAAGAUUAUCCAUGGUUACGGCGCAAUAAGCAAAUGACACAAGCGAAGAAAAAGUGAAGACUCUCUCCCGCAAUAAGCAAAUGCUAUGUGGGUGAAAUUAUGAUACCAUCCCAACUUUCAACUUUUUCAGAGUUCAUUUGAAAUGCUUUCAUGUCUUAUGGUUCGAAACUUUGAUACUUCGAAAGUGAUUGUCCAUUUUGUACACGAAGUGCAUCAAGUUUUUGUCGUAACCCUUUGUCAUGUUCCAUUUUUGGAACAUGCUAUGUGGGUGAAAUGAUGAUACCAUGCCAACUUUCAACCUUUUCAGAGUUCAUUUUGAAAUGCUUUCCAAUUUCAGAGUCAUUUAGUUCAAAGAAUGAAUUAAUAGCAAACAGAAUGAACUACAAAACUUUUAUGAAAAUAAAAACAAUCAAUUAAAAUAUUAUGUUAUGAUCAACUAAAAUAAAACUAUAAUAUUCUUCAAUAGCAAAAAGAAUAUAAUUUUUGUGAUCUAAAAUCAAACUAUAAGUAUUUAAUUGUAAGUAUAAAUAAAAAAUAAAUAGCAAAGAAGAAAAAAGUUCUAUUUUUAUAGUAAAGUUAUUCAUAAACUAGUGAUUCACACAAAUUUUAUAAAAUUCCAAUUUAAACUAUUCAAAAUUUUAAAACUAAUGCCACUAACAGAAAGUUUAUAAUUUUUGUGACCUAAAAGCAAAAAGAAAUCACUAAAAAACUAUAAGNNNNNNNNNNNNNNNNNNNNNNNNNNNNNNNNNNNNNNNNNNNNNNNNNNNNNNNNNNNNNNNNNNNNNNNNNNNNNNNNNNNNNNNNNNNNNNNNNNNNNNNNNNNNNNNNNNNNNNNNNNNNNNNNNNNNNNNNNNNNNNNNNNNNNNNNNNNNNNNNNNNNNNNNNNNNNNNNNNNNNNNNNNNNNNNNNNNNNNNNNNNNNNNNNNNNNNNNNNNNNNNNNNNNNNNNNNNNNNNNNNNNNNNNNNNNNNNNNNNNNNNNNNNNNNNNNNNNNNNNNNNNNNNNNNNNNNNNNNNNNNNNNNNNNNNNNNNNNNNNNNNNNNNNNNNNNNNNNNNNNNNNNNNNNNNNNNNNNNNNNNNNNNNNNNNNNNNNNNNNNNNNNNNNNNNNNNNNNNNNNNNNNNNNNNNNNNNNNNNNNNNNNNNNNNNNNNNNNNNNNNNNNNNNNNNNNNNNNNNNNNNNNNNNNNNNNNNNNNNNNNNNNNNNNNNNNNNNNNNNNNNNNNNNNNNNNNNNNNNNNNNNNNNNNNNNNNNNNNNNNNNNNNNNNNNNNNNNNNNNNNNNNNNNNNNNNNNNNNNNNNNNNNNNNNNNNNNNNNNNNNNNNNNNNNNNNNNNNNNNNNNNNNNNNNNNNNNNNNNNNNNNNNNNNNNNNNNNNNNNNNNNNNNNNNNNNNNNNNNNNNNNNNNNNNNNNNNNNNNNNNNNNNNNNNNNNNNNNNNNNNNNNNNNNNNNNNNNNNNNNNNNNNNNNNNNNNNNNNNNNNNNNNNNNNNNNNNNNNNNNNNNNNNNNNNNNNNNNNNNNNNNNNNNNNNNNNNNNNNNNNNNNNNNNNNNNNNNNNNNNNNNNNNNNNNNNNNNNNNNNNNNNNNNNNNNNNNNNNNNNNNNNNNNNNNNNNNNNNNNNNNNNNNNNNNNNNNNNNNNNNNNNNNNNNNNNNNNNNNNNNNNNNNNNNNNNNNNNNNNNNNNNNNNNNNNNNNNNNNNNNNNNNNNNNNNNNNNNNNNNNNNNNNNNNNNNNNNNNNNNNNNNNNNNNNNNNNNNNNNNNNNNNNNNNNNNNNNNNNNNNNNNNNNNNNNNNNNNNNNNNNNNNNNNNNNNNNNNNNNNNNNNNNNNNNNNNNNNNNNNNNNNNNNNNNNNNNNNNUAUAUAUAUGUUCAGAAAAGUUCUAUAUGUAUGUGGCUAUGUAUGUGUAUGUGGCUAUGUGAAUAUGCAAAGAAGAGGAGAUGAAGAAGAUGAUAUAUUUUCUUAUUCGUGGGUGUGUCGAGAGGGUCAUCGAUAACUUUAGUGAAUUUUAGGUUAUUUUCAUUUUAGGUCAUUUUAGGCGGGGAAGAAGGGGAAGAAGAGGGAGAAGAAGAGGGGGUCGAGAGGGGGUCUAGGGUCGCCGAGGGGUCGAGGGUCGUCGAACAUGAGAGGAGGAAGAGGAUAAAAAAAGAAGAGGAAUAAGAAAAGAAAAAAAGAGGAGAAGAAAGAAUAGAGGAGAAGAUCUCCUCUAUUCUUUCUUCUCCUCUUUUUUUCUUCUUCUUCCUCUUUUUUUUAUCGGGAACGAGGGUCGUCGAGGGUCGCCGAGCGGUAGAGGAAGAAACAUGCUGCAAGUUUGGGUUGAUCAGCCAGCACUGCCUCCUCCUAUGUGUACACAUACCAGGUCUCAAAGUGGCAUUGCAAGACCCAAAGUUUAUAAAGAUGGUUGUGUUCGUUGGGGGUCUUUUUGUGCUGCAGGUGAACCGAGAACUUUACAGGAUGCUCUUGGUGACCCAAAGUGGAAGAAGGCGAUGGACGAGGAGUACUCUGCUCUUAUGGAUAACAAAACAUGGCGUCUUGUUCCACCUGUCAAAGGGAGAAAUGUGAUUGACUGCAAGUGGGUGUACAAGAUUAAGAGGAAGUCUGAUGGCACUAUUGACAGGUACAAGGCCCGGUUAGUUGCCAAAGGCUUUAAGCAAAGGUAUGGUGUGGACUAUGAAGACACCUUUAGCCCCGUGGUAAAAGCUGCUACUAUCCGUUUAGUUCUUUCCAUUGCAAUUUCUCGGAAUUGGUGCAUGCGUCAACUAGAUGUAAAGAACGCGUUUUUGCAUGGUGUUCUGGAAGAGGAAGUUUUCACGAGGCAACCUCCUGGGUAUGAGAGCUCAGUCUCACCACGACACGUCUGCAAGCUUGAUAAAGCUCUUUAUGGCCUGAAACAAGCACCAAGAGCCUGGUAUUAUCGUUUGUAUUCCAAACUUCGGUCUCUUGGCUUUCUUGCUUCUAAAGGAGAUACCUCAUUGUUUUUCUAUCAUAAGCAUGGAGUAACUAUCUUUAUGCUGAUAUACACGUUGAUGAUAUUAUCGUUACAAGCUCUUCACUCAAAGCAGUUGCAGCUCUUCUCAAGGAUUUGAGUAUGUAUUUUGCACUCAAGGACUUGGGUGCUUUGCAUUUCUUUCUUGGUAUUGAGGUGAAAAAUAUUGCACGUGGAGUCCUUUUGUCACAGGAAAAAUAUGUGCAAGAGAUACUUCAGCGGAUGGGCAUGACUGGAUGCAAACCUUCGCCUACACCCAUGUCUACCUCCGAGAAGUUAUCUCUUCACGAUGGAGCUAUCCUCACAGCCGAAGAUUCCACCAAGUACAGGAGCAUCGUGGGAGCACUACAGUACCUAACCUUGACGCGGCCAGAUAUUGCAUAUGCUGUUAACAAGGUCUGUCAGUUUUUGCAUGCUCCUCCUACUGUUCAUUGGACUGCAGUAAAACGGAUACUCAGAUAUCUUCAAGGAACACGGAGUCAUGGGCUUAAGCUUUGCAAGUCAGAUUCCAUGCUUGUUAGUGCGUUCUCUGAUGCAGAUUGGGCAGGCUGUCCUGAUGACAGGAGAUCUACAGGAGGCUUUGCAGUUUUUCUUGGAGGUAACCUGAUUUCAUGGAGUGCCCGUAAGCAGGCUACCGUUUCUAGGUCCAGCAUAGAAGCUGAGUACAAGGCUCUAGCUAAUGCCACUGCUGAAGUAAUAUGGGCAAACACAUGUUGACGGAGUUGGGUGUUUCUCAUCCCAAGGCAGCAUCACUAUGGUGUGACAAUUUGGGUGCCACAUAUCUGUCUACCAACCCUGUUUUCCAUGCUAGGACGAAGCAUAUCGAGAUAGACUAUCACUUUGUUCGGGAACGAGUAGCCAACAAGCUGUUGAAUGUUCGCUUUGUUCCUACUGGUGAUCAAGUUGCAGAUGGGUUUACCAAACCCCUUUCUUUGAGGCAGCUGGAGGCAUUUCGACGCAAUCUCAACUUAGAUAAGUUGUGAUUGAGGGGGAGUGUUAAACAUUGUACAUACGGUAUAACUAUAACCAUAUAUGUGUGGCUUGCGUGUAGUUGUUGUAACAAUAGUUGGGCUGUUGAGAUUGCAUCUUAUCUAGAUUGUGUCUUGGAGAUCAAUCCACAACCCAACAACCUGUAUAUCUCGCGGCGUCUUGCCUAUAUUAACAUGCACGCGUCCCUGCUGAACGCAUACGCUUUAGCCUCAUCUUUCUACACUCUUCCCGCCGGGCAAGCUGUCUCACAUGAUCUAUGGCGCGCUGGCGUCACUCGUCUUCAGUGGCUACAUUGUCUAUGACACGGACAACAUCAUCAAGCGUUACACGUAUGACGAGUAUGUCUGGGCUGCCGUAUCGCUCUACCUUGACAUCAUCAAUCUGUUCAUGGCACUGAUGAACCUGUUUAGCGCGGGUGACAGCUAAAGCACACCCCCUGCCCCUGACUGUUCACAAGUCCUUGACUGAAGAACUGUAUAGGCGCUUGUUAGUUUAGUUGAGUUGAUCCCUAGCUAAGAGAGGAAACAUAGGAGAACUGAUGUGUGUUGGUUCUAUGGAUGGCGGAUGUGAUGUUGGAUUUACGGGGUCUUUCAUAUCCUGGAUUGGUGGUGUGCUACUGAGUUAGUGAGUUUACGAUAUCAUAUCUUACUAUAUGACUGAUAUCAUUUCUUACUAUGAAUGACUGAUAUCAUUUGUGUGGCCACAUGACUUCUGGACUGGUCUCUUGUCCCGCCGUACGUGUGGGUAACACGUUUGAAUCGGAACUAUUCAAUGGGUAAUGAUUUGGUAGUGUACGUACCACUUCAAAGAAGAUGGUGCUUGUAGAUUUCAUCCGUCAACCUUUAUGUUAGCACUGAUUAAUGACGUGACUGAUUCAACCUCAUGGGAGCACCCUCCCCCCUCCCCCCAAAGAAAAAACUCCAGCUGCUUGUACUACAUCACACGCCCGCGCAUCAUUGCGACAGUGGAGGACAAGCUCGAACGAGGACGCGAGGCAGCAACACACGGAUGGGUGGAGAAAAGGGGUAAAUGAAUAUGGCUAGGGUUUGGGGUCUGUCAAUUGGCUUUUACUAGACGAGAGCGGCUCCUCAGGCGGCGCGUCGCCUGUCGCGCAAUGGGGGUGCACUGGUUCCCCGUGUGUAUGGCACUGGUGGAAAAACAGGCUUCCGUCCAGCCCCAUAAGUCGCGAAGCUGUAGGAACCGCGACUAAUGGGACCUUUAGUCGCGGUUCUGGAGGUGAACCGCGACCAAAGGCCUGGGCCCAGGGCGCUCGGUGGCCAGCUGGCGCACGUGAGGGUCUUUAGUCGCGGUUGGCCAGGACAACCGCGACUAAAGGCCUUCGGGCACCUUUAGUCACGGUUUGCCAGGCCAACCGCAACUAAAGCCCCUCCCCUAUAUAUACCCAUCCAGCAGCCAACACUUAGCCAUUUGGAGCCAUUCUCUUCACAAGUGGGUGUAGGUUUGCUUUUGGUUCCUCUUAUGCACAUAAGGUGUUUGAUGAAAUGCCCCAAGAGCAUGAAACAAACAUGACAUGAAGUGUUGGAGCCACACUCCUCGAUCGCGGUUAGCAACUUGAUGAACCUUUGAUGUGUCAUUGAUAAAAUAUGCAUGUGUGCAGUUCAUUGUUUAAUUUAUAUUGUUUGUAGCUAGUUAGUUUAACAAAUGCAUGAUGGUUAAUUAUAUAUUUUAUAUUAUAAUAAUACAGAUGAAUCGGCAAUGGAUGUACGGUAACCGACUCUCCGGCGAGUUCACUACGGGUUUGAAAGAUUUCCUCGUAGUGGCUAAUGCGAACAAGCAGGGGGGUUUUGUUAUCUGUCCAUGUGUUAUCUGUAAGAAUCAGAAGGGUUACUCUUCCUCAAGAGAUGUUCACAUGCAUCUGCUUCGGCACGGUUUCAUGCCAAGCUAUAAUUGUUGGACCAAGCAUGGAGAAAGAGGGGUUAUAAUGGAAGAAGAUGAAGAAGGGGAUGAUUUCAUCGAUGAAAGCUAUCUUGCUCAUUUCGGUGAUACUUUCAUGGAGGAUGCUGAAGGUGAAGGGGAAGGUGAAGAAGAGGCACGUGAUGAUCCCGUUGAUGAUCUUGGUCGGACCAUUGCUGAUGCACGGAGACGCUGCGAAACUGAAAAGGAGAGGGAGAAUUUGGAUCGCAUGUUAGAGGAUCACAGAAAGGCGUUGUACCCCGGAUGCGAUGAUGGUCUGAAAAAGCUGGGCUGCACACUGGAUUUGCUGAAAUGGAAGGCAGAGGCAGGUGUAGCUGACUCGGCAUUUGAAAACUUGCUGAAAAUGUUGAAGAAUAUGUUUCCAAAGGAUAACGAGUUGCCCGCCAGUACGUACGCAAUGAGGGAUGCUCAACAGGGGAAGAUCAAGUUCAACAGAGAGAACGACGCGCUGACAAAAGCCCUCGGGAAUCCUGAACACGGAGGACGUGUACGAGGCAUGGGGCACAUUCCGUGGAAAAUAGGGUUCCCCCAGAACGAUGACCCGUACGGUUACAGAAGCCGUAAGAGAAAGAUGGAUCGGGAAGCAGAUGUUGUGGCGCGGUUGGCAUCGGAAAUGGAUGUGAUGAAGAAAACCAUGAGUGUACUAGUAGCCGAAAGAGAUGCAGCUCGGGUGCAGCAUGAAGAUCAUCCAGCGGAUCUCGGAAGCCAGCAGCGGAGAAGCAGCGUGGCUUCCACGGAGGCCCCACCGGCUGGUGCAGAUGCACCGACGAUCGAAAUUACUGCACCGGAGCCUCUGGUGGUCGAAAUUACUGCACCGGAGCCUCUGGUGGUCGAAAUUACUUCACCGGAGCCUCCUCGCUACCCCGUGGACGAUAUAAAGGAGAUGAAAGAAUGUCAUCUGUAUUAUCCUAUCGGGAACAUGUCCAUGAAGGUAGCCAUCGGCAGUGCUUUACCAUGUUUACCUAGAGCACUCCACCACAACAACCCCAUUCAAGAUGGCUAUGCUCGUGUCACGGUGGAGGACAUAGUCCAAGGGUUUGAGGACCUGGAGAUUGACAUUGCUACACCUGAAGGGGAGAAAAGACUUGGAGAUGUCAAGCGCCAUUUCAUUCUAUGGCAAAAGAAGUUUAUCAAGUUUCCAGGCGAGGCGCCAAGGACAACAAGUCCACCCCCCUACGGUGGUGGUGGUGGCGGUGGCGGCGGUGGUGGUGGUGGUGGUGGCGGCGGUUCACCUACACCUCCGUCACGUCAGCCGACGCCGCCCCCCAGUCCACAACGUCCGGCGGGUGAUCAGCCGCCGCCCCCCAGUCCUCGUCCGGCGGGUGAUCAGACGCCGCCCCCCAAUCCACCUCCGGCAAAGAAGCAGAAGCAGUCCUGGAUUAUUAACCCGGACCCUUAUGUACCUAAGACCACAAAGGUACCGGAGCCAUCACCGAAGCCUCUCCCCACAAGGCCUUGGGAACGUAGUGCCGAGGAAGUCGACGCGGCCGCUGCUGCUGAUUUGGAGAAAUGGAAGGCGGACUGCAAGAAGAAAAGAGAGCCCGAGCCCAAGCCAGUAUUUUCUGAUGAGCAAAAGAAGUGGGCUAAGUCAUUUUUGAGCACACCGUCCCAAGCCGCGAAGAAUCUGCCUAACGACUAUGCACGUGAACUUCGCAGGCAGGCACUCAUGUUCAAGGAGAACAAAGAGCGGGAGAAGGUCGAAAGUAAAAAAAGCGGGAAACAAGUUGCCCAGCUCGGGGAACAAAGUAAACAAUCGAUUGCCCCGCUUAUAGUGGAAGCCUUCUGUCCGGAUGCCCCCGAGAUCAUACAAGCUGCGGCAGCACAGGGAUUGACUGUAACGAGUGCCAGAGAACAAGCAGCCAACUUAGGUAUUACUCUUCGUGAACUGUUAGGCCUUGAUGAGGCGCCAGUGAAGGAGGUAGUAAUUACAUAUGUCAAGAAUGGGCCUCUCGUCGAGCCUGCGCAGGAAAAGGAUCUACCUCCACAAAUGAAAGGUCUGCUGAAAUGGUACAAGGGUUACAUAAAAAAUAAAAACGCCAAAGAAUAUAUUUAUGCGGAAGUUAGACAUGAGCAUCACUUCAAACAUUACUAUGUACAAAUUGAACUGAGUGAAUUGUUCCAGCUUUUCAAUCUGCGCGAGCUCGAUAAAUCUAUCAUCAGUUGCUACGUUCUGUAAGUGAUUUAUUAAUUUCUACCCCAUCUCGUUCAUAUUGCCUGCACUAUAUAUAUGUCCUAACUAUAUUGUUGUGUCCGCUAUUAUACAUGCAGAAUGAAGAUUAAGGAAUGCAGAGUAAGGAACAUCCAUGAUGUUGGGUUCAUUGACCCACACAUUGUUAAUGGACAUGUGUUGGAGCGUCACCCCGCCGACGUGGAGGCAGACCUGUGGCACUUUCUUACAAAGCAGGAACUCAAAAGUGAUAUUCUAUUUCCUUACCAUUUUGAGUGAGUGUUUCUGUCUUGAGCACAUUCUCUUUUGUUUACUCCAUGCAUGGUAUGUGGCCGGCUAAUCGAUGAGUUAUGCAUGACGUACUGUGCAUGUAUCGUGUCCGCAGGUUCCACUGGAUUCUGCUAGUAAUUAAAGUUAACACCUCAGAAUGUCUCGUCCACGACUCUGUGAAUAUGGAUCCAAAGCUUUGGGGCGGCAUGAGAAGAAUGCUGCAGAAGUAAUUAUUUUCAUUCAUUUGCGCUCUAUAUCGAUCGGCCUAUUUCGUUCAUUUCCUAAUAUCAAGUAACUAAUUAAUAACUCUCUUGUUCAUUUAAUUUUCUUUGCCUCGUAGGGUUUGGAGACGGUUCGUAGAUACAAAGGUCGGUGAAUUCAAAAAAGAGCUAGAAUUCAAAAUGUUAAAGGCUAAGAAUGCUGGGGAUAUUCAGCCACCGGAGACCAAUCUAUGUGGAUACUAUGUCUGUGAGAUGAUCCGGAGAUACACCUCUGAGCGGGUUCCGAGUGAUACCAAUGCUCAGAGGAAUAACCUCCGGUGGAUGCUUAGUCUAGAAGCUCGCUUCCGACCACUUCAAGAGGAACUAGCUGGAUGGUUCAGCAGGGAAGUCCUCCAUCCUAAAGGAGAACACUAUUACGAGGACGUAGAACUUUAUAUGCAUUAAAUCAUGUAUGGAAACUUGUUCAAAAUUGUAUAUGGUCAUCCGAUGAUAUUGAAUAUAUAUUGUAUAUUCCUCUUGAAUUCUUUUUGGUUCUAAUUUCAAAUUUAUUUGAAAUUGUACAUUCAUAUGCAUGUAUGUAGUACCGUAGAAUAUAUGAAACUCCUUCAAAAUUAAAAUAAAGCACAAAAGAAAUAAAACAAUACAAAUUAAACAGAAAACAGGUUUAGGGGGGGGGGCUAAAACCCUAAACCUGUGGCGGCCUUUAGUCGCGGUUGGCCAGAAGAACCGCGACUAAAGGUCCUCCGCCCCGACGGCCGCCUGGCGCCCACGUGGACGGGCCGUUAGUCGCGGUUCUUAAGCAGCCGCGACUAAAGGUGGGGGGCUUUAGUCGCGCUUAUUUGGUCGCGGUUGCGCAACCGCGACUAAUGGCAGUUGCGAACCGCGACCAAAGGCCUUUUUUCCACCAGUGUGGAUUGUCAGUCCGACAUGGCGGACCCGUCCGAGCGGCCCCAAAUUUGCUGCACAUAUAGGCCGGGUUUGGGGGCGCUGGACAACUUGGACAAAUGGGUUGCGCAUGGGGGCUCUACAAUACCACACGGGCCUACGAGGGUCUAUUGUUGGAGGAAGGUUUUUGACAUUACAACACGAUGAUAUAAUGAGCAACAUAUUGAGCGAUGCAGGAGAUGGUCAUGUCUUAUCGGGGGUAUGCACGACGAGGCAGAUACCGACAUGGACCAUGUCACGCAAAGGGUAGUCCCGGCCUUGAGGGUACCGCCAAGAUUAUGUCUUACACAGAUUUUUAGAGGGAAAUGGCCAUGUUUCCCAUGAGACAAACCUUGCGUUUACAAAUUAUGGCCAAAAGUGGGUUGAAAAAUAUUAUUGAUGGUCUUCACUAUAUGUUUAGUCCAUAUACCACAAAAGAAAAUCAUUCUCAUAGACCAUGGGGCCACAACUGGGCAACAACGUGUAGGUUAUUAUCAUUUUAAUUCUCAAGAAUUCAAACGAAGCCCAAAAGUCCCAAGGGUUGACAGCGUGUCAUGAUAUGCGCCCUAGAGGUAGUGGUAAAUUUAGUGAAUAUUUUUAAAAAAUUGUCAAAUAGAUUACUUACAAACCAGAUCAGCUGCAAGCAAGAAGCUAGUUUUCAAGAGAUAAUGGCUUCAGUUCGCAUGCGAAGUGACUACUGCUUCCUUCAUUGGCCAGCAAAUUGCGUGUAGACUCAACACAUACCAUUGCAUGAAACAUGUCAAUAUUUCACAUUUUUUCUGAGGCUAUUUGCUAUAUUGGAGACAUUAAAUGCAUUUCUACGUAUUUAAUAAAUAUCAUUAAAAUUUAAACUACAUGUACAUGAAAUUAUGGCCGAAAGUGGAUUGAAAUAUAUUAUUGAUGGUCUUUCGUAUAUGUUUAGCCCAAUAAAAUAAAUAAAAGCAGUCUCAUACAAAAGUGGGCCAAGACCCGACCACCAAAAUGUAGGUCGUUAUCCUUUUAAUUCUGAACUUCAAACAAAGUCGAAAAUUCUGAGACUUGGCAUGGUGUCCUUAUAUGGCCUCCAAAGGCUGUGAUAGAAUUUGAGAAUGUUUCACAAAAAUAAGUCACGUGGACUGCUGACAAACCAGGCCAUCUUCGAGAUGAAACUAGGUUUCGAGAGGGCACAGAUCAGGUCACAUCAAAAGCGAUAGCUGCUUCUCCAUUGUCCUUCAAAAUUUCCCCAGACUGAACACACACGACUACAUGUAACAUUUCAAAGUUGGCAUUUUCUGAGGGCCAUUUGCUAUAUUUAAGACAUUAAGUACAUUUCUAGGAAUUUACUCAAUGUAAUUCAAGUUUGAACUGCAGAUACAUGAAAUUAUGAACAAAAGUAGUUUGAAGAAAAUAUUUGUCGUCUUUAGUAUAUGUUUUGCCCAUAUAACACAAAAUAAAAGUUUUCCUAUACACUAGUGGGCCAAGCUCCCGGCCACGGACAUGUAUGUUAUUCCCAUUUUAUUUCCAAAAAUUCAAAAGAAGCCCAAAAUUCUAGAGAUGGUCUCAUGAUAAGGUCCCUAGAGGACGUGGUAAAAAUUUGAGGAUGUUUUGCAAAAUUUGUCAUGUGGACAGCUAUGAGGAAUGAGCUAGGUUUCGAGAAGAAACGAGCCAGGCUUGCAUGUGAAGCAAUAGCUGCUUACUCGGUUGUGCUGAAACUCAUUCCACUCAACAAUAACUACUAUGUGAGAUAUGUCAAAAUUUCACAUUUUUUGGGUCUAUGAUCUAUAUUUAAACCAUUACGCACAUUUACCUCCAACAAAUACCUAGAAACUUAAUGUCCUAAAAAUAACAAAUUAACCGUAGAAAGGGUAAAACUUUUAGAGCAUCUACAACCGCGUAAUGUUCAAAUAUGACCCCUAUAUAUCUGCUGGCAUGUUCGCGGACCAGAGCCGAUCGGCUCUCAUAUGCAAACCCCUAUUUACAUACGAAUCCAAACAACCUAAGAUUCAUCAUACGUUCAUCAUCAUGCAUAUAUGGAUAAAACGAGCUCCAUUCAAAUAAAAACUACCUUACUUUUACUCGUCUUUAGAGAUGAUAUGACCCCUUUGUCGGACGGACCGGCCUCGUGGUCAUUUGCAGCGGGGCAUAGCUCCAACUUCUUGUCCUCAAUGAAGUGUCGUUCCCACCUCAUGUCGGCGAAGUGGAUACGAUGGAGGUUCAUCGCCACCUCCCACUUGGAUUGGGUCCAGUCAAGGAUGACAGCUUGCUUCACCUCGAACUGUGUUGUCGCCUCCACAGCUUGGGCGUGUUGGAACUCCGCAUCCGCCUCUUCCAUGCCAAAGUUGUCGGCUCAACCUCCAGGCCCAACACCUCCUCCACCUCCUCCUGCAUGUCCUCCAUGGCCACCUCCUACUCCUCCUUUGGGACCUCCUCCCAUGGCGCUGCAUCCUCCUCCUCCCCCUUCCCUAGUACGUCCAUCUAGUACGCCGCAAUUUAAGCAAUGCGACACUCUUCGCAACACGCAUAUUAGUGGCGAUCUCGCUUGGCGCUAGGGUGUGAGCAUUUUGUAGUAAUUUGUCUUUUGUCAGACCAUGGCAGAUGUCGAGGUCGAAGUGGAAGGGGAAGAGGGGGUGGGAGCGCUAGCAGUGUGGAUGAGAGGGAGAUGAGGGGAACGAGGGCGUCUAGGGUUUACCCUCGUUGUCCGCCUUAAAUAGAUGGUUUUGGAACUUCAGACGGUGCACCGAAGGGGCAAUCUGAAUGUGUCCUCACCAAAUCAGAGGCAGAACCCAAAGGAUCGAUGUGUUUUUUCGCGGGUCCCGCCCACCAGUCCAACAUGGUGGAUGUGUCCGGGCAUGCUCGAGCGUCCUCAUAUCUGCCUCACAUAUGGGAUGGCUAGUUGGACAACCUACACAUUUGGGCUGGAUGUGGGUAGGCAGUUGGGUUGCGAUUUUUUGAUCGACGAUGUCUUGGCUAUCCAUCCAGACGUUUGUGGGAGGGGGGGGUGAGGGGUCUGAUUGUACGUGCUCAUCAUGGAACACGUUAAUGUAGAAAAAUUGGAGCAUAAGCCUAAAUCUUAAACACUAAAACCCUAACAUUAUUUUAAAAAACUAGCAAAAAAAGUAACAGCGGCGAGCCCGCCAAAAUGCCUGCCACUAGACUUGCUACACAUGGCUAAGUCAUUCUAAAAUUACCAUUGGCGUCACGCCGUGCGUUGUUGCAAUGUGCAAGAACCAUCCUGCAAAUCUCAGGGCGUCUGUGUGCUUCCUCACUCACUGAUGUUACGAAGGGUGGGCUCGCAACAACACCAAUGAUGUGACGGACAGGCUUGCAGCUGGACCUCUAUUGCGACGACUUGUUGUGGCACGCGAGAUCUGGUGUUGCGGUCGGUGCUGCAGGGAGAACCACCGGACUUACGGGAGCGUCGUCGGUCCUUAGUGCACUACUACGAUGAGACAAAGGCAGAGCUGUGAGCAGAGGGGGAAGGGUUUACUACGGAGGCACGACAACAGGUCUCCUCGCAAGGUAGGAGUCGGAGGUGGGGGAGGAGGGGAGGGUUCUUUCUCGGUGGAGAUGACGGCCACACAGCAAGAAUAGAUCGUUGUCAAGCCAAAUGAUUUCCCGUAAUUUCAGAUUGUUGACGCCUGGUGCCUGCCCAAAAGAAGGCCUUGCAACUCAGCUAGCUUUGUCAUGUUGUUUCCCUUUUGCUUGGUUUUUGAAUAGGGGUUAUCGGUUCAAAAACUCCCCAAUUGAAUCUCGUUCUACAGGCACCCUAAUUGAUUUUUUGAAAAUAAAGAAGACAAAAAGAAUCUGAUUUUUUAACGAAAAUGGUCUAGUAUACUCGCGUGUAAAGUUUUGCGAACAAAUGGCUUCCAUGACAAUCUGUGCGAAAAAUAACAAAACCGGAUCUACAUAAAAGUUACUAUUUAAGAUUUUUGAAAGUGCAAUUUCGUUUUCCCCCAAAAAAAACAUAGUCAUUUCUUCGCAGAACCUAUCUUGUGUGGUUGUGGAGGCGGACAGAGCCUGUGUCCAAUCUCUUCCCCUUCAACUUAACAAAAAAGAAGCCCUAAAAAAUCUCAUCAGAAAAUAAAAUGAUAGCAUCUGCCCUUUUUUUCCGGAAAUGUUAACGCCCACACGUGUGGGCGUUCACCACCCCGACCACACGCAAGCAUCACUGUUGGCAGGUGUGUGCACGAAUGGAACAAACCAGGUGGUUUUUUGUGCCACGUAGGAUGAGGCGCGUGUGCAGUGUGCGAGUAGGUUCGCCCGCACGUUGGUUGCCACCCCACGGUCAGCGGUUGCCAUCUGAGUCGUGCGGUGGAACUGCAAUGCGCCCGCACGCCACGCUUCGACUGCGGUUGACGUCGCACGCCUCUGCCCCCUCUCCCUCACGCUUCCAUUUACUCACCCGCACCGCAGUUACCGGCAGAACCCACUCGCAUUUCAAACCAUCGAAGGAGAAGGCGAGGGGAGAAGGUGACGGCGGAGGCGGAAGAAUCGACGGUGUUCGGGACCGUCGGUGGUGCUCGCCGGAACGGAGCGGCUCGCCGGAGCGCCUGCGGGUUGAAGGUACUGCUCGCUGCAACCCUCGCAAUCCCUUCCUGCAUUUCCUCCCCUUCCCUCCCUGUUCGAUUCCUCGAUCGAGAUUCGUAGAAAUUCAGGCGAUUCGUCGAUGCGUCGGCGUUCCUGCCGGCGCCGAAGUCGUCUGCUAGCCGCUUUUGGUUGCACUGGUCAGUUUCGUCGCGGGCGCGGCGGCGGCAUCGUCGGCGUGGUUCUGCCUGUUCGGAGGCACGCACUAGUAUUGCCUAUGGAUUGAGCAGGUGUCUCCCGGGGUUGUUUUUUAUGUGCGUUGGUUCGAUUUUGUGUUUGCAGUCAGUUCGUGGGAGAAUUUUGAGGGUGAAUUUGAAGUCGAGGUAGUUGCCAUUGAACCCUAGAUCUAGUUAGUUUGGUUUUGAAAAUGCAGUAUGAGGCGAACUUGAUAGUUACAUUAACUAUCAUGUUUGUGCGACCACUAACUCCCUGAACAAAUUUGAUAGUUGCCACAAACGUGUUUCCCCUUGCGGCAACAAAUUACUGAAAUGAUAGUGUUAGUUUCCACAUGUAAGCUUUCUCACAUGGCAACUAUUUUUCAUUCAAUGACUGUGAUAGUUGCCACACACACGCUCUUCCAUGUGGCAAAUAAUUUUGCUGAAGUAAUGUGAUAGUUGCCACGCACACGCUCUUUCUCCGUGUGGCAACUAAGAUUUGCUGAAUUCCUGUGUUAGGUGCCACAAUCAUGCUAUUUUCAUUGCGGCCAGUGUUUUUCCGAAUGAUAUGUGAUAGUAACCACACUGUGAUAGUUGCCACAAUCGGUAGUCAAUGUACAUUCACGAGCCAACUACACUGGAUGGCAACCAUUGUGCACAUAAAGUGUGCCUGUUGCCACCUGGAUAGUAUAUUCAUGUGGCAGAUAGAGUGUGAACACACUGUCUGUUGCCAUUCUGCAUAUAAGACAAUGUGGCAAAUUGGUUGCAUAAUGUGGCAACCAACUUUGCAUAUCAAAUGUAUCAGAUGCCAUACAUACGCUUUGCAUGUGGCAAGUUUUUGCUGACCUCUUUGCAUUUACAUUUCCACCAUGACAAUUUGGUCUGUUCCCAUCUCAGCAGAAUGGCUCGUGGUGAUCGUCAAAACGACGAUGAUGAUUUCAUGGAUCCACCACAGCGUAAUCGGGCAACUGGGCGAAGAAAAGAGGGUGAUGAGGUAAAUGUUCAUACAUCCCCCCUUCCUCCUGCUGUAUGUUAAUGGUUGACACCUUGAGCUUGCAGUCGUCUGACACGAACUAAAAUUUCUUUACAUUGCAAAACGCGGCAACAACUGAUCUCUUUUUUGCAAAAACAUGGCAACAAUUGAUCACUUUAUGUCUGUUUUUUUGCAGAAGAAGAAACGUAUUCAUAACAGAGCCUCCCAAGAACGACUGACUGCGUUGACUGACAAAUUCAGCGACGAUCAGAAGGGGGCUGCUACUGAGAUGGGUAUGCAGUCUAUGAUGGCUGUCCGGUGCACGAACCUUGUCAACCCUGUAUGCGAUUGGUUUGGUGAGAUCUACGACCCCGCCGCCAGAGAAUUCGUGAUUCCGGGACGCGGAAGACUACCGCUGAAUGAGGAAUCCGUGUUCUGCAUGUUGGGUGUGCCCCGUGGACAUAUCAAAGUCCCGUACGAGGUCAACAACGAGAUCGAGGAAGCGAUGUUCCCCCGUUUGUUUCCUGGGUUGGAAUCCAUGCCGAACACAACUGCAGUGGCACAUUCGUUGGAGGCCAUGACGACGCACGGAGAUGUUUUCAAGAUGAAGCUACUCAUGUACCUCGUCUCAGCCGUUUUCGCGCCGACCACUUCUCUUCGCCCAAGCAACAAAUGCUUCCCCAUCCUGGUGAGUGAUCUAUCUUUACUACAUUAUUUUUCCUUCAAUUUUUUUUUGCUUCGAUGUCAUGUGCAAGCUAGUCACUGACAGUUUUGUUGUUGUUUUUUCCAUUGGAAUUCUGACGCGGCAACUCCUUGUCCUGAAUUUUAUGCGGUGCAGGCGAAACUGAAAGAUGUGAAGAACAUGAACUGGUGUAAGUUCAUUGCCGACUUCCUGCAUGAUGCAUUUGCAUGCAAGGUGUACCAGAAGGGUUGUCGACUGCAUUUAAUGGUACUUUUUACCGGUCCUUUAUGUGAACACUAUUUUUAACACAUCUUUAUUCAUGCAUGUCAACAUGAUCAUAACAAGAUGGCAACUGUCAUGUUGAUUAUGUGGCAACUGCCAUCAUGACUAUAUGGCAACUGCCAUCAUACUGUGAUGGCAACUGCCAACAUGACAACAUGGCAACUACCAUCAUACUAUGAUGGCAACUGCCAUCACUCUAUGAUGGCAACUAGCACAUGUAGAUGGCAUAUUCUUCGUAAAAUACCAUAUAUUUUAUCCUGUUAUUUGUCGCAAAAUACCAUGACCGCAACUGAUUUUUCUUUCUUUUUAAAAUUGUUGUACAUCAGCUCAUGUACGUCGACUGCCUUGAUCUGUCCAUCGUGGACUUCACUGGGACAGGAGGCCCGCCGCCUGCGCACAAGUUUGUUGUUUCUGCAUGGACUAUCGAUGCUGUCAAGGCUGUGCUUGCUGCAGACAGGGUAACUGAUGGCAAAUAUGGUAAACUGCAGGUUAGUUCUGCUUUUUUUUGCAACACAUGAACUGCUAGUCAGUGUUCAUCAUUCUCUCUCUUAUAUCGUUGCUACUUUUUUUUCUUUCUCCCCAGCUGAUGGCCAAGCAUUCUAUAGACUACAGCGUGUUUGGGGGGCCUCAAAACUUUGAAAAGUGGAUGGACGUGCACUCAGCUCCGUCUUGUCCUUCAGAGGUAAUCAAAAGAUCUACAUAUAUGGUUUGCUGUGGAGUAUUUUUCGAUGUCGUGCAAGUGAUUGCAAUACGGGUUUGUCAUUGAUGCCUCUUUGUUUUGUGUACAGGCGAGGGCACCUGUUGAGCAGCUAAUAGGGCAGUUUGCAUCUGGAAUGACUGGCUUGCUCGGGAAGUUGGUUGAGGGGUGGACGUCCCUCAGUGGCUCUGACGGCGACGCGGUUGCGAGGCAAUUCACUUCAUUCGUCCCAGAACAUACACACCGGCCAACCGGUUGCCAUGGCCGGUAUGACUACAACAGUUCCCAGGAGCCCGCUGACACACAAGAUGAACUAGGUGGAGAUGCUGGUCUUAGCAAGGAUGACGAUGAUGUCAUGGAUAAUGUGCAAGAGGACACCGGUGAUGAUGAACACGCUGAAGUUCGCGCAGGUGGUAACAAGGGCAAGGAUGCAACAGAUGUCCCCUAAUCGGAUAAAGUCAAACAACACACGGCUGUGAGAGGCAAAGGGGUUUUGCCAUCAAAGAGGGGGAUGGCUCCAGAGGGUGCUGGGCAAGUUUCUACUGGCAAGAGGUCUAGGACCGACCCUGUAGCUGCCAGGAAGAGGUUUGACUUUCAUCUUAGCUUUUUGCUUUGUCUAUUUUCUUCGAACAGACUCAUCCUCUUUUUCGCACUUGUGUUAUGUCAAACGCGGCAACGAGAUUGCUGUCUGACAAUUGCCACCUCCUUUUUUUUGACCUCCAUCUCAUACGUGCAGCGAGCCGACAGCUGGUGGACGAGCAAUUAUGAAGAAACAGGCGCCAACGCCAACCCGUGUUUCUGCUCGGUUGAACAAAGGUGCCCCCAUUGCCGGUGAUACCACUUUCACCAGGACAUCUCCUUGCACGACGACAACCAACACCGGGGAUCCUGUCGUGUUGCCAGACCUGAGGAAGGCAGUCAGGAAGUAGGUUUCUUCAUCCGCUUUCAUUGACAUAGCGCUAUAUUUUUUUGAUUUUCCAAUGCAUUCGUUUAGCUUGUCACAUUGUCUUCUGUCAUCGCCCCCCACGUGGCAACCGCUGUUUUACCAAAUGAUAUUUUAUUUACUUUCUAAACGUAUGGCAACUUCUAUUUUUGUUUUUCACAUGGCAAGUGGAAUGUAGGCCAAAUGGUAACUUUAAUGUACCUUAUGGCAACUGCCAUCUUUUUACCGUUGUCUUGUGAGCUCAUCCCACGCCUAGGUUUGAAAUUGCAUUCAUGGCAGAUCAGACAUUUUUAUCAUUUUUUCAAGGUUGCUAACAUGGCAACUGCUGCUGGAUGGCAACUGCUAGUUAUGACACAUGGCAACCGACGUUCCCCUUACAUGGCAACUGCCAGCUUUUCCACCUGUUUUUCCAUUUUCUUAAGAUUUCUACCAAGGCAAACAUAAUUUUGUUUCAUUUUUAAAUACCUUUUUCAUGCGCUUCAUUUUUUUUUGCAGGGUGAAGAAGACUACUACGCGUGGGUCCAAGCAUAUCAGUAAGGACCCGCUCGAACGCAUGCAUUCAAAGUUGUCAACAGGGGGCAACUCAGAUGUACAGGAGGCACCAGUCGACAAUACUGCUGCUGCACCGUUGACCGCUCCCACCAACUCUGAUGCAAGUGGCAGACCAUCUCCGCCGGCUGCAGAUGUGCAGCCUACAACAACAGGCAUCCGUACAUUAGGGAGUGACGAGUCGGUAUCUGCCAGGACAGCUGAAAUACUGCCAACCCUUCUGGCACUGAAGGAUGCUGCUGUGAGUCAUGCCACCCCAUCAGCAAGCAUUGAAGUGGGCGCUCCCGAGACGAACCUAGGCAAGGAAGAUUCCCGCUCAUCUGACACUGAUUCCAAGCGCGUGCGCGGUGGCACUCCUGUGUCCACGACAGAAGCGGUCGAGGCGAUAGUUCACAAGGACAUGCCAUCUACAGGCGAGAGUCCUGGCACAACAGCUCCAGCUCCUGGCGGUGCAGAUACUGCUAAGGCGACUGUUUCGCGUGUUGGUCUACCACCUAGGCGUCGUAGCCCCCGCAAGCAACCAACAGACAUACCGAACGCACCGACAGUAGCCAGGAGCAGGAGAGACGAGUCUGGUUUUGUUCCUGCGUCCACACUGUUCCCUCCACCUGCCAAAAGCAAUGUGAUGGAGAAACCUGAAGACCGGAGCACAACUGAUGCAGGUGUCAAGCCGGGCACGAGCGACGCAGGUGAACACCCGGAGCAGACUACGCCUUUUCUUGCAGUGGAAAUCCCCAGCAUAAAUCUGCGCACUUCCAGGCUCCCAGUCAAUGUCGGUGUCCCCUACAGCCCAAACAAGAAGAUUGUCAUGAAAGCUACGGUUGAUACCACUGACAACACGCCCCGCCCUGUAAAUAAGGAUGAUCAUUCUGCAGCGGCCGAUUCAGAUAUGUUUGUUGAUCUUUCACCCUUGGAUUCUGCCCCGCAAGUCGUUCGUGGUCCGGCCAGCAGGAAUGAGAGGCACCCAAUGGCCUUUACCCCACCGAGUUUCAACCUUGGCAUCAGUCAAGAUCAACCGGUUGUGCAAAAUCCUAUGCCAGUUGCCUUUGCAUUCCCAGGAGGCAUGCCUGCAAUGAUGGCGCAGCCAAUGGUCGAGGGCAGGAAGACUGUCAAGUUCGCAGAGCCAAUUGUGGCAGGUACACUUGUCAUGUCCAUAUGAUUUUUCUUGCACACGUCUGUGUAGUUUCACUGUUGUCCCAAUCAUAUUUUUUGUUUUGGGGGGUUCUCACUUGUGAUGGCAACUGACAUGCGAUGACAUGGAAACUGGAUUUGAUGCACCGUGUCACCUACUUUUUUUUCUGCCAUGCUGCAUUUUACAUUUGGGCAACCAUGUGGCAACUGAAGUUGAUUCAAUAUGGCAACUGUAGUCUCCGUAACAUGGCAAACACAGUGCAUCACACAUGGCAACUGGAAUUGAAUCAACACCAUGUCACCUGCAUCUUUUUUUGUUUCCAUGCUGCAUUUUUUCAUAAAGCAAUCACAUGGCAAGUGCAGUUGACACAACAUGGCAACUAUAGUUGCUGUGACAUGGCAACUACAUUCUAACUAGAUGGCAACUACAUUCCAACUACAUGGCAACUGUAGUUGCUAUGACAUGGUCACUACAGCUGGACCACACAUGGCAACUGCCCCACUUUUCCUACCUACAACUCCCAUCAUGCACCCCAUCUUUUCUCACAAUCCAUCUGCUUUUGAUUUCCUAGGUAUCCUAACCCACUUUUUUUAUCACUGCAGCCACACCCGAGGAGAUUUCACCGUCUCUUGAAGAAACUUACCGCAUGCUAGAGGAGGCAGCAUUGCAGAGGAAGUCCUCACGAGGGCAAGGGCAAUCAAGUUCCAACGUGCCUGCAGACACGGUAUCUGAGGAUACCAUUAGGAGUGCCACUCCUGGUUCUGUGAGGCAGCAGAGGGUAGUGCACCCACCUCCCGCGGAAGACUACGAGCCCGAAUUCAGGGCCACUAAAGAACAGACCCAGCUGUACGAUAUCGUCAAGCGGUUUGGAAAUGUGAGGUCCAGCGGCAAGCACAUGAAGGAGCUGAAAGCGUAAACGACCACACCCCAUAACAUCUCAUUUUGCUUUGCUCCUUUUUUACCAUUCACAUCCUUCGUACUUUCUAUGUUAUAUUGUUUUAGUUCUUUCAUAAUUUUUUUUACUUAGUAGGCAUGAUCCUUCCAUGUUAUAUUGUUUUCAUACAGCUCAUGUUUGGACAGAACCAAAGUCAUUCAAUGCGGAGCGACGUACGUCGACCUUGGUGAUCUUGCUGAGUCCGUGAGGCCAAACGGCAAAAUGUCGACGAACGUAGUUGCAUGCGGGAUUGACUACAUCAACAACCACACUGAUGUGUGCGCCGACAAGACAAUCAUGCAUUACAGUGUGACCUGCAAAAUAUGGGACGGUGACUUCCACCACAAAAUCCUGAGGAAGAACUUUGCCCAACACGGUGAUUUCAAGCUCACAAUGAAGAAAUAUGUGAGUACUCCUUCAAUGUCUGCACUUUUUUUUUCACAAGGUGUGCUUUUUGUUGCCAUCAUCUGCAGUUGUGUUUUACGUGGCAGCUGUUUUCAUGUGGCAACAGCUGCCGUGCACACUGACUUAUUUGAUUUUUGCAUGCCGCGCAAACUAUGUGGCAACUUGAUAGUAAAAUACAUGGCAUACUUUUGUUCACACAUGGACGGCAACUUUAUUUCAACUACCCCCACCCAUAACCAGAGUUUUUCUACGUGAUUCUAAUUCCUUUGUCCCCCUGCUGUUCUUUACGCGAACGCUGAUUCUCAUUUCCCUCACUUUUUUAAAUGCAGGUCAUGUUUCCCAUGUUCCAGGAGCUUUCACCACAUGACCCACACGACAAGUGUGGUCACCACUGAUCUGUCUUGACCUGAAGAACCAACAUGUUGAGGUGCUUGAUUCAAUCCGUUCGGAAGAUGAUGCAGACCUCACCACGCAUGCUGAAUUCUUCAUUAAGAACCUCAAAGAGACAUGGCACCGUCACUAUGAACACUCAAAGGUCCAGAUCAUUCAUUUCCCGACUGAGUAUGUGGCGACUACAAAGCAAGGGAACACGUAAUUCCUUCCUUCCUUUUCGUCUGCCAUUUUACAUCAAUCCAAUUCCUGUUUUGUUUGUCAGAUCUGAAAUUGAAGUCUGUCUUUUGUUAUGUCUGAGCUCUUUGUUGGUUACGUUACUCCUUUCCUCGUGCAGGACGGACUGUGGCUUUCACGCGUUGGAGUACCUUGCGAAGUGGAAAGGCAGAAUUGUCCCCGCUAUCAUAGCUGCAACGGUCGUUGAGCUCCGGAAAAUCCACACAUGGAACUGGUUGACGAAUGAAGAUUUCAACAAGCGGUCGGGAGCACGCGAGUUUGUGCAGGAAGCUGUCAAGAAAGUCACCAAGAAGUACAAGUGAUCACGUGGCAUUACAGACCGGACGCACACCUUACAUUCUAUUGCCGAGGAAUGUAAGGUAUUAUCUCGUUGUUUAUUGUUGAAAACUAUGUUUGUGUGCUAUGUUGUGGCUACAACCCCGCGUAGGCUACUAUGUAGUGGUGGUGUGCGAGUGACAUUUGAAUAGUUUCAUGUAAUAUAUGUGUGGACGCGAACCUACUUUUAGGCGUAAUUAUUACAAUGGUUUCGUCGUUUCUAGCACCGGUUUGAUGCUUUGAACGCGUCUACGAUGUUUUAAAAACGAUGGCAAAUGUAGUUCAUCAGACAUGGGUAGUGGAAGUCAUUGUCGUUUUACAUUUUUGGCUGUUUUGCUUCUUCAUUUUCAUCGGUAACUGCACGGGGGUAGGUUGAUCAUGCAGCCACAACGUUUUUGCUGGGGUUUAUGCAUGUUACGCUGUUUUCCAACUUGUUUCCCAUACACUUGCACACAACACACUACGUGCCCGUAAACCGCGUCGUUUUUGUCAUGUGAAUACAUGCCAUGCAGAGUCAUCAGGAAUACCAUGGCAUAUGUCCAGCACAUCUAACAUGGCAGAUACAUUACAAACAACAUGGCAGCUCCAACAUAAUUAACAUGGCAACUACAGCACAACUAAGAUGGCAGAUCCAGUACAAUUAACAUGGCAGAUCCACUACAACUAGCAUGGCAUAUUCAGUACAAAACAACAUGGCAUAUUUAGCAUAAAUUAGCAUGGCAUGUUUAGUAUCAAAAAUCAUGACAGACUAACUACACAUAACAUGGCAAAUUAAAUGCAUACAUCAUGGCAGAUUAAGUACCCAUAACAUGGCAACUGCAUUUAACCAUUCAAUGAAUUUUCCCUUGCACUUAUGAUGCCCCUGAAGAGUUAUUCCCCCAAUUGUUUUAAAAAAGAAUUCUCAACAUCUAGGGUACAAAACAAAAUGUCCACAACGCCACAAUUUUUGCUCAUGGAUUGGCCGCCCCUUUCUUCGUUUUCUUGUAUUUUGCUUGGAUCUCCAAUCCCGACUUGUACCUUAUCUCUCUUGGACGACCCUUUGUGAUGGAACGGGGUGGGUUCCUGACCUGGGUCUGUGUGCUUUCUGUUCCAGAUCCUAUCUUCGAGUUUUCAGACGACGGCCCCGUGGAUGAAGGCACGCUUGAUGUGCGGGGGGACCGGUGUAAGGCUUCCUCGGCUUUCCUCUUCUUGAUCUCAUCAAGCUCUCUUUUUAGUGCUUUCCUGUGUUUUUCUGCGACUCUCGCUGUGUCAUCACUCUUGCACGCUUCAUCAAUUAGCUCAGCAUAGUUCUUUGUCAGCACAACGUGCCUCACAGCUUCCAUGGUUGACUCUGGUCUCUCGUCAUGCACAGCCAGAACUGCGUGUGUUGUUUGCGGUGCCAAUGCAUCGUCAGUGUCCCAAGUCCAUCGCCGCCUUAUGAAAUGUCGGGGCAUCCGUGUCACAUCGUUCACGUCCAUUACUUUUAGUAUGUGACAGCACACAAUGUCGUCCCGUUCGAACUUGCAGCAUUGGCAGUAUAACUCGCCUUCGCCUAUCGAGGUUGUGAUGAAGUAGUUCCUUCCUUUGUCCGGGUCUUCAGGUUCUGAAUCUGACAUGCCCAAAAUAGAACACACCUUGAACGUACGUUCGUCCACCUGGAAAUCCGUGAACAUGCUGGCACGCUUUAUUUCUUCCUGGAAUCUGCAUUUUUUGUGUGUUUUCUGUUAAACUAUUGUGGGGUUUUUUCUUGUAGCACCUUAUGUUGUCAUGGAAAAUAGAUAUACAUUUUGUUUGAACAUGGCAAACGUAAUUCAUUGAACAUGGCAAAUAUAGUAUGUUGAACAUGGCAAAUGCAGUACGCUAUACAUGGCAAAUGCAGUACAAUAGACAUGGCAACUGCAUUUUCAACAAACAUGGCAGAUGCAUCUUAUUUAAACAUGGCAACUGCAUUUUGUUAAACAUGGCAACUAGAGUUUAUUAAACAUGGCAAUUGCAUUUCAGCAAACAUGGCAGUUGCAUUUUAGUAAACAUGGCAAUUGCAUUUCAAUAGACAUGGCAACAACAUAACAUUUUCCAUUUGACACUAGCAUUUGCACACCAACAUGUCCAGUGGAAGUACAUUGCAUUAAACAUGGCAACUGCAUUUCAUUGAACAUUGAAACUGCAUCCGAGUAAGCAUGACAAACAGAAUUUCUAUUGAAUAUGACAACUGCAUCUGAGUAAGCAUGGCAAAUAGUACUUUAUUAAACAUGGCAACCGCAAAAUCAUGGCAACUGCAUCGCACUCUAUAAGGCACAUACUGACUUGGUGCUUUUUCUGCAAAUAAGACUGUAACGCAACUGACUUACUUGUUAAAGAUCUUGUUGGUGUAUAUCUUGCUCAUUUGCCUCUCCAUCGGUAAGUACGUUAGCAAUUUUGGCUGCUUCAGCGCGGUGUUCGCUUCUUGCUGCAGCUCAGAUCCCAGAAUUUUUUGUUGCAAAGCUGUGUACUGCUUGGCAAACUGUAGCAAUGAGUUGCCAGGACUGACGUACCGCUUCAAAACAGCAUUGAAUCCCUCGCUGCGCUGCGUAGUCUGUAGAAAGGGGAAGAAGAACUGCAUGAAGUAGGCCGGCACCCAGUACAUUCGCUUCUCCCACAGGCUUACAAGAGUCUCCUUGUCUUGGACUUGAUGUGUUUCAGUCAUGGCCAUCCAGCUCCUUUCAAACUCCUCCACCGUCAAGCUGUGGUCCACGCACAGUUCGAAUGCCUUAUGCAGCUCUUGACGGUCAGCAAAGAACGGUCCUAGCGUCUCCUCAGCCUUCUUUAUAAUGUGCCACCUACAGUGCCUGUGCACUACCAACGGAAAGACCUCCUCUAUGCCUACACGCAUGCUGAAAUCCUGGUCCGUUAUUAUGUUCAUCGGAGCAAGUCCAUCCAUGCACUCCAAGAAGGUCUUGAACAGCCAAACGUACCCAUCCGUGUCUUCGUUCCGGACGAGCCCGCAGCCGAACUGCAACGACUGAUUGUGGUUAUUUAUCCCUAUGAACGGAGCGCACGACAUCUUGUACAUGUUGGUGAGGUACAUCGCGUCGAAUGAAAUGCAAUCUCGGAAAUGUUUGUAGGCUCUCCUUGCAGCACCAUCCACCCAAUACAUGUUCCUGACACGGUCCUCAUCGUCCAACCUUAUCCUGUAGAAGAAAUCUGCAUCUUUUUUGGCUUUCUCAUCGAAGUAGGCAAUUGUGGCCUCUAUGUCUGCCAACUUGCUCUCUCUACGGUACCUUGCCCGUAGGUUUGUGACGUCAGCUGGUAUGUACGGCAUGCUACUCAGAGUCCCCUUUUUGCUGUGGAUGAGAGAUAGUAUCUGCACCAUUCUCGAUGGAUCGACGUUACAAUCAUGUAGCAGCUUUACGAAUUGCCUUUCGACAGGGGUGAACCCUCUGUGGGCGGUCAGAAAUUUCACCAGGUCGAACUUCUUUAUCAGUUGGUGGUUGUGCUCGUCAAAAUACUCAUUGACCACCCACUGUGCUCCAUCUACGUUUAGCUUACACCGGACAGGGCACUCAGUCUUCUGAAUGAUACCUCUCUUUCGUUUCGGAACAACACGCGCAUCGCCUUUCCCCUUCUUGUUCAUGCGUGCCUUGUGGCACCUCAUCUCACCUCUGCUGUACUCGUUAGUUUUCUUAAUUUUCCUACGGUACUCGGUGUUGACCGCAAACCCAUGGAACUUUGCAUAUGUCUGGUAGUAUUCCUUUGCUGCUUCGAAUGACUCAAAUCUCUGCCCAAUGUACGGUGGCUGAGGCACCACGAUCUUUGAUUGCCCACCAUCUUCAUCCCCUUGCACGUCGUCGUCAGUUUCAUCGUUCACUUCAGUAUGGGUGGCAGUCCCAUCUACCUGAGAGUUGCCAGUGCUUGUGUUCAAAGGAGUGCUUGCCGGCAUUGCUGGAAUGAUUGCCAUUCCCGACUCUGGCUCGAAAUUGUUUGCGGCAUGUUUGUCUGCUGUCUGGUGGAACGCGUCUUCCGUGCGCUCAGAGCUCCCCGCAGUAGAUGUGCCGGCGCCGCUGUGCAUUGUAGUUGUAGGUUCUGUAACAGGGAAAAACAGGUACGAGAUUAAGAAUUUUGUGUUGGACAACAUGUGGAUCGCAAAGGAUCACACCAUCUUCGAGUGAUUUUCCAUGACAUCUUUUAUAGACAGCAAGCCGUCAGUCUGUGGGUGGUCAUUUUUAUGGCAGCUGUAGGUGUGCAGACAUGGCACCUACUGUUCAACAAACAUGGCAACCAUUGUUUUGCCUACAAAUAACUACAAAUAGCAAAUGUAGCGCUGUUUUUUGUGGUUCAGAUAUUUUCCCUCUACCUUGUUGUGCUGUAUUUGACCAUCGUGUGUGGUCUGUUACACCAUAAUGACGUGAUCCACCAGGAAUUUGCGAAGCUUGCCAGGAGACGUUUGCCGGGUCACCGCCAGCGUAAUAACCUGCAAUCAUAGUAGUGGUUGGUCAAAUCGCGGCAAACGCAUUUCGUGCUAGCACGGCAACUGCAGUUGCCCUUAUGUGGCAAAUGCAUUUUUGCUUGCAUGGCAACUGAAGUUGCAUCGGUAGGGCAAUCGUAGUUUGUUAUUAGAUGGCAAUUGCAGUUGUCAUGAAAUGGCAACUGCAGCUUUUCCUACAUGGCAACUGCAGGUGUGCAGAGAUGGCAAAUGUUGUUUUUAAUACAUGGCAACCGUAGAAGACCAGUCAUGGCAAUUUUUGUAGUUGUCAACUAUGCUCCUUGUGCUGACUGAGCAUCCGCAUCUUCACUAUGUUUAUGGACUCACCUGUGUACGACGUCGAUGGCAGGUACAUGGGUGCUGCCCGAUUCCACGUGUUGCACGAAGGCUCUGCAUUUUACACCCGUGAUAACUCGUGAGUCCUUUUGCCAUCUUUUUUUCAUGUUCAUUUUUCAUGUCCACAACAUUAUGUGCUCUUUUUUCGUUUUUGCAUUACCUUGAUUAGCCAUACUAGCUAGUUGGAGUUGGCUGCCCGUACAUUUUUCAGUGUUAGCGCCUUGUAACUGCACUUGCCACGGCCCCCCCUAAGAGUGUUCUGGUCAUAAGAACCUGCAAGACAAAUGACAGUGCACGACAUAAGUAGAAUGUCAUGUCCAUCGUCGCGGAGAUGACAAAUGUUUCUCUUCAUUUUUUAGCACGCAUCGUACCUACGCCUGCAUACUGUUCUAGCAGCGGCAGCAACGGCCCUGCAGAGAUGAGCUGACUGUACUCUGAUGCAUCGAAAGGUGGCGGCGUUUCUGGCCUUUGAGAACCCCAAUCAUCUGCACCAUCUUCGUGAUUCAUUCUUUUCUGCGUCUCGCUUCUGUUCUGAUGUGCUCUCAAUCACUGGAUGAACAAGAAGGCAUCAACAAUCCAAUUUUUUUUUAUCAUUGUGCUGCUUGCAUGUAGAAGUUAACACGUCAGUGCUAUCACAUUUUCAUGCGUUGGCAACCAACAUAUCAUGGCUAGUAGGACAUGCACAUCCACUAUCCUUUUUCUAAAAUCUGGUGCUAGCUAUCCGUUUGAUUCGAUGGCAUCAGGCUCUACAAUAGGAUGGCAAGCAAUAAGUUGACAUGGUGGCACUUGACGACAAUGACAGGUGGCAACUGACGUUAUACACCAAUGGCAAUUAAUUUUCACACACCCCAUUAUUCCAAAUUUAUCAAUUCUCUCUCCCUUUUUAUGGAUUCCUGCACAUCCAUUCAUUCACCAACUAGGAGCAUCAACCUACUGAGAACUCACGGUUAUCUCUAGCGUACUACAUGGCAGAUCUAGUGUAUUCUGCUUGGCAACUACGAAGUCACACAACGUAUGUAGUGUUUUAACCCUGUAGGAUGGAUCUAGUUGCCAACUUUGUCGGUAAUUUUGCAAUUUUCUGCCCAGAAGGAGGAUGAGAAACAGUAGGGAGAUCGGGAGAUUCACCUGCUUNNNNNNNNNNNNNNNNNNNNNNNNNNNNNNNNNNNNNNNNNNNNNNNNNNNNNNNNNNNNNNNNNNNNNNNNNNNNNNNNNNNNNNNNNNNNNNNNNNNNNNNNNNNNNNNNNNNNNNNNNNNNNNNNNNNNNNNNNNNNNNNNNNNNNNNNNNNNNNNNNNNNNNNNNNNNNNNNNNNNNNNNNNNNNNNNNNNNNNNNNNNNNNNNNNNNNNNNNNNNNNNNNNNNNNNNNNNNNNNNNNNNNNNNNNNNNNNNNNNNNNNNNNNNNNNNNNNNNNNNNNNNNNNNNNNNNNNNNNNNNNNNNNNNNNNNNNNNNNGCUUUUAGCUGGUCGUCUCUGGAGGGCGUUGUUGGAGUGGGGGUUGGGGGGGUGGGAUGGGGUGGGGGGAGAUAAGGGGUGUGGUUUGCGGUGGGAGCGCCCUACAGAUCCUCCCUGGUUGCCAUGGCAACCAGAGAUGGCCGGCGACGGAGGUCGGGGUUUGACAGGCGGGGGGCGAGGGCGCAGACGAGAGAGGGGACGGAUCGGAGGCCGGGAACGGCUGGGUCGUGCGGGCAGCGGCUCGUCUGGCCCGGACGAGGCAGUGCGGGCGGGGUUGUCACGCACCGGACGUGCGGGCGCGCUUUUGUGCGCGCGGACGGGGUCGUGCGGGGCGGUUCCCGUCCAUGCCACACGAUACGUGCGGACCGGUUGCCCUCCACGCCACACGUGUGGCAGUUAUUGGCUCCUUUUUUUUCCAAGACAAGAAGGAAACCGCGUAACAUUUCCACCGUCCAUGAUUCUUUUCUGCCUGGCCAGUGGGGCCAGCAGGUCGGUCUCAUCUGAUCUGACUAUAUACUCGACUCCGUUCGCUUUGCUCCUCCCCACACCCCAGUCCCCACUCAGCUCCUUCCGACACACCCGCGAAAACCCUACCACCGGAGGCAUCGCCAUCGCCGGGCGAGAUGAAGGGCGGCGACAUCGAGGCGGGUGGCACCGGCACCGCGGCGCUCAAGGCCGCGCUGUACCCCGGGGCGACGGAGAGCACCGAGCUGCGCUGGGCGCUCAUCCGGAAGAUCUACGUCGUACUCUGCCUGCAGCUUCUCCUCACCGCCGUCGUUGCUGUUGUCGUGUACAAGGUCCGCCACUUCAUCGUCUCCUACGACGGCCUCGGGUUCUACAUCUUCCUCUUCAUCUUCCCCAUCACCGGUGAGACCUCAAACCAUUUCUAAUUUGUGAUCCAGUUGCAGGGAGGGUUUCUCUUUUUGGUAAAAGAAACAGAGCAUGUAUGUACAGGGGCUGUACAAAGCUAAAUUGCAACAUACAACAAGUGCAUUUUAAAUGCCACAAAACAACUACUAUGAUGCACAAUCAUCAGAAGUCUCGCACCCAAUGGGAGAUCUGAAUCUGAAUAAGAUUUCCUUUUUGCUCUGUGAACUAGCGACUGGAGCUCUUCCUUAAAUGUACGCCUGCAAGCAUAAAGACUUUGAGUAAUUCCCCAGAAAAUAGAAGGUCGUUCUGUGUAUUCCAACUGGCCCAAGAGGCAAGCAGUGCGAAAUUCGGACGAAUUUAUACACGAUACUGCUAGUUGUAUGCGUGCGUUUUCAUUAUGGCUUUCCCUUUGCAUUCUUUGUGCAGAGCCAUGGAUUAUAACUCCUGAUUUUUUCAGGAACGUCCCAUGCACUCUUAAUUUUUCUUAACUACUCUAGAUUUGACGUGGUUGCUUUGUGAAUUGCAGCUGGGAGUAUAAUCUGUUCUAGAAUGCUUCUUAAUUUUUUGUAUGCAGUGCUGUUCCCGCUGUUCAUCUACCGCAAGAAGCACCCAGUCAACCUGCUGCUGCUUGGCGUCUUCACAGUGGCCAUCACCUUCUCUGUGGGCUUCAUGCGUUCCUUUUAUAGUGGUAAAUGUCUUCCCACCAUGUAUUUCUGCUCCUGCUGCCAGCUCCUAGCUUGUUCUUCAGUCACUCUGCUGCUUAUGUAAACCAGCACAAUCAUAUCAUCAAAAUAUGAUAGCUCCUGCACCAUCAGAUUCUUGAGUGACAUCUGCCAGAUCCUUGCCUGUUCACCAUGUGCCUUUAAUGCCUCUCUCAUUGUGUUAAUGCAUUACAUAUACAUGGCUAGUAGAAAUUUUUCUACUAUUACCUUGUUAGUCACCAUGUGCCUUUAAUACCCCUCUCAUUGUGUUAAUGCAUUACAUAUAAGUACAUGGCUAGUAGAAAAUUUCGUACUAUUACCUUGUUAGUCACCAUGUACAGCACUAUUGUGAAGCACUUUGUUUGUUUGUGGACUGGGUUCAGAAAUACAUGUGAUACCAAUUUGCCAUGGCCAUGCAAUGGUAGGCUCGGCCAGGCAGCCCAUGUGACUGUAGUUGAUGCAUUUUCCCAGUCUGUGUUGAGGGCCAAAUUGUAGCUGUUGGUCACCGUUUAUGAUUGAUAUGCUUGUCUCAGAAGCAUUUGUAGUAUUGCCAGCUAGCAGGAUUACCUUUUUAGAGGACGUUGCUUUGCUAUUUCCAGCUGUUACUUUUUUAACUAAGAAAUUGCCUACAGUAAGCUUCGCUUUUUUCAUAGAACAUUGGUUGGAUCUUGCAUUUUUUUUAUUGUUUCUUCCGGCCACUAUUUGUUGUAAGAUACGUAGUGUUGUGAUAGUAUCAGUUGAUCUGAAGGCCUAUUUGUCCAAUAAUAUGCCAGCCGUCCUGCCCAAGUUGACAUGAUUUUGGCAAGGACGUGGUUUAGGUUACUGGACUAGCUUAAACUUUUAUCAAAAUAAAAAGGAUUUUCACUUGAUAUAUCAUACUAGUGUUCUCACAAUACAAUAGAUGUUCAAAGGUUAUUUUAAAGGUACUCCAUGCAUGUGCUGGUUAAAUCUCAUUGGAUUGAAGUGAUUGAAAUACAUAAUUUUUCGAUUUAUAUAAAGUUAUGUUGUCAGGCACUGUGUGAUCUAUCAUUCAUUUGUGUUUGCCUCAGCGUUCAUACAACUGCAUUUUGGGGUUGUACCAAUUCCAAGGUUCGUUCUAGCUUGUACCACAUCGCAGGUGGUUGUUGAUAGAUUGCUACUUCAAUGCAUCACAGCCAUUUACUUCAGAUUUUAGCAUGCAUGUGCUUUAUUGUUUAGUCAGAUUUACAUGAUAGUUUCCUUGGUAAAGAGAUGUAUGUGAUGAUAAGAAGGCAAUUAGUUCAUUUUGUAGUCCUGCUCUUAUAUAUAUGAUAUAUGUGUGUUUUGUUCUUUGAUAAAGAACCACUGCUAAAAUAGUCUGCUAUGUGCGCAGGCAAGGUCAUUUGGGAGGCUGGGAUUCUUACAAUCGUGGUUGUCUUGAGCCUCACUGCUUACACCUUCUGGGCUGCAAGGAGGGGCAAGGACUUUAGCUUCCUUGGUCCUUUCCUAUUUGCUUCUCUGGUGAUUUUGCUCGUCUUUGGGUUCAUUCAGGUCAGAUGUCGUCCGUUCCAUUCUCUAGUUAGGUGUGUCGCCCAUUUAUCUAUCAGUCUUCUCUAUUCUACAAUGCACAUACUGAUGGCAGCAAAAUAACCGUCUCGCCCAGCCCGCUCCCGCNNNNNNNNNNNNNNNNNNNNNNNNNNNNNNNNNNNNNNNNNNNNNNNNNNNNNNNNNNNNNNNNNNNNNNNNNNNNNNNNNNNNNNNNNNNNNNNNNNNNNNNNNNNNNNNNNNNNNNNNNNNNNNNNNNNNNNNNNNNNNNNNNNNNNNNNNNNNNNNNNNNNNNNNNNNNNNNNNNNNNNNNNNNNNNNNNNNNNNNNNNNNNNNNNNNNNNNNNNNNNNNNNNNNNNNNNNNNNNNNNNNNNNNNNNNNNNNNNNNNNNNNNNNNNNNNNNNNNNNNNNNNNNNNNNNNNNNNNNNNNNNNNNGGCGCGGGACAACGCCCUCGCGCGGAUGCGCGCAGCCAUGUAGGGCGGCGCGGCGCCGAUGCGUCCGGGGCGGCCGAAUGGCGGCUCUCUGGUGCGGAGGCGCGGGUGGCUGCAGAUUCGCGGCCAGGCGGGGCGUGCCGGCGCGGGGCGGCCGCGGUGAGCUUCUCGGUCCAGAUCUGGAUCGGGGGCUCCUCCGGCCUGCUGCACGUGGGCGGUGCGUCCUGUCGGUGGCGGCUGGAUCCCGGGGCGGCGGCCUUGGAAGGUGGCGGCUGGUGAAGCUCAGGCUUCCCGCGGCGGCAUGGCGUGGUGCAGUCCCUAUCCAAGGCGGAUCUGCAUCGGCGAUCUCGUGGUUUGGCCACGGAUUGGUUCAGAUCAGAGACGGUGAUGAGUGUGCGGGAUCCAUCCCGGCGGCUCUCACGGUUUGGCGAGGUGGGGUGGGAGCCCUCCUCCCAGGCUCCAGUGGUGGCGCAUUCAGGCAGUGGCUGGUGCGCCAGGGCUCCUACGGUGGCACUGCUGUUGCAGUUGGUCGCCGGAUCUAGGCGGCUAGAUCUGGGGCUUUGAAGGUGGUCGAGACAGUGCACAGGUUGUCGGGUGGAUUUCUUGGAACGGAUCCGGGUGAAAACUUGGUCUUCGGUCAUUGGCCGGAGCCGGUGAUGAUGAUGCUCUUAUCAUCGUUUCCUUCAUGAAGGCAUCAUCGAGGUGAAGCUCCUAACCCCACCCAAUACCUCCGGGGGAAACCCUAGAUUAGUUGAUCAGAUGACGGCGGCAUUCAUGUGUCGUUACCCCCUUGGGGGCGGCAUUCUUGGAGAUGCACUCGGGCUCGAGGGACCAGCGGAUGGCAUCUGCGGUGGAGCGGUGUUUCUUUCUACAUAUUCUUGGCGGCGGUUCUCGACGGCAUGGAGCAGUGGAGGCUUGGCGUCAGAUGUGUGGCGAGGGACACGCGCAGGAGGUCGACGUUGUCUGGCGCCGUGGUGGCGUCGAUGGCAGAGUGGCCUGACAAGGUCGAUGCGUCAGUACAUGCUUUGAGGAUGGAUCGAGGGAAGACGGAGGUGACGGCCCUUUGCAGCAUGUGCGUGUGGUACUCACUGAGAGUGCGCCGGACCGGAGUGUUACCUAGUCCCGCCUAUGUGGCUUGGAUGGGGCAUCUGACGUUAGAUGUUAGGCUUUCGUGCAAUGUUUGUUUGGUAUUUGGCCCGGACAUUCGGCACACCUUCAUCAAAGGGAUAGGAGUAGCAACAAGUGUCGUCUAGAUGGUGGCCUCGGGCUUACUGUUGUAUUACUUUGUAAGGUUUUUAUGAAUAAUAAAUAAUAUGGCCGCAUGCAUCACCCAGAUGCAGAGGCCGGGGUGAUUCCUCCUUUUAAAAAAAAACAUACUGAUCAUGACUUCUGUUUGCAGAUCUUCUUCCCGCUGGGCAAGCUCUCUCACAUGAUCAAUGGCGCGCUGGCGGCACUCAUCUUUAGUGGCUACAUUGUCUAUGACACGGGCAACAUCAUCAAGCGUUACACCUAUGACGAGUAUGUCUGGGCCGCCGUCACACUCUACCUUGACAUCAUGAUUCCAGCUGUGCCUGCCACCCUUCAUUGGGUGGAUGACAGCCAGGCGCGUCACCCUGCCCCUGCUCUCUCAUGAUUCAAAUCCCGUGGACGAGUCCCUUGACAAGAAGAGUUGUAUAGGCUUGUCAGUCUCGCUGGCACGGUUUAAUUGAGUUGAUCCCUACUAGUAGAGGGGAUGCAUAAGAAAACUGCUGUUCGUCAGUUCUAUUCUAUGUAUGGUGGAUGUGAUGUUGUAUUUAGGGGAUCUUUGACAUGCUGGGUUGGUGGUGCUGCUGCGUUUACGGUAUUCUGAUAUCAUUUGUGUAGCCGCGUGGCUUCUACUUCUUGCUUCCCAGCACAUAUGAAGAGGUCUCCUGGCCCGCCUUAUGGAUGGCGUUUGUCCUAUACCAUGAAAUACCAAACGGACGCCUGUUCGCAUGUACUCCCUUCUUCGUCCGGUAAAGAGUGUAAGUUUGGCUUCAAAAUUUGUCCAUAAAAAAGUGUACUUCUAUCUUUCCAAUGCAUUUUAAACUAGAAAAAAAUACUUCUCUCUCAAUCACACAGUAAUCAAGACCAAUAACAAUCUACACAUGAUCUUCUUAAUUUCUACAUGCACUUAGCUCAUUGGGGGUUGGUUAAUUAAAGAGGAGAAAGAUGAUGGCUUGCACUUUUCCAAUGCAUUUUUUACUUCACUUUAUAAUUUGUCCUAAAAUCUCUAGAUGUACACUCUUCUCUAUUCUACCGCAUACAGAAAUCUAGCAGAGUCUGUCAUUUGUGUGGUUGCAGCCAUAUGACAUGUAGAGGUUGCAAAGGCAAAACACAAACUCGGAUUCGCUAAAAAGACAUUUUCGUGGUUUUCGUACAUGUGUGCCCCACCUGUCAUAAGUUACAACGGUUCUUUUCAAAAGAUUCAGACUUUAGUUCGAACGCAAAGCGAAGCAUUAUUCAUUGCUGACCUUUUACAUCGCAUUACGCAUAAAGAACACAUUUUGGUAGAUCCACCCUUUUCAAGGCAAGAGCACAAGCAAACAGUUGUCAUUUCUUGUCAGACUUUUUCAUCUCCCAAUACACCCAUAAUAAGGACCCAUGACAAAUUUUAUUUGUUCGGGCCAUAUUUAGGCUUGAUUCAUUUUUUUGUGAAAAAUGCAAGGAUACAAUCGGUGCCUAAAUAGAAGCAAAUUAGAUAUAAGAAUUGUAUCUAAAAUUUAGACAAUGUGAGAUUAUUAUGUCACCAUCAAUGAUAUAAUAUAUUAUCUAAACCAUUGCUUAUUGUUUUGCAACCGUCUUACAUCAAAUCGUUAAUAACACACAUCAUGGUAGAUCUAUCCUCUUCAAAGCGAAGCACAACCAAAUUGUUGCCACUUCUUGAGAUACUUAUUCAGAUUCCUAUACACACAUAAUAAGACCUCAUUCAAAUUUCACUUUUUGAGCCAUAUUUUGGUGGUUUAAUAUUUUAAGAAAAAUGCAAAUGGCGUAUAAAUACAAAAAAAUGUUGUACACUAUAGACCCAUACAAAUUCGUACAACAACCUAAAACUGCAUUUCAAUCAUGUUUUUGAAAGUAUAACCAAAGAUUUACGAAAGUGCUUACAUAUUUUAUAAAAUUGUUCCCACCAAUUUAGAAAAGUUUGUCAUUAUCGUUACCUCAAUAAUCCCGACCACUCCCAAGUUUUCAUUCCCUCAAUUUUUUUUGUUCCCUCCAGCAAUUUUAAAUGUCACGCUCAGCUUUCCCCAUCAUUCCUAAAUACCUCUUAUUCACAACAUUUCCCCGCAACCUCAGUCACGCCGCUCCCUUCUUCCUCUCUUCUUCUGCAAAUCCGGUGCCAUCCUGGAGGAGUAUGGGUCCAUCUCUGGCAUACGACAUGGUCGGCAAACUUGAAGCUGGAACGUCCGCAAACCUUCUCCGCCUACCCUAAAACCUAAUCUUAAAUGACCAAGUGCUCUCUUCCCCCUGCCCCACCCACCCCCUCUAAGAUUUGACGUGCGUCUAGAUUCAUACGUGUUGUUCAUUUUGCCCUCUUGAUGUAAUUACAUCUAUGUUACCUGUACUAGAACUCCAACUUUGGGUUUAUAUUAGGGUACAAACUGCAGGUCAUUCUAUCUAGGGUUCUAGUUAAGUUUCCAUGUUCUUAAUCAAAUUGUCAUACUAAUAAUGUAUUUUAUUUUAUGCAACUUGUGACCAUACCUUCAUUNNNNNNNNNNNNNNNNNNNNNNNNNNNNNNNNNNNNNNNNNNNNNNNNNNNNNNNNNNNNNNNNNNNNNNNNNNNNNNNNNNNNNNNNNNNNNNNNNNNNNNNNNNNNNNNNNNNNNNNNNNNNNNNNNNNNNNNNNNNNNNNNNNNNNNNNNNNNNNNNNNNNNNNNNNNNNNNNNNNNNNNNNNNNNNNNNNNNNNNNNNNNNNNNNNNNNNNNNNNNNNNNNNNNNNNNNNNNNNNNNNNNNNNNAUAGGCGCUUUAAAAUAAUUACAGUUUAGGCUUGAAUAAAUGCAGUAUAAAAUUAGUGUUUAAUUUGUCAAGCACAAAACCUAAAUAUACUAGGCUCAACUAUGUGCACCAACAACUUAUACUAAGGAAGAUAAACAAGUAUGUGAUAGCAAGAUCUAUAAAUUGAAGCACUAAGGAUAUCACAAAGUAAGUGCACAACUAAGGGGCCUGGGUAAGAGAUAACCGAGCAUGCGGAGAUGAGGAAGUAUCCCGAAGUUCACACCCUUGCGGAUGCUAAUCUCUGUUAGAGCAGUGUGGAGGCACAAUGCUUCCCAUAAUGUUACUAGGGCCACCAUAUUAUCUUCACACCCUAAGAAUAAAAGUUAUGACAAUUUAAAGUUAGAGGGACUUUUAUGCAAAACUACCUAAUUGGUUGUAAUUAAAUAAUUUAAGUUUAAAAGCUAUGCCAGGUGUCGUGAUCUGGGUCACGCUGUUCAAUGAUAACGAACAACACUGGCUGAUCGGUAUUGAUUCAGCAAAAUCAAAACACAACCGUAGCUAGGGUUUCGGCUUCACCUAAGUUUUCUUACCAAAUCGAGACCGACGGCGACGGUGAACAUCAACGAUGCUACAAUGGGUUUCGGGACCUGCUUGUUAUACCCUUGGACGCAGACAGUUCCGGUGAUGAUCGAGGUAUCUUGUCGGAGUUGCUUCAACACUCGGGAGUUGUUGGGUUCGGUCAUUGGUGUCGCUCUGGUGCUCCUGAGUUCAAGCCAAUGGGUUAGUGCGACGCACAACAGCAGGACGAACUCGUCGAGCAAGGUCUGGGGCGCAGUUCGACUCGUUGGAACGGUUGACACAGCGGGGAUGCGGUCGGGUGCAGAUACCCACGCCCUGAGCUUGACAUGGACAUGUCAAGGUGUCAAAACGGUGUGCUAGACCACAUGGAUGAAGUGAGAAAGAAAUUGGCCUAGGGGUUCACCUGUGCUCGCCGAAAAUGCUCGUCAGAGCUGCUUCUAGUGGCAGCGCAAGGACAAAUCCGGGCAGCCUGGUGGCGAAGGGGUGCACGGUUGCUGGGGGGUUGAACGAGGGGGUGGGGGGUAUUGAACGGUGUUAGAAGGAAGAGAGGGAUUUGGUGGAAUAGUUCUUGUAUUGCUUGAGCCUCGUGGGCAUAUAUAUAGGAGUACAUGAUCUACUUGAAGUACAAGGCAAGCCAGAAUAUUUCCUAGUCUAACCUAUGUUUCCUAAUACAAUCACGUUACUCAACAUCCCCCCGCAGUCACAACGGUAGCGACGCAGACGGUGAGACUGGAGAAGAAUCCAAAGGCAAGCCGACGGACACCGCCCCACAGUCGUAACGGUCGACGCAUCGCGGAGUCGUGGCUGGAGUAACAACCGACGAGGUUCCUCAAGCAAGGCGGUAGCCCUUUGUGCCGUUUGUCGAUGUAGCCGAGAGCGUGGGUAGUGGAGCUGUGGUCGAGGUAGCCGUGCGAAAAAUGCCGUGGUCGAUGUCGAGUCGGGGUGGCCGGUGUCGAGGAAGUCGCUGUGGAGCCGCGGGCGCAAGGGGGCGCCGAGUUAGCAUGGGCGCAGUGGUGUCGAAGUAGGGGUGCACCGGGAAGAAAAUGUUGUUGACGACGCGUCGCGGCGGAUUUGCCAAGCCCGGGGACACAUCGUGGACGAAGGCACGCACCGGUGUUGCCAACACCAGACAUGCAUAGACGGACGAAGACAAAGUUGACGAAGCGCCGACCAGGCUUGCCAGGCUCGGGGACACGUCGUGGAUGAAGGCACGCAUCAGUGUUGCCAGCACCGGGCAUGCGUAGAUGAGGGACCUGCAUGAGCUGUACGCCAUGUCGGAGAAGUCGGAGGGGCCAGCAGAGAAGAACUCGACGACGAUUGCGGCGUCCAUCGGCGCGGGGCCGAUGUUACCAACGGUGGUCGGAGUAGACGAAGUGGUCGGGGUAGAUGACGGCGACGCUAGCGAUGGGCUGGUGCUGGACGAAGACGAAGGAGGUGGACGGGCGGCGGCGGCUACGUGGGUAGCAGCGGCGGCUAGGUUAGGAGCGCGGCGGCGGUGCUUGAAGUAGGAGAAGAACCCGACAGCAUGACCAAGACCGGCGCGGAAGGUGGCGUUCCCGCGCCAAAGGAGGCGGCGCGACGCAUACCACGGAAAGUCAACGCGCGUGGACGAUGAAGUGGACCAUGGGCCUCCGCGCUACGGCCCGAAGGGGCGACGCAGCGGCGGCGGGCAGGUCGGGGUGAUGGCGGGAAGACCUCGGGGCGCCGGCAGGGACCGCGGGCCGUGGUGCGACAGCCCGAAGGCGCGGCGCAGCGGAGGAGUGCGGGUCGGUGCAACCACGGGGACGGCCUCGGGACGUCGGCGUGGACCGCGUGCCACGCUCGCUACGGCCCGACGGGGCGACGCAAUGGCGGCGCGAGGGUCGGUGCCGCCACGGGGACGACCUGGAGCGGACGGUCUCUGGGCGGCGGUGGAAUGCGAGCUGCGGUACUACGGCCCGAAGGGGCAACGCAGCGGUGACGCGGGUCGGUGCAGCCGGGAGAAGAACCACAGGGCGGCGGCGCUGCGGCCCGACGGGGUGACGCAGCGGCAGCCCGUUGCUCGAUCGGUAGAGGGGCGCGCUGAACUCGGGAUGGUCUUCACGGGGCCUGCGGAGGCACGCGCAACGGACGGGCCAGGUCGGUCGCACGGAGUAGAUGAGGCGGAUCACGGCGGCGGGCAUGUGAUCAAUCCGAUCGCGCGCGAGGUCGGGGACGCUGCUCGGUGGAGGCGCGGUGGCAGCGGAGUCCGAGAUGAAGCCGACGAUGGCAGGCGGCAGGGCGGCUAUGAUUGGCUGCCACAUGGCGUGAGGCCGUCAGGUCGGGGUGAUGCAGGAGUCCCGGUCGGAGCAGGGCGGUGACAGCCCGCGUAGAUCAACGGGCGGGUCGUCGCGCGAACGGCGGCGGUGAAGGGCCGCCGCGUGACGCGAGGCCGCCGGGUCGGGGCUACCGGCGGGCCGAUGCAAGAACGCCGCGCGAGGCCGCCGGGUCGGGGCGAUCGACGGGCAGACGCGCGAACGACGCGCGAGGCCGCCGGGUCGGUGAAGAAGCCGGCCAAUCGCGCCGGUGUUGGAGUAGAGGCGCACGGGGUCACUAUAAAAAAAUACAUUUCCGUGAUGAUACGUGUUUGUCACAGUAGGUCGCUUUUUUUGUCAUGCAUGUACAUCCAUGACAAAUUUAUGACAGAAUCAAGAUAGUCAUAUGUGUGCUGUCGUAGAAGUGUUCCAUGACAUUACCAAAAUUAUCAUCACGGAAGUGUCCACUUUCAUGACGAUAAAUUGCGCGUCACAGAAGUGCUUUCGUCAAGGGUGACCGACACGUGGCAUCCACCGUAGCGGAACGCCGUUAAGCUAUCGGGUCGGGUUUUGGAUCCGAUAACCCGUUAACAGCCCCGACCAAUGGGGAUUUUCCACGUGUAAAAUCAUCAUUGGCUGGAGGAAACAUGUGUCGGCUCAUCGUUGGGACAGAUGUCAACCACUCAUUGGACGGAAGGUGCCUAUGAUACGUUGACACGUGGCACGGCCCAACAAAGGCCCAUUCAUGUGAAAAGGCCGGCCCGUUGACUUGGUCAAAAGCUGGCGGGCCGGCCCAUGAAAAGCCUGUUAACGGCCUGUUCGAAUAUAGCUCAUUUACAGCCCGCUAACCCAAGGCCCGUUACGCCCUAUCCGAAUUAGGCCCAGUAGCGUCAUCUGGGCCAUCCAAUAUGAUUCCAGCCCGUUUUCACUUCUGGCCCAUGUAUGGCCCAUGACGUCUUUCGGCCCAUAUGAGGCCCUAUGUAACUCUUGGCCUACUAACGGCCCGUGGUGAAACUGGCCGGUAAUGAACAGUGUAUCACUUUACACCCAUUAACGGCCCGUGGUGAAACUGGCCCGUAAUGAACAGUGUAUCACUUUAUACCCAUUAACGACCCGUUAUUCCGUUGGGCCGUUUCCAGCCCAUGUUAUCUUUCGGCCUUCUCAGAGCCCAUUUAUUCUUGGGCUCAUUUCCAGCAUUCGUUUACUUACGGCCCAUUACUGUCAUUUUCUGCUUGUGGGCCAAAUUCAGCUCGUGGUUACAGUCGGCCCGUUUGUGGUCCGUUAAUACGUUGGGCCAAUUUCAUAGCGUCAUCAAAUACGGCCUAUUAACGAUGGCCCGUUAUGGUCGGCCCAUGAACGGACGAUUCCAACUCUAGCCCGUUUACGGCCAUAAUGCAGUCUGUUUGGCCCAUGUUUGGCCAAUCGAUUAUACGGCCCGUAUAAGGCCCAUUGAUAAUACGGCCCGCAGAAGACCAAUUGUUUCUACGGCCCAUAGAAGGCCCAUUGUUUCUACGGCCCGUAGAAGGCCCACUAUUUCUACGGCCAGUAGGAGGCCCAGUGUCACUACAGUAAAUAUUAGCCCAUGGUUAUUGUGGCCUAGUUUUAAAAAAUAGGUUAUUGCAGCCACUAGCUAACCGCGGAAAAAGAACUGCAAUGACUACAAGCAAACAAAUAAACAAGACAACAAGGAAAUAAAUAAGCAAGCAACUAACGCUAGGCUAUCACGGCUAUUACACAUAAUACAUCCACUAGGCAUCAAAGUUCGCCACCAGUGCAAAUAUAGGGAACAAAGCAGCAUAUCAUAUACACUGGUUGUCAAAGUUGGCGACCAGUGCAAAUAAACGCCGCAGCAAAACAAAUCCAGAACUGAAACCACUUCAAAAGAUCUCAAGAAACAAAAUCCAGGGUACCCAUAAUGCUGGCAAGAUGCUUAGCAAGCUUAUUAACUUUCUCUUGUUUGGCGCUUAAAUCCUCUAGCGCUUGUUGUUGCCCUAGAAAAUAUGCAUCUGAAUUCUGCAGGGACUUCCUCAGUCCUUCAGCUUCCUGUCGCAGCGCAUCUGAUCGAUGUCUUUGAACUUGAAGUUGAGACUCAAGAAGACGAACUGAUUCAGGCAGCGAGUUCGGAGAGCUUGUGCCAGCAGUAGUGGCCAGUAACUCGAACACUACAUCAAGACAGGACUUUUGUGUUCCCACACUGUCGUCAAGAUAGUUUUUAUCAACUUUCUUGGAGACCAACAGGGAUGUCUCACUAUCUUGAACCUUAUCUGCAUUACUUUCUUUACCAUUGGAUAACGCGGUACUGUUCUCCAAUAUUUUGUCCGCAUUCUAAAAGAGAAACAAGCAGACACAUCACAUGUUUACCAUGUUGUAUAUGAAACUCAUUUUGGUAAAUGAGUUCAGUAGUAAAGUGGACAGGAUAACAACAUGAACAAACAUAUAUCUAUGUACCAUGGUCACUUUAUGGUCUAUAUCAUUCUAGUUUUUGUUGCCAAAUCAAGAUAGAGACACAGUUCAAAUAAUAUUUGUUCAAGACAAAGCAGAAUAGAUAGAAUAUAAGUGUGGGUAACUAUAGAGCAAUAACAACACUUGUAAUGUGCAUGACAUGAGAACAUAACUGUUUAUUCAAUUGAAACUGAAAUCAACAUAGAGCAGGUUACAACAGCAAACCAGUUAAAGAAACAGGUUUAAAACAUACAUGUUGCGCCAUUGGAGUUUCAAUUCCAUCCUUCAAAUUUGAAAAUAGUUGGUAUGAGUAAAUACAGUCAUGCAAGAGCAAAGGAGUAUGAAUCAUAGCUACAGAACCUGACCUGAGAACAAAUCUUCUUCUCCUUUAAGCGUUGAGUUGGGAUUCGGAGUGGUGGUCCUCGUGCUUUCGGCACUGCAGUUCCCUUACUAACUGCUCGUGUUUGGGUGCUCUGUGGUGGAAACGGUGAUGUGUCAACCGGAACUGGGUUACUAUCUGCCGGGGUUGGGGUUAGAAGGGGUGUAGCUGGUUCUCUGUCCAACUGGGUAGGGGUACAAUCUGCGAGAGUCUGGGUUAUGUGUGGUGGAUCUGGUCCUUGGGCAAGUACAACCGUGGUUCUAUCUGCAUCAACUGGUAACACUAUCUUUUCUGAAGACCGUGUUGUUACUCCCUCAGAUACUGCCAUCACGCUCUCCAAUUCAAAUGGCUGAUAAACAAGAAAAGUAAUUGAAAGUAUAGACAUUGUAUGAUAGACAGGUGCAAUGGAUAGUGGGGAAUAAAAGAGGGCAUGAAAUAAUUCAUAUUUAUGUUGUCUAACCAAACAUGAUAGCAUGACAGAAUUUCACAUAUAUUAUGGCUAACUAAACAUGAUAGCAUGACACAAUUUCACAUUAUGAUGGCUAACUAAAAAAGAUGGAAAGACAUAGUUCAAAAUAUGAGACUAUGUAAACAGGAUGACAUGACAUAACUAUAUAAUGUGUUUAUUAAAUAGGUUGGCAUGCCAUAAUUCACAUACAUUCACGGAUAGAAUGCCAUAAUUCAAAAUAUGACGACUGUAAACACUAAACAGAAUGAGAUGAUAUAACUAUAUGAUGUCUUUAUUAAAUGGGUUGUCAUGCCAUAAUUCAGAUAAAUGAUGUGUAUGUACUAUGUAAACAUGAUGGCAUGAUAUAAUUCAAAUAUAUGAUUUAUAUAGUAAGCAAGUAAGCAGAUGGAAAUCCAUAUAUGAUGUAAAAACUAAGCAAUGCAAGACAACAUGCAUGACAUGGGUAAUAUAACCCUGCCAAGUUUGAGCAUAGACCUCAGGGGGAAAAUAAGACUGGUCAUCAGUCUCUGAAUCCUCCUUUGAGGAGCUAUCUAUAACUAGCAAGAUGUCUGCUUCAGCGGGUAGAAUUGUCUGCUCUGAAUACCUUGUUUUCACUCCAGAUACUUCCAUCACCGCUUCAAAUGGCUGAUGCACAGGAAGAGUAGUUGAAUAUACAAAUGUUGUCGCCAAAUGGAACACAUAAUACAAAAAAAUGAUAGCAUGAUAUAAUUCACAUACAUGAUGAUUGGCUAAACAGCAUGGCAUUGCAUAAUUCACAUAUAUAAUGCCUUUGCAACAAGGUAGCAUUGUAUAAUUCACAUAUAUAAUGUCUUGCAACAAGAUGGCAAUGCAUAAAUCACAUAUAUGGUAAUUAGACACUGAACAGGUGGCAUUCACACAAAGCAUGUCUAAACUAAUCAAAUGACAUAGCAAUGCGAGACACCAUACGCACGAUAUGAGCAACAUAACCCUGCCAAGUUAGAGCAUACACCUCGGGGGGGAAUAGGACUGGUCAUCUGUCUCUGAAUCCUCCUCUAAGGAGCUAUCCGUAACCAGCAAGAUAUGCGCUUCAUCAGAUAGCAUAAUCUGCUCUGAAGACCUUGUUUUCACUCCAGAAUUUGCCAUCACCGUGUCAAAUGGCUCAUGCACAUGAAGAGCAGUUGAAUGUAAUAACAUUUUUGACAAAUGUAAUAUGUAACGAAAAAAGGAUGGCCUGAUAUAAUUUACAUAUAAGAUGACUGGCUAAGCAGGAUGGCAUUGCAAAAUUCACAUAUAUGAUGCCUGGCUAAACAAGAUGGCGUUGCAUAAUUCACAUAAACGAUGAAUAAACUAAACAGAUGGCAUUCGCACAAAGGAUGUCUAAACUAAGCAGAUGACAUAUUUGAUGUAUAAAGUAAGCAAUACAAGACACCAUAUGCAUGAUAUAACCAACAUCAGCAUGCCAAGUUAGAGCGAAGACCUCAGGGGGUAAAUAGGAGUUGUCUUCUCCUUCUGAAUCCCCCUCAGAACAGAUAUCUUCCUCUCGAUUAAAAUCUGAAAUGCGUGGAGGGGGGCUGCCUUUGCGCCUACCAUGGAGCGACGUCUGCAUGAAAUUUUAUUGCCAUAGAAGGCUUGUCUCUUUUGCUCUACAUGUUCAGUUCCAUUGUUUACAAUAACUGCCAUGCAUAGGAAUAAAAGAUAGUGAGAUUAUGUAAGGAGUGCAUGCAGAAAUCCAGAGUGAUGGUAGCAACCUAUGUGUAGACCCAAAACCAAUAAUAGCAGGCAAAUAAUGGCUUCAGUUAAAAAAUACAGAUAAUGGCUUCUUUACUGUUUGUUUCCCACCCAACAUGAAACUCAUAGUAGACACCGGAGAUUAACCAGAUAGUAGAUAGAUACUAUUGAUAGCGGCCCCGAUAUGUACCCCACAACCAUUUAAAAACUCAAGUUUAACCAUUAGUUUGGAGCUUACUCAGAGUCUAAUCAGUGAACAAGACGAUAAAGUAGCAUGUAAUAUUAAGCGAUGCAUAACGUAAGAAGACAUGAAAGAGUGCGACCUCUCUUGCGGACCCGUGUAGUCCUCGAGGUCAUCUGCUCGGUUGAUGAUGGUAGUGCAGUUUUCAUGGCUGCCAGCGGCAGGGAAGAAGAUCUGAGGCGGCGAAAGACACUCUGGAGGCCGGAUCCCUGCUGUGCUGGACCCUUCUGUCGUUGGAGCAGCUGAGCUGGGGUGGACGACGGCGCAGCAGGAGCGGGACAAACCACGCAAGGUUUUCUUUGACAACUAUCUGUAAGAGAAGUAAUUUUGUGAGGGCUCGUUUGAAUUGGAGGAUUCCAACAACGCAGGGAUAGGAAAUAGACAUGAAUAGGAUAGGAAUGCACGUGCAAAACAGAGAAUUUAAAAACACAGGAUUUCUGCCAAUCUGGGUGUUUGAUUCACAACAAUUGGAAGAUCACAGGAUGCAAAGAAGCAUGGUGAGAUUAAGUCAAACCAUAAGAAAAUGCACGGUUAUAAUGCUAUUAUGCUACUAUCUCUUAGUCGUGUGCUUCAUGAAUAGGAAUUUGAAAAGGAGGACAAGUGAAAAUUAAAAUUCCUACGUUUUUUCUUUCAAGGAGACACUAAAGGAACAAAUCCGUGUGCUCAGUAGACAAUAUAUAUAACAUGUAGAGUAAAAAGAGAUGCAACAAGUGUACAACCUCUUUGGCGAAGCCAUGUCGAUCUCAGCGUGAUUGGGUUGGCCGGUGAGGAUGCUCCGACUGACUUGGCUGUCGGAGGAGGGGAAGAAGAUCUUAGGCGUCUGGAGAUGGAGCCUGAGGUACUGCUCUGCUGUGAUGGAGGAUUUCAUCGUUGGAGCAGCUCCGGUGAGUUGUACGACGCCGAGGUUGAAGCGGGACAAGAGAGACAAUGAACAACGUUAACCUGAGUGGAAUUCUAAUAGAAUCUCCAAUACAUGACGUAAAAUACAUAACCACAAAGUGCUAGAUGUAAAAUACAUCAGCUGCUCAUCUCUGAACUUAACUAUCAAAACUGAAUUUAACUGUCGCAACUGAACUUAACUGUCGAAACUGAACUUAACUGUCGAAACUGAAUUUUGCUGUCGAAACUGAAUUUUGCUGUCGAAACUGAACGCACUAGCAAGGUGAGGCUACACGUUGGUCGACUGACUUUUUCAUUUCUGGUCAGGCGAUUUUGCAGCCCGUGGAUAUGAAAUCAAGGGCCCGCAGUUCAUCUUCAACCUCCACCCCCCUGAGCCGGCCAAACAGCAGCCCCCUGCCGCCCGUGGCCGGCGGUGCGCCGCACCGCCCGCCCCCGAAAACACUCCCACCGCCGGUCCGCCGCCGCCCUGGCCAUCCCUCUAGCCCCUCCACCCCCCGUGCCGAGCUUUUUCUCCGGCGAUCCCCACGCCACCGCCCCACCAACGCCCCGCCACCACCGGCGACCACCGCCCCCAUCCUGAACCCUAAGAUAGAUAGUGGGGUACCUCUCCAGCGAGCCCCCCUCCCCGCUGCGGCUGGCUCUUCCUUCACCCCGGCGGCAUCGGAGUGAAGUGUAGCUAAAUAGGAGCAGCAUCGCAAGCAAGAGCAAGAGCGAGAGCAGCAGCGCGAGCAAGAGCAAUAGCAAGAGCAGACCAGGCAGGGACCGAGAGCAAGAGCAGAGCAGCAGCGCAAGCGAGAGCUAAAGCAGUAGCAGGUCCAACUGAUGUGGACGUCGCCACCGAGGGAGCGACGCCGUGGAGGAAGUGGCCGGUGACGCUGCUAUGGAUGGAGCCGCGCCGUGUCGGCUCGGGACCGAGCGCCGGCAGCACCGUGAGAUCGAAUCAAGAACAAAAUGCGGCGAUUAGUGUACAACCUCUGUGGUGGCGCCGAUUAGGCCGCAGCUUCAUCCGAGGAAACGGUGGUGAUGAUGCUCUUUCGGUGGUGUAGGUGAAGACGGCGGUGUGGGAAUGGAGGUGGCGCGAAAGACGAGGGGAACGUCGAGGCAGCUCCUUGGAGGUGGAGGACGGGGUGGCUGAACCGGCGGGACGAUGAGAUCGACGACGGAUCCUCAUCCGGACGGUGGAUGAGGGACGUCAAGGUGUUGCUGUGGACGACGUCGUCGGGGAAGAGGCUCCGGCUGGGUGGCGGACGGAGCAGGGUGUGGGGUUUCGUCGCGGGUUUUCGCGGCCUCGGUGUACGAAUGGGUGGGCGGAUGGGAUGGCAGUGGGGAACCAUGGCUUAGAGACGCGCUUGUCUGAAAUGUGGGGUAACUUACGAAAGUACCCCCACCGAUUUGAGGUGGUUCUUUUGGUUCAGGGGUACCACGGGCAUUUCGCGUGUUGGGACUUCACAGGAGGUGGGAGUUUUCGCGCGCGUUGUAAUUUCGGAAUAGCAAGGCGUGGGUUGAGAAGGAGGGAGUUGUCAGAGCACAACGAGACAAAGAUAUAUCUUAAAUAUUUCGGGCUAACAAGGCGCAGGUUGAAAUUUCCGGACAAGCCUAACGUGUACUGUACCAAAUCAAUGCGCCCUACAAAUGCCAUUCAAAACUUUGAGUUCAUGUUAUGUUCAAUUAAAAUAUUUCGCUACGUGUAUGAUGCAUGCAACCUACUACUCAAAUGAACGUUUUAGUGCAUUCCAAACGUAUAUAUUACCGCUUCAAUAUGAACUAAAUUUGAAUUCGUUUCUCUAUUUGAAUAAGAUCUACAGUAAUGAUUGUUGUGAAGUCAAAGCAUUUGAAUUCGUUUCUCUAUUUUAAUAAGAUCUACAAUCAUCAUUAUUGUCAAGUUAAACCAUCGUUUGUGUAUUAUCUUCACAGCACACCACAUGAUUAGUCUCGAGUUACAUAUGAACUAUGUGUACUAUAUGAACUCGAACUAGAUUUUCUGAAUCCACUUUAUUUUGAUUUCAAAUCACAUUACAUAAUCUAAACCAUGUCUCAUAUGUAUAAUGUGUUUAUCACAUUAUGUAUGGUGCCCCGCCCCCUACGCCUACAAGUAUUUAGAUGUGAGUUGCAAACACCACACAUUACCACAAAUUCAAAUAAAAUGUGAGAAUGUUCGAUAUAUAGUAUUGUUUAGAUUGUUCGAUAUUUAGUUGUAAACUGCAAACGCCACACAUUAUCACAAAUUCAAAUAAAAUGUGAGAUUGUUUGAUGUAUAGUAUGGUUUAGAUUGUUCGGCAUUUAGCUGUGAGUUGCAAACACCAUGCAUUAUCACAUUAUGGUAUAACAUGUGCACAGCACGUGUAUCACCGCUAUAUUCAUGCAUGUAAUGUUUAAAACACUAUGAUCUCCUAUUCAAAUAUAUGAAUCCGCUUUCAUAUCAAAUUAUGAUCUUUGUUAGUAUCUUACACCCACACAAUCCUCUAACCUUUGUAGCUACCACUAACUUUCUCUUGUGCAUUCACACGCCCUCCUCGCCCUCCCCCUCCCUCGACAUUCUAUCCACCGGGCAUAUUCAUUUUUUUUCUUUAGGUCGUUCCCCCACAGUCUCCACAACUCCUUUCCGACACACACCGAUCGAUAAACCUCUCCAGCGAUUGAUACGUCUCCAACGUAUAUAUAAUUUUUGAUUGCUCCAUGCUAUAUUAUCUACUGCUUUGGGCAAUAUUGGGCUUUAUUAUCCACUUCUAUAUUAUUUUUGCGACUAACCUAUUAACCGGAGGCCCAACCCAGAUUUGCUGUUUUAUGCCUAUUUCAGUGUUUCGAAGAAAAGGAAUAUCAAACAGAGUUGAAACGGAACGAAAUCAACUGGAGAAGUUAUUUUUGGAAGGAAACCUACCGGAUAGACUUGGACCCUACGUCAGAAGAUGAAGGAGGAGCUCACGAGGGUAGGGCACGCCCACCCCCCUGGGGUGCGCCCCCCUACCUCGUGGCCCCCCUUCGGUUCACCGACGUACCUCCUGCACCCAUAUAUACCUACGUAACCUAAAACUUCCAGAACAGAGAUUAGAUCAGGAGUUCCGCUGCCAGAAGCCUCCGUAGCCAUCGAAAACCAAUCUAGACCCGUUACGGCACCCUGCCGGAGGGGGCAAUCCCUCUCCGGUGGCCAUCUUCAUCAUCCCGGUGCUCUCCGUGACAAGGAGGGAGUAGUUCUCCCUCGGGGCUGAGGGUAUGUACCAGUAGCUAUGUGCUUGAUCUCUCUCUCUCUCUCUCUCUCGUGUUCUUGAGGUGAUACGAUCUUGAUGUAUCGCGAGCUUUGCUAUUAUAUUUGGAUCCUAUGAUGUUUUCUCCCUCCCCCUCUUCUCUCUUGUAAUGAAUCGAGUUUCCCCUUUGAAGUAAUCUUAACGGAUUGAGUCUUUAAAGAUUUGAGAACACUUGAUGUAUGUCUUGCCGUGGAUAUCUGUGGUGACAAUGGAAUAUCACGUGAUUCACUUGAUGUACGUUUUGGUGAUCAACUUGCGGGUUCCGCUCAUGAACCUAUGCAUAGGGGUUGGCACACGUUUUCGUCGUGAUUCUCCGGUAGAAACUUUGAGGCACUCUUUGAGGUCCUUUGUGUUGGUUGAAUAGAUGAAUCUGAGAUUGUGUGAUGCAUAUCGUAUAAUCAUACCCACGGAUACUUGAGGUGACAUUGGAGUAUCUAGGUGACAUUCGGGUUUUGGUUGAUUUGUGUCUUAAGGUGUUAUUCUAGUACGAACUCUAGGGCUAUUUGUGACACUUAUAGGAAUAGCCCAACGAAUUGAUUGGAAAGAAUAACUUUGAGGUGGUUUCGUACCCUACCAUAAUCUCUUCGUUCGUUCUCCGCUAUUAGUGACUUUGGAGUGACUCUUUGUUGCAUGUUGAGGGAUAGUUUUAUGAUCCAAUUAUGUUAGUAUUGUUGAGAGGACUUACACUAGCGAAAGUAUGAACCCUAGGCCUUGUUUCCUAGCAUUGCAAUACCGUUUACGCUCACUUUUAUCACUUGCUACCUUUCUGUUUUUAUUAUUUCAGAUUUCAAAUACCUUUAUCUACUAUCCAUAUACCACUUGUUUCACAAUCUCUUCGCCGAACUAGUGCACCUAUACAAUUUACCAUUGUAUUGGGUGUGUUGGGGACACAAGAGACUCUUUGUUAUUUGGUUGCAGGGUUGCUCGAGAGAGACCAUCUUCAUCCUACACCUCCUACGGAUUGAUAAACCUUAGGUCAUCCACUUGAGGGAAAUUUGCUACUGUCCUACAAACCUCUGCACUUGGAGGCCCAACAACGUCUACAAGAAGAAGGUUGUGUAGUAGACAUCAAGCUCUUUUCUGGCGCCGUUGCCGGGGAGGUGAGUGCUUGAAGGUAUAUCUUUAGAUCUUGCAAUCGAGCCUUUUAGUUUCUUGUUUUAUCACUAGUUUAGUUUAUAAAAGAAAAUUACAAAAAAAGGAAUUAAGUUUGCCUCAUAGCUUCAUCUUUUUAAUAUCUUUCGUGAGUAUGAUGGAAAGGAUAAUUGUGCUCAAGUGCUAGAAGAAUAAAUCUAUAAAAUGUUUGGCACUAAAUAUUUGAAUGAUGAGCAUGAUUGCAAUGUUGUUAGAAUGAAUUCCUUGAAUAUCUAUGAUGCUAAUGAUAUGCAAAGCCACAAUCUUGGGGAAGCUAUGUUCGAUGAAGAUGAUAUUUUUUGUCCCCCGCCAUCUCAAAGGAUUCCGCUACUGACAUUAAGCUACCAACAGCUCGACUCCCGUGCCGCUCCCGCGGGCAGCCCGGGAGUUAACCCUAGCCGCCGCCAGUUCCUCACCUCCGGUUCUUCUCCCCUCGCCGCCGCCGGCAUGGGUCGCCGGGCAAAGCCCGCGCGGCCUGGCGGCGGCAGGGCCCUCUCCACCUCUGUUUCGGGGCUUCGCGGCGCGGGCCGUUGGCCUCGGCAGGAGUGUGUGGGGGCGCUCUGCUCAAGGCAGCGCGGCAAGACGGCGGCGCGGCGCAGGAUGGCCCUGGCGCGCAGGUCGCGACGCGGGUUGGUUCUGGCGCGCAGGUCGUGGCGCGGACGUGAGCGGAUCUGGCGCCUGGAGGGUUCACGGUGGGCGGGGCGUCUGCGCCUGGCGUGGAGGGCGCGCUGUGGUGCGGCUCGGCUGCGCAUGGAGGUGCAGCGCGGGCGUGGGAGGUCUGGGCGGCCCAGAUCUGGCGAGCGCAGUGGCAUCGGCUUGGGCGUCGCGGCCCCCUCUCCCUUCCCUUGACGGGAUCUAGCACGCGGAGCUUCUGGCGGCGCGGCGCGCCUAGGCUCUGGCAGCAGCCCUGUUCUGCGGAGGUGGCGGUGGUGGGUUGCUUCGUCCGGUGGCAGGCGCCCUUGGGGUGCUCACGGCAGGGUGUGCGGCGGUUGUCCCUGAAGCCUUGCGCGGGGCACAGCAGGAUGGAGGAUGCUGGUGGUGCAUCGACUCUGGCGGUGGCGGCGGUGCGAGCGCAGCCAUGGCGGCGGCGGCGCUGCGAGGCCUGGCCAGGAAGGGACUUGGCGGGCAGCGGGCGUUCGGCUGCUGCCGUGUGAGGCGUGCAGCGAUGCCUUGGCGGUGUGGGUGCCGGAGUGUGGUCGGAGGUGCGGGUUCUGAUCCAUUCUGGUGGCAGUCCCCUGGCGCAGGUGAAGGCCACUGUGGCGGAUCUGGCUGUGCACCACUCGGUGGUUGCUGCGGUUCCUAGUCGAGGUUGAAGGUGAUGGCUUUAGGCGUGUUCCCUCGGCAGUGAGGGGGGCUUCGAUGGCAAGUUGCUGCGGUGACGGCGGUGUGAGGCAUCUGAUCGGGACUGGCCGGGAUCUUUGAGACGUGGAGGUGUGCGGUGCUACGGAUGAAAAUCUUGUUCGGUUGUGGCUGGACCGGCGUUGAUGGCACCUACGGGUGUCAUUCACCUUCCUGGAGGCUUCGCCGAGUGCAACGCCAUCUUCCUCGCGACCUUGUAACGGCAGCUGUCUCUGGGGCGAAAGCCUUGAUUCGUAGAAUCAGCAUGAUGGCAACGUCCUUGAGGUUGUUACUCUAUUGGGAGCAUUGUGAUCGGAGACUCGAGGUCCCAUGAUGCGCUCCUCCGACGUUCACCGCUGCCCAGAUCUUUCUCCUUCGGCGCCAUGUACGGUCGUCGCCGGCUUAUCCAAGGAAGCUGGAGUUGCUGUUCUUCGGAGGUCUUCAGCGUCGGCCGAGACGCGGCAAGGGGUUCGGUGUAGGGCGGGCGUUUUGUGUCGUAGUUGUGUUGUGGUGGUUUUGGUUGUCCUUGUACGAUCCAGGUGUGGAGUGGGUCGCCUUCGUUGUUCGCAGCGACUGGUUGACGUUGUUGUAUGUCUCAUUUCUCUUCUUCUAUAAAGCUAAGGUACGCAAUUUGCGUACCCUCGGAAAAAAAUAUUUUUUGUCCCCCAUGUUUUGAUGAGCAAAUUUUUAUGAUGAAAGCAUGCCUCCUAUCUAUGAUGAUUAUUGUGAUGACACGUAUACUUUAAAGAAUAAUGAUAACCAUGAAACUUGUCAUCUUGAUCUUAAUUUUCAAUCACAUGAUAGUUAUUUUGUUGAGUUUGCUCCCACUAUUAUUCAUGAGAAGAAUUUUGCUUAUGUGGAGAGUAAUAAAAAUUAUAUGCUUGUAGAUCAUGAAAAGAAUGCUUUAGGCUCUGGUUAUAUUGUUGAAUUCAUUCAUGAUGCUACUGAAAAUUAUUAUGAGGGAGGAACAUAUGCUUGUAGGAAUUGCAAUAAUAUCAAGUUUCCUCUCUAUGUGUUUAAAAUUUUGAAGUUAUCCUUGUUUUACCAUCCUAUGCAAGUUGAUUCUUGUUCCCACAAGUUGUUUGCUCACAAAAUACCUAUGCAUAGGAAGUGGGUUAGACUUAAAUGUGCUAGUCAUAUUCCUUAUGAUGCUCUCUUUAUGUUUCAAUUCUUAUCCUUUAUGUGAGCAUCAUUGAAACCAUCAUGCCUAGCUAGGGGCGUUAAACGAUAGCGCUUGUUGGGAGGCAACCCAAUUUUAUUUUUAUUCCUUGCUUUUUGCUCCUGUUUAGUAAUAAAUAAUUCAUCUAGCCUCUGUUUAGAUGUGGUUUUAUGAUUUUAAUUAGUGUUUGUGCCAAGUAGAACCUUUGGGAAGACUUGGGGAAAGUCUUGUUGAUCAUGCUGUAAAAAACAGAAACUUUAGCGCUCGCGAGAAUUGCUGCCAUUUUUGAAGAGUGAUAUUUAGUUAAUUCUUUUUUCAGAUGAUUAAUAGAUAAAUUCCUUAGGUCCAUAAAUUUAUUUUAGAAUUUUAUGAGUUCCAGAAGUAUCCGUUUGAUCCAGAUUACUACAGACUGUUCUGUUUUUGACAGAUUCUAUUUUUGAUGUGUUGUUUGCUUAUUUUGAUGAAUCUAUGAGUAGUAUCGGAGGGUUAACCAUAGAUAAGUCGGAAUAUAGUAGGUUUAACACCAAUAUAAAUAAAGAAUGAGUUCAUUACAUUACCUUGAAGUGGUGAUUUACUUUCUUAUACUAACGGAGCUUACGAGUUUUCUACUUUAAGUUUUGUGUUGUGAAGUUUUUAAGUUUUGGGUAAGGAUUCAAUGGACUAUGGAAUAAGGAGUGGCAAGAGCCUAAGCUUGGGGGUGAACAAGGCACCCCAAGGUAAUAUUCAAGGACAACCAAGAGCCUAAGCUUGGGGAUGCCCCGGAAGGCAUCCCCUCUUUCGUCUUCGUUCAUCUGUAACUUUACUUGGAGCUAUAUUUUUAUUUACCACAUGAUAUGUGUUUUGCUUGGAGUGUCAAUUUAUUUUGUUAGGAUUUUCUUUCUGUUAUUUAGAACAAUGUUUUGAAUCUUUUAUUUCAAUAAAAGUGGCAUUGGUAGCCUUUACUAUGCCUAUGUUACAAGUAUACAUGUUGCUGUUUGAAAACAGAAAGUUUACUGCUGUUGCAAUAAUUCCCUAGAAAAGUCAGAAUGUGAUAAAAUGUUGAAACCUUUUGCAUAUUAAGAUCUGAUAAAUUUAAUACAGUGGGAAUUUUAUGUCAUAAUUUUUGGAGCUAGGGAAGUAUGGAUGUUGCAGCAUUCUUUACAGACUAUCCUGUUUAGGCAGAUUGCUGUUAUGUUUGCAUUGUUUGCAUAUGUUUGCUUCUUUAAUGAUUCUAUUUGAGGAUAGGACUAUUAAAUAUGCAGAGGCAUUUAGUAUGCAAUGUUGAAUAAUAAUUUUAGUGAUUUGCUACAAUAGAGUAUGAUAAGGUUUUUGCAAUGGUUUAUACUAACUUUUCUCACUAGUCCUUGUUGAGUUUUGUGUGGAUGAAGCUUUUGAGAUUUAGGGAGACCGUGAUAUCAGAGGAAUUAAGCAGACACAAAAGCUCAAGCUUGGGGAUGCCCAAGUCACCCCAAGAUAAUAUUUCAAGUAGUCUCAAGCAUAUAAGCUUGGGGAUGCCCCGGUUGGCAUCCCACCUUUCUUCUUCAACAAUUAUCGGUUAGUUUCGGUUGAUCCUAAGUUUUUGCUUCUUCACAUGAUGUUUGCCAUUCUUAGAAUGUCAUUUUAUUUUUCUUUGCUUGCUGUUUGAAUAGAAUACCAAGAUCUGAAAUUAUUAAAUGUUAGAGAGUCUUCACAUAGUUGCAUAAUUAUUCGACUACUCAUUGAUCUUCACUUAUAUCUUUCGGAAUAGUUUGUCGUUUGCUCUAGUGCUUCACUUAUAUCUUUUAGAGCAUGGUGGUAGUUUUAUUUUGAAGAAAUAUAUGAACUCUCAUGCUUCACUUAUAUUAUUUUGAGAGUCUUAAAUAGCAUGGUAAUUUGCUUAAAAUCCUAAUAUGCUAGGUAUACAAGAUUAAUAAUAAAAACUUUCAUAUAGAGUAUUGAAUACUAAGAGAAGUUUGAUGCUUGAUGAUUGUUUUGAGAUAUGAAAGUAAUAAUAUCAAAAUCGUGCUAGUUGAGUAGUUGUGAAAUUGAGAAAUGCUUGUGUUGAAGUUUGCAAGUCUCGUAGCAUGCACAUAUGGUAAAUGUUGUGUAACAAAUUUGAAACAUGAGGUGUUAUUUGAUUGUCCUCCUUAUGAGUGGCGGUCGGGGACGAGCGAUGGUCUUUUCCUACCAAUCUAUCCCCCUAGGAGCAUGCGCGUAAUACUUUAGUUUUUGAUGGCUUGUAGAUUUUUGCAAUAAGUAUAUGAGUUCUUUAUGACUAAUGUUGAGUCCAUGGAUUAUACGCACUCUCACCCUUCCAUCCUUGCUAGCCUCUUCGGUACCGUGCAUUGCCCUUUCUCACAUUGAGAGUUGGCGCAAACUUCGCCGGUGCAUCCAAACCUCAUGAUAUGAUACGCUCUUUCACACAUAAACCUCCUUAUAUCUUCCUCAAAACAGCCACCAUACCUACCAAUUAUGGCAUUUCCAUAGCCAUUCCGAGAUAUAUUGCCAUGCAACUUUCCACCAUUCCGUUCAUCAUGACACAUUCAUUAUUGUCAUAUUGCUUUGCAUGAUCAUGUAGUUGACAUUGUAUUUGUGGCAAAGCCACCAUUCAUAAUUUUUCAUACAGGUCGCUCUUGAUUCAUCGCAAUCCCGGUACACCGCCGGAGGCAUUCAUAUAGAGUCAUACUUUGUUCUAGUAUCGAGUUGUAAUCAUUGAGUUGUAAAUAAAUAGAAGUGUGAUGAUCAUCAUUAAUAGAGCAUUGUCCCAAAAAAAUAAAAAAUGAGUAAGGCCAAAUAAAAAAAGGAAGGCCAAAUAAAAAAAAGGAAAAAAGGCCAAAUAAAAAAGGGGACAAUGCUACUAUCCUUCUUCCACACUUGUGCUUCAAAGUAGCACCAUGAUCUUUAUGAUAGAGAGUCUCUUGUUCUGUCACUUUCAUGUACUAGUGGGAAUUUUUCAUUAUAGAACUUGGCUUGUAUAUUCCAACAAUGGGCCUCCUCAAGUGCCCUAGGUCUUCAUGAGCAAGCAAGUUGGAUGCACACCCACUUUUAUAGCUCUAGUGCAUCCGUUGCAUGGCAAUCCCUACUCCUUGCAUUAACAUCAAUCGAUGGGCAUCUCCAUAGCUCAUUGAUUAGCCUCGUUGAUGUGAGACUUUCUCCUUUUUGUCUUCUCCACAUAACCCCCUCAUUAUUCUAUUCCACCCAUAGUGCUAUAUCCAUGGCUCGCACUCAUGUAUUGCGUGAAAGUUUAUAGGUUUGAGAUUAGUAAAGUAUGAAACAAUUGCUUGGCUUGUCAUCGGGGUUGUGCAUGAUGAGAGAAUUCUUGUGUGACGAAAAUGAAACAUGACUAAACUAUAUGAUUUUGUAGGGAUAAACUUUCUUUGGCCAUGUUAUUUUGAGAAGACAUGAUUGCUUAGUUAGUAUGCUUGAAGUAUUAUUAUUUUUAUGUCAAAAUGAACUUUUGUCUUGAAUCUUAUGAAUCUGAAUAUUCAUGUCACAAGUAGGAAGAAUUACAUUGAAAUUAUGCCAACUAGCAUUCCACAUCAAAAAUGAUCUUUUUUAUCAUUUACCUACUCGAGGACGAGCAGGAAUUAAGCUUGGGGAUGCUUCAUACGUCUCCAACGUAUCUAUAAUUUUUGAUUGCUCCAUGCUAUAUUAUCUACUGUUUUGGGCAAUAUUGGGCUUUAUUAUCCACUUUUAUAUUAUUUUUGGGACUAACCUAUUAACCGGAGGCCCAGCCCAGAUUUGUUGUUUUAUGCCUAUUUUAGUGUUUCGAAGAAAAGGAAUAUCAAACGGAGUCGAAACGGAAGGAAAUCAACUAGAGAAGAUAUUUUUGGAAGGAAACCUACCGGAUAGACUUGGACCCUACGUCAGAAGAUGAAGGAGGAGCUCACGAGGGUAGGGGGCGCGCCCCUGCCUUGUGGACCCCCUUCGGUCCACCGACGUACCUCCUGCACCCAUAUAUACCUACGUAACCUAAAACUUUCAGAAAAGAGAUUAGAUCGGGAGUUCCGCCGCCAGAAGCCUCCGUAGCCACCGAAAACCAAUCUAGACCCGUUCUGGCACCCUGCCGGAGGGGGCAAUCCCUCUCCGGAUGGCCAUCUUCAUCAUCCCGGUGCUCUCCAUGACGAGGAGGGAGUAGUUCUCCCUCGGCGUUGAGGGUAUGUACCAGUAGCUAUGUGUUUGAUCUCUCUCUCUCUCGUGUUCUUGAGGUGAUACGAUCUUGAUGUAUCGCGAGCUUUGCUAUUAUAUUUGGAUCCUAUGAUGUUUUCUCCCCCCUCUUCUCUCUUGUAAUGAAUCGAGUUUCCCCUUUGAAGUAAUCUUAUCGAAUUGAGUCUUUAAAGAUUUGAGAACACUUGAUGUAUGUCUUGCCGUGGAUAUCUGUGGUGACAAUGGGAUAUCACGUGAUUCACUUGAUGUACAUUUUGGUGAUCAACUUGCGGAUUCCGCUCAUGAACCUAUGCAUAGGGGUUGGCACACGUUUUUGUCGUGAUUCUCCGGUAGAAACUUUGGGGCACUCUUUGAGGUCCUUUGUGUUGGUUGAAUAGAUGAAUCUGAGAUUGUGUGAUGCAUAUCGUAUAAUCAUACCCACGGAUACGUGAGGUGACAUUGGAGUAUCUAGGUGACAUUAGGGUUUUGGUUGAUUUGUGUCUUAAGGUGUUAUUCUAGUAUGAACUCUAAGACUGUUUGUGACACUUAUAGGAAUAGCCCAACGGAUUGAUUGGAAAGAAUAACUUUGAGGUGGUUUCGUACCCUACCAUAAUCUCUUCGUUCGUUCUCCGCUAUUAGUGACUUUGGAGUGACUCUUUGUUGCAUGUUGAGAGAUAGUUUUAUGAUCCAAUUAUGUUAGUAUUGUUGAGAGGACUUACACUAGCUAAAGUAUGAACCCUAGGCCUUGUUUCCUAGCAUUGCAAUACCGUUUACACUCACUUUUACCACUUGCUACCUUGCUGUUUUUAUUAUCUCAGAUUUCAAAUACUUUUAUCUACUAUUCAUAUACCACUUGUUUCACCAUCUCUUCACCGAACUAGUGCACCUAUACAAUUUACCAUUGUAUUGGGUGUGUUGGGGACACAAGAGACUCUUUGUUAUUUGGUUGCAUGGUAGCUCGAGAGAGACCAUCUUCAUCCUACACCUCCUACGGAUUGAUAAACCUUAGGUCGUCCACUUGAGGGAAAUUUGCUACUGUCCUACAAACCUCUGCACUUGGAGGCCCAACAACGUCUACAAGAAGAAGGUUAUGUAGUAGACAUCGGCGAUGCCUGCCUACAACAUACAAACACACCGUCAAUCUCCUCCUUUAUGUGUCCUUACCUCGUGUCUCUCAUACGGUCAGACACACGUGUAAACUCUCGCCCCUCUUUUCAUCGCUCUCACAACCGCACACGCCUCCCCCUAUCUAGCUAGUAGUUGGGCCUCUCGCACCACCUCCUAGCUCCAUUCUCUCUGUCUAUCCAUCUCGCUGGGCCUUAUUUGCCUCUAACAAAUGGACGUACACCGACCGAUCUCUCGCUAUACAUAUAGCUAGCUAGGUCCUUAUAACUCGUUUUUACCCACACGGCAAUCGAUCUACCUCAUUAGUUGUGUCUAUCCCUUCCUCCGACAAACAACAAUUGAUCUACCGAUCUAGUUAGGUUUGCUUACGAAACACAUGGUUCCCCUUCAUCAUCCAUGGAUGCGUCCCGACAGAUCUAUCACGCACAGGCACACACAGAAACACAUCCCCACUCUUAUUGAUAACAUUGCAGUUCCAUCCUCAGUUUGUCUAGUAGGCCUCUCCCACCAUCUUCGAGAAGCAACUCCAUCACCCAUCCAGCACUCUACCCCUCUCCCUCCCUCUCCCUCCCUCUCCCUCCCUCUCUCUCUCCUCUCUCUCCCAUCAUAUUUCCCGUCCUUCAGUUAUGUAUGGAUGUCGACCGAUCUCCCUCAAGACAUAGCUGGGUCUCUCCUUCUCAACACAUAUACGAGUCAUUCUACCUCUAUAGUUAAUCCUCUGCCUACCCCUCCCACCACCCCCUCCCCCCCACAAACACCGAUACAUUGAGUGCUCUAGUCAUGUCUCCCUGCCACACACAAACUUAACGUGUGCCCUCUAACAUUCCGGUAGGCCAGUCGCCCUAUAUCUUUGACUUGUACACACACACAAUUUCGAUGGCUCUCUUCAUUGAUCUCGCACCCACCCACUUGAUCCUCUCUUCGACUCUAUCGAUAACUAUGACCCCUCCCUCUAUUCUCAUGGAUUGCCCGACCCUCUAUGUAUGAUAUGGAUAGGCCUCCAUUUCACACACAUUGCAUGCCAAAUUUUGUUUGAGAUGUCAUCGGCACAUAUUACCACAAAUAAUUCACGAAAUCAACCUCCCACCCCAAAACAAAAAACACUCACGAAUGCGGUUUGUAUCUCUCACACACACCCAUGUAGGUGGGGGACGUGCACGAAGAGAAGAGGUGCAUGCACGGCGCACGUACUCCCGUCUCUUUCCCAACCACACCCGCGCGGGCACACGGUGGAGCUCAUUUCUGUAUGAAAAAGGCAGCCCACGUGGUAAUUUGGCACGUGUACUAGUUGUCCACUUGGUGGAGGGAGGAUCGUCUACCACGGGUGAACAAACAAAUUGCGUCUUGACGUGUUAUGUUAAAAAAGAGGCAAACCAUGUGGGGCCUACCUUAGAGGCAAGGCUCUAUACACUGGAGUACUUUUGAUGUGUCCCGUCAACUCACAGAACGAGGAGAAGCUUGCUUAGUACGCUGUCUCCCCCGCCCACGGGCGCGGUGGCUCGCAGGAUGAGGUGAAGCUUGCUUACUACGCCUUACGCCCGCUCCCUCGCCCAUGCGCGUGAUGGCUCGCAGGACGAGGAGAAAAAUUUACUACUCCCUCCAUUUACUCCUCAUCCCUACUACCUUGGUUAUAGAGAUUAUAUCAUAUUGUUUGGAAUAUAUAUGUCCUUUAGUAGAUUUCAAUAUGAACUACUAGUACAUACUCCAAACACUGAUGUAUAUAGACGUAUUUUAGAGUGUAGAUUCACUCAUUUUGCUUCGUAUGUAGCACUCUCCCUCGCCCCUCGACCCUCGCCCACAUGGUGGACGUGCAACAAUUCAUUCGGUCUCAUAUAACCAGAACGAUAUAUACUGCACUACCAUUAUUGCUCGACUUCUCGAAGAGGCGAAGAGCCAAUCGCAAGGUCAAUAUUUUGGAGAUGCCAAGUGCAAGGUUAUAGGAGAACGAGUAGUAGGUGCCGCGUCAUUUAUAAAUAAAGUUUUUUUCUUCAGUGGAAUGUACGCAAUAUGAUAGGUUCAUAUGGAGAGAAAAGGAAACCGCUCCACUAUAUACAUAGUCAGGACGGGCCAGCCUACACGGUUGCUUGCUGGGGUUGCUCUCUUCACACUCUCUCGCACAAAACGACUGUGGCCACAUCUCUAACAUCCCAAAGAAUCACAUCCGCUUGGGGAAGGGGUGGAUGCUUAGUGUAGAUGCGGUGGCCGUCGCCGACGGCGAAAACCCACUGUCAGCACGUCCCGAUCAGGGGUCCCCGCCGUUCUCUCUCACAAAGCCGGUGAGGUUGCCUUCGUCCCUUGCUCACUGCCGCGAUGUGGGAAGUUGCCGCCUCCCGCCGCCCUCCUCAAGGUUGAGCUACGUCCCUCAGGUACAACUCCCUUUACAGCCGGCUUGCACCAUUGCUCCAGCUGCCCACAUCACUCCAUGUGGAUAUUUCUCUACUUCUUUGCCCCACACAUAUCUCUACUGGCUUCUGCGUACUGUAUUUGUGAUGAGUUUAUGUCUCAUAAACUAGUCCCAGUAAUCUUAUUCUAAUCACGCUUAUUCAAUUUCUUUGCCACAGGGAUGCUCAUCUCGAUUUUGGUGAAACUGCACAAAAUGAUCCGAUGGUCAAAAGGUUGCAAACUUCAUUUAUUAGGAAGCUCGAACAUUGCCAGCAAAUUGAAGCAUGGUCAGGGUUCAUGGUUCAAGGGCUAGGGACUGCAUGGAUCGUUUUUUUCUUUAGCUGCCUCUGUUCCAAAAUAAGUGUCAACUUUAGUAGUAGUACAACUUUGUACUAAAGUUUGCACAAAGUUGAGAAACUUAUUUUGGAACGGAGGGAGUACAUAUUUGCUAUGAUCUUUCAAUCAUUGAGAUGCAAUAGCAUGCAUGUUAGUCUCCUUUGUAUUUGAUAAAAUGUUGCAACGGGCAACCUUGGAUGCAAGAUACAUGUAACAGAAGCUGGAAGCUUCAUAGCAUUGUACAAAUUUAUCUCACUGAUAAAUUACAGUACGUACUAUACUAGUACUUCCUCCGUUCCUAAAUAUAAGUCUUUGUAGAGAUUUCACCAUGAACCACAUGCGGAUGUAUAUAGAUGCAUUUUAAGUGUAGAUUCAUUCAUUUUGUUCCGUAUGUAGUGGAAUCUCUACAAAGACUUAUAUCUACUAGUAAUAGCUAGCCCCCACUACUAGGAAUUCUCUAUCCUCUCCUUGAGCCACGUCAUAAAAAUUGAUGUAGCCGUUAGAUGAAGUAAAUCAGUCCAUAAUAGUCGUCUGAUCUUGAGGUUGAGAGGCUCCGCACUAAGCCACAUGCAAGCAUGCAGAAAUACCGUGCCACAUGCAUGUGAGUGGGUUUUAAAUCACAUCAACAUGUCUGCAUGCAAGCAUGCACCGGUAGCAUGCAUGUAAGUGAGCUUUUAAGUCCCAUUAACAUGUCAAAAAGAAAAAUAUAAUUCCAUUAUGCAGUAGGAGUUGGCUGAUCUUUUUUCCUUACAUGGGAUGAUCUAAAUGAUGAUGGUAGUUUAUUUAGUUUGGCUACCACAUUUGUCAUGCGGUUAUAGAGUUUUUUUGUUCUAUGAAAUCGAUAAUUUUGCGCAGAGAGAUAUACCGAUGUUCCACGCCAACGCGCGGGGACUCAUCUAGUAAUAUUUAGGAACAGAGGGAGUACUAUGUAAAGAGUUAGGUGUCGCACGGUGAUAGUGUGAGGUGGGCCAUGUAAUCACUGAGUCUGCGUGUUUUCACUGCACUUGCACGCCUCCGCUGUAAGAAUGGAGAAAAUUGUAAUCUAGUAGUAGUAGUAUACCUCCUUUCGCCGAAAGCGUGGGACAUCCAGCAGUCCUACCACCUUAGUAAUAAAGACCAAUGAGCCGUCAAAUCACAUAGACCCAGCAGUAAGUUGGACGGACGAAGCAACCAUCACUCUUGCGCCAGUGAGAGGUCGCGUCCGCUCUGCCCGGGCAUGAAUGCGGCACCGAUUCUUUGGAGCGGCGCUGACGGUUUCGGGUGGGAAGCGCGCGCGGGCGAUGGAGGGGCUUUGGGUGAGCCAGGCUGGUCAGGAGCGGGUGUGGCAGCUGUCCGCAUGUCCCUACCGGACACGCCCGGAAACAAGAGGAUGCAUCGACUCUUGCGGCUAAAAUCAUACACUACACAACAUCUCUUUGUAGGAGUAGGUCGAUCUAUCGCUCUCUCUAACACACACAUGGUGUUAAACACACACACACACACACACGCACACGCACACGCACACGCACGCACCUUGGUCCCGUUGCACCUUCUAACAUGACUUAUUACACCUAGAUGGAGUGAGUAGUAAGUAUACGAGAUACGGUGGCACACUGACUUAAGUCGAAUACAACUGCCCAAAAUUUGUGUGCAUGUUAUAAUAAGGAUUCACUUAAAAUAGUACGUGAGCGAACAGAGGGAUCAAUUGGACAGUGUUCCCGAGCAGUAGCGAGAUGUGUGAGGUAAGAUACACCACUGGCGCUUUUAAUAUUUCUUAUUAAUUUGUUUGUUUCACCCUCUGACUGGUGGGACCCAACGUACUACGUGGAGAGAGGUAAGGUGACUAAGGCUGCAUUAUUUCUGCACCACUGUGGAUAGUCUUACCACAAAAGCCACAUGACACGAUUAUGAUUGAAAUCCCAAUGACUCCCACACACACACACAAAAACACGACAUGCUUGUCACACGAAUGCCGGAAUGUAUAAAAGGUUAUUUCCCUCUCGUUGAACAUAACGGGAGGGUUGUGUAGCUGGUUAGCCUGUUGGCUCACUCUCUCGCCCUCUCCCGCUGGAGCCUCAGCGCUUGUACUUGCUCUCUUCACACUCUCUCGCCCUCUCCAGAUCUAAACAAGACUUCGUUGGCCUCUCUCUCCCCUCACUACUGCUCAAAGAGCCGGCAGUAUCCGUCCACCGGGAAGGGAACGAGGCUUAACGCUAUCGCCGUCGGCGAGGGACUACCGGCGCAGCUGUUCACUUUCCACCCAGCGGCGGCGCGGGAGCACUACAAGAAAUAUGCUCAAUUGUGACCUUCUGGCAGUGACCGUGGAAGAAAUCGUCAUAAAUCUAUGACCAUUUCGAUCCAAUUGGUCGUGGCCUAUUUAGGAGAGUCGAAACCAUAAACCAUAGUGACUAUUUUGGUCAAAAAGGUCAUAAUUGCCUUACACAAAAUGGUCAUAAGCAGACAACAAUGGUCGACAGCCUUAUUUCUAGCUGAUUAUGACCAAUCCAGAUGGUCAUGGUGUUGUAACAUGGAUGACUGGACGUCAACAUCAUCAAUUUUACCUAUGUGUCGUAUCAUUUUGGCUUAUGUGUCAAUUGUAGUGUCAGUCCGUCCAUAGAUUGAUUUAUUGACUAAACUGGGUCUACAUUUACAGACGAGGCCAACUAACACAGUACAAAUGACAUGUGGGACCCGUCCCACAAAGGUGAAUAAAGCAGAAAAAGGCGAAAAAUCACUUUGGCUCAUAGGUGUAUAUGCACCCAUUGUCUAAAUACAUAUUUUAAAAAGUUAAAAAAAUUCGAGAAAAAAUCCCACGUGUAAAUCCGAACACUAUAUGUGUGUGCAUCAAGUUUCAAUGAAAAAUGACAUUUUUGUGACUUGUGUAAAAAAAGACAAUUUUUGAUGCUUGAUUAUAGCUAUCAGAAGCUAUUUUUAAUCUUUUUUACACAUGCAACAAAAAUGCCCUUGUUCUCCAAAAUUUUGUGUGCGAACAUAGGAUGUCUAGAUGUACACGCGAGAUUUUUUCUAUACAUAUUUCAUAAUAGGUGUAUCUACAUCUAAGAUCCAAAACACUACUCUCAAAGAAAAAAAAGGACCCGUCCCACAAAGGUGAAUAAAGCAAAAAAGAAACCACACUACGUGAUUCGAACUAGCUACUAGUCGAGUUCGCCUAAGGAGACAAACCACCACACCGUAACAAAGACAGUGGUACAUUCUUGCCCGUAACCUAUUUAAUGGGUAGUGUCGAGUGGGCUUGGGCCUUGGUGGGACAAGGGCACCUUUUUUCUUUUAUAUUUUUCGUCCGCCGAGUGGGCCAAGUACUGGGCCGCGGCUUGUUUUUUGGUCUGUUUUUUGUUCUUCAAUCUAUUUUUACUUUUGUUUAUUAUUUAUACUUCCAAUUAUUCUAUAUAUAUUGGAAAACAAAUUUCACAUAAAACGCUUGAAAAAAUGUUAACCAAGCAUUUGAAAAGCUUACAUAUGUACAAAAAAUAUACAAUGUGUGUGGAAAAAGUUGAUCAUUUAUUUAAAAAUGUUAAUCGAGCAUUUAAAAAAUGUUAAACAAUUAUAUUAAAAUGUAAAUCAAGCAUUUGAAAAUGUUAAAAUGUGUAAAUAAAAAAAUAUUAAUCUUGUAUUUAAAAAAUAUUUAAAUGUUGUAUAUAAAAAUGUUGACUAUGCAUUCAAAAAGUUCUAACCAAGCACUUGAAAUUGUUAAUUGUGUAUAAAAAAUUUGUGACUCAUGUAUAAGAAAAAUGUAUACAGAAAAUAUACAAUGUGUGUGAACAAUGUCAAUCUUGUAUUUAGAAAAUGUUAAAGCAAGCAUUUGAAAAAAAAUGCUAAACAAGUAUUUAAAAGAAAAAUGUAGAAUGAAAACCAACAUUCAACAUUCAGUAUUUUGAGCCCAGCUUCAACAUUCAUAUUUCUGUCUAGUGUGGUACUUUGCAAAGCAAGUACCACCUAGGCUCCUCCUUUUGAGUUGAAAAUUUGUGAAGACAGUCUUCUUAGUAGCUGAUCAUCCUCAGCCAAAACUCAUGCUCAUUGGCCAUGCGCAUUUCCCGUACCACUAAUCAAACACUUGGCUGCUAAUUCAUGUUUGAGCAUAGUUCGGUCUCCUCGUGAGAAUCUUAUAUUGUAAUUUUAUUCCUAGAACCUAUCUGAGGAGUGACCAACCCACUAGACAUGCCUAGGCUGCCCAAAACACAAUGCAACGCCACGGUCACGCGGUGACUACGUGGCGGGCAUGCGAGUUUACGCGCUCUGGAGUUGGGGCCCUCGGUCACCAUCCAAACCUCGAUGUAUUGCCACCAAACCAUGUAUUUAUGAUUAAAUAGAUACUUAUGUAACUAGAAAUGUUUUUUGGGAAAAAUGAAGACCAAACUAUGAGGCAGCUGCAGUUCAAAUUUGACCCGCUUCCUACUGAAUCGGCGAAAAUUUGUCUAUUUCGCCAGAGGUGUAUAAAUACUUUUGACGACCAACCAUUUUGUCAAUUGUACAUUAAAUAUGGCCUAAUAAAUUAUAAAAAUGACUUGGUCCCAUUUUACAACAAACAUAUGGUAGGUCCUUCAAAAAAAACUUAUUUUGGGCAUUCAAAAAAUGAAAAUUGAAUUUUUUGUCCAAAGAAAAUGAAAACUCCCUUUGGCAAUAUUGUUUGCCAUUCCAAGAUGCGCCCUUGUGCAUGAUAUGAGAUCAUUUGAAUAAACUAUGACAUGAAUGUGGCCAUAAGAUUGAUCAUUUGGAUUGAAAGCCAUGAAUCUUCAAUCAUGAUAGCUCAUUUCUGAGAACACUUUUUUAAAAGAAUUGUCGUACUACAAGUUUAUUAUUUUUCCUGGUAACUUGGUCACAUAUAAUAACACAAUGCGAAGGUUUUCCAAUUUUUUGAUUUUUUCAGAUUUUUUAUCCCCGUUUCAAAAUGCGGUCAAAACGGCGGGCAUGACCAUUCCUAGCUAGUGGUUGAAUCUUGGAAAACUUUUGGUGUUUCUCUGAUUAAAUAUAUACUUAUAUACCUAGAAAUUAUUUUUGGAAAAAAUAAAGAGCAAAGUAUAAGGUAGGUGUAGUUCAAAUUUGACAUGCUUCCAGCUGGAUUGGCAAAAAUUUGUCUUUUUCACCAGAGGUGGAUAAAAUCUUUUGACACCCAACCAUUUGGUAAAUUGUGCAUUAAAUAUGGCCUAAUAUAUUAUAAAAAUGAUCUGGUCCCAUUUUGCAACAAAUAUAUGGUAAAUCCUUCACAAAUGAAAUCAUUUUGGGCACUCAAAAAAUGGAAAAUGAAUUUUUCGUCCAAAGAAAAUGAAAACUUUCUUAGGAAACAUUGUUUUCCAUUCCAAGAUACACCCUUGUGCACAAUAUGAGAUCAUUUAAAAAACUAUGCCAUGAAUGUGGUCAUAAGAUUGAUCAUUUGGCUUGAAAGCCAUGAAUCUUCGCACAUGAUAGCUAAUUUCUGAGAACACUUUUUAAAAAGAAUUAUCGUAUUACAAGUUUAUUAUUUUUCCUUGUAACCUGGUCACAUAUAGUGACACAAUGCGAAGGUUUUUCAAUUUUUUGAUUUUUUUUUGAAUUUUUUAUGCCGGUUUCAAUAUGCGGUCAAAACAGCAGGAAUGACCGUUCCUAGCUAGUGGUUGAAUCUUGGAAUUUUUUUGGUGUUUCUCUGAUUAAAUAGAUACUUAUGUACCUAGAAAUGAAUUUUGGAAAAAUUAAAGAGCAAACUAUAAGGCAGGCGCAGUUCAAAUUUGAUCCAUUUCCAGCUGAAUCGACGGAAAUUUCUCUUUUUUACGAGAGGUAGAUCAAAGCUUUUGACACCGAACCAUUUGAUCAAUUGUACAUUAAAUAUGACCUAGUGUUUUAGAAAAUUGCUUUGGUCCAAUUUUGCAACAAAUAUUUGGUAGGUUCUUCACAAAAAACCAUUUUUGCAACAAGAAAAAUGAUUAAAAAUAGCUAGAAAGAUAAAAAUGCAUGCAAAUUGGUGAUCAUUUGUAAAAUGUGGUAUAACUUGAGUGAAAAAUUUAGAUGAACCGUUUUGCAAAAUAUUUUUGAUAGCUGCUUCACAAAAUGCCUCUAGUUUUAGUACUUAGAACUAUUUUUUGUCAUAAAUUUUCUGAACCAAUCAGGGCUUUUCCCACGGAUCAUCCCACUGUAGCCGAUCUGGACCGUCCACACCCAAUGGAUCGAACGUCUCUCACUCAUUCUCAAGUCUCAGCCACCCAACCCAAACCCUAGCAACCCAAACCCAUCGCGGCGCCUGCCGACCGCCCUCGCGGCUGGCUGCUUGCGCGGCGAUGAUGGCGGCCUCGUCUUCCCCGGAGGCCGCGGUGCCUUAAGGCUGACCUGGCGCCCCCUCCUCACCCUUCCGCCGCCUCUGAGCUGGAGUUCGGUUUGCGUGCAACAGCGGUGGCGUACGAGGCGAACAAGCCGCUGGUGGUCGAGGACGUGUAGGUGGCGCCGCCGCUGGCCGGCGAGUCUGCGUCAAGGUCCUCUCCACUGUGCUCUGCCACAUCGUCUACUACACCUGGAGCGGCAAGGUCCGUCACCCCCCCCCCCAUCCUCCUCGCCAUGCGCUUCCUCGAAUCUAGGUUUCAAUGGCCGCGGUUGCCCAGGGCCUGUAGCCAGCGCUGGCACUGCGGCUAGUCACCACCUCCCCCAAACCCAGCAACUUAUCCUUGGAUUUUCCCUAUCGUCAGUGUUAUUCCACUGUGUCAAUGGUUGCGAUGAGACUGAGUAAUUCGGGAUUAAUUGACUUCCAUGUAGCUUUGUACGAAUUGUUCCUCAUAGUGUCGGGUUGGGUGUAGAGUGAAUUGACAUGAUGUACAGUAGAAAAUGUUUGUGCAAAUCUGAAAGCCUACUGCAUGCUGUAGAGAUUUACUAGAAUUUGUGUUCGUGUCAUGAAAGGAUUUCUUUUGCUAUGCAGGAUCCCGAGGGCCUCUUUCCUUGCAUUCUCAGUGACAAGGCUGCUGGGUAAGCCCACAAAUUUGUGUGAUUUCAGGUAUUAUCAUCCAUAGCUAAAGAUAACUAUGCACUGAUAAGUUUGCUUCCAUAGCUGCUGAUAGAAUUGUUGAGAGUGUCGACGAAGGAGUGACCGACGUGCAGCCAGGGGGACUGCAAGAUGUGCACUAAGUAAGGAUCCGAUCUGAUUGGGCUCUGCUUGUGCUCGUGGUAGAUAGUGUGGUAUGCCACAUGCCUGGCGAGAUGCUCUUGUUGAUUCGUAUUUUAUAAGUUAGUUUAUUUCCAUAUUUCUAUGCAUGCCACCUUGUUGUGAUUAAAUAGGUUAGUCUAUUUCCAGAUUUCUAAAAUAUACUCUACUUACUCUUCGGAGUUGAUUGCAAAUUAGUUCUGGUGCCUCCGUAGUGGAGUAGAGUGUGGGGAGCCAAGUAGAAAAUAAGAUUUAUCUCUUUCAAUUCAUUUAAUUUGCUUACUAAAAUUAGGUGGCUGCCUUGAUACAGUAUUAUACAGUUGGUCUGCCCCAACUCUGUUGAACUGAACCUUAUAGAUUGGGAGUUAGUUUUUAGCUGCCAUCUAGCUCUUUAAAUUGAGUUAAUUUGCUUACAGAAAUUAGGUUGAUGUGAAAGUGCAACUAUCCCUAGGUGGUUUUGGUAAUUCAUAACAACAUAUAGCUCAUUGAGCUAAUGCUAUUCCAAGAUGAUUAUUUCAGGAAAGCUCAAUGGUUGGCAUGGCAUGGAUGGUGAAAAUGGAACCCUCAAAAUGCUAAGAACAAAGGAUUGGCUCAAGCUCAAAAGCCCAAGACUCUUCAUUUUAUAUUUUAGUGAUCCAAGAUCACAUUGAGUCUUUAGGAAAAGCCAAUACUAUCAAGGAGGGAUGAGGUGUUGCUUAAUGAGCCUCUUGCUUCAUGUGCUUAGUGAUAUGCUCCAAAACCCUCAACUACUUUCCCAUAUCCACAUAUGACCUAAACCCUAAGCCAAACUCGGUCCUACUGAUUCUUUCUAUCCGGCGCCACCGAGUUUCACUUGUCAUAAGCCACUGCCAAACCCUAGCAAUUCGGUUCUACCGAUAGGGAUCUCGGUCUCACCGAGAUGGGAUUGCAAACUCUCUGUUUUCCUUUCGUAACUUUUCGGUCUCACCGAAAGAGCGGAUCGGUCCCACCGAGAUUGCAAUGUAAAUUCAGUGUUUCCUUUUUGUAACUUUUCGGUCUCACCGAAAGAGCAAAUCGGUCCCACCGAGUUUGCCUGACCAACUCUCUAGUUAGCUAAUUACCAAAUUCACCGAGUUUGUAUAAUCGGUCUCACCGAGAUUACGUUAUGCCCAAACCCUAACCAUAUCGGUCCCACCGAGUUGCAUGUCAGUCCCACGGAAAAUCUCCAACGGUCACUAGGUUUACAUUUUUGGUCCGACCGAGUUUGUUGAUUCGGUCCCACCGAGAUUGGAAAACUAUGUGUAACGGUUGGAUUUUGUGUGGAGGCUAUAUAUACCCCUCCACCUCCUCUUCAUUCGAAGAGAGAGCCAUCAGAACACAUACACAAUUCCAACUCAUAUGUUCUGAGAGAGAACCACCUACUCAUGUGUUGAGACCAAGAUAUUCCAUUCCUACCAUAUGAAUCUUGAUCUCUAGCCUUCCCCAAGUUGCUUUCCACUCAAAUCAUCUUUCCACAAAAUCCAAAUCCUAUGAGAGAGAGUUGAGUGUUGGGGAGACUAUCAUUUGAAGCACAAGAGCAAGGAGUUCAUUACCUACACACCAUUUGUUACUUCUUGGAGAGUGGUGUCUCCUAGAUUGGCUAGGUGUCACUUGGGAGCCUCUGACAAGAUUGUGGAGUUGAACCAAGGAGUUUGUAAGGGCAAGGAGAUCGCCUACUUCGUGAAGAUCUACCGCUAGUGAGGCAAGUCCUGUGUGGGCGAUGGCCAUGGUGGGAUAGACAAGGUUGCUUCUUCGUGGACCCUUUGUGGGUGGUUGCUUCUUCGUGGACCCUUUGUGGGUGGAGCCCUCCGUGGACUCGCGCAACCGUUACCCUUUGUGGGUGGAUCCCUCCGUGGACUCGCGCAACCGUUACCUUUUGUGGGUUGAAGUCUCCAUCAACGUGGAUGUAGGAUAGCACCACCUAUCCGAACCACGGGAAAAACAUCUGUGUCUCCAAUUGCGUUUGAAUUCUUCAAACCCUUCCCUUUACAUUCUUGCAAGUUGCAUGCUUUACUUUCCGCUGCCAAUAUACUCUUUGCAUGCUUGCUUGAAUUGUGUGAUGAUUGCUUGACUUGUCCUAAAAUAGCUAAAAUCUUACAAGAACUAAAAUUGGGAAAAGGUUAAGCUUUUAUUUGGUCAAGUAGUCUAAUCACCCCCCUCUAGACAUACUUUCGAUCCUACAAGUGGUAUCAGAGCCUUGGUCUCCAUUUGCUUUGAUCUCCAUAGCUUUUGGUGGUCAUAGCCUUGGUUUCACAACCUAGGAGAGUAUGGCGUCUAGCGAGGGAAAUUAUCACCGUAGAGGUCCUUACUUUGAUGGCACUAAUUUUGCUAGUUGGAAGCAUAAAAUGAAAAUGCAUAUUCUUGGACAUCGCCCCGCCGUUUGGGCUAUUGUGUGUGUUGGUUUGCAAGGUGACCUCUUUGAUGGGAAAGAACCAAACCGUGAAGCUACCGCGGAUGAAUUGAAGAUGUUGCAAUACAAUGCUCAAGCUUGUGAUAUUCUCUUCAACGGAUUGUGCCCCGAAGAAUUGAACAAAAUCAGCCGUCUUGAGAAUGCAAAGGAAAUUUGGGACACUUUGAUUGAUAUGCACGAAGGUACCGACUCCGUCAAGGAAUCCAAGUUGGAUGUGCUUCAAAGUCAACUUGACAAGUUCAAAAUGAAGGAUGGUGAAGGUGUCGCUGAAAUGUACUCUAGGCUUGCUCUCAUCACAAAUGAGAUUGCCGGCUUAGGAAGUGAAGAGAUGACCGAUAGAUUCAUCAUCAAGAAGAUUCUAAGAGCCUUGGAUGGAAAAUAUGAUACCGUGUGCACAUUGAUCCAAAUGAUGCCCAAUUACAAAGAUCUCAAACCAACGGAGGUGAUUGGAAGAAUUGUUGCUCAUGAGAUGUCACUUAAGGAUAAAGAGGAACUUCACAACAAAUCAAGUGGUGCCUACAAAGCCUCAUGUGAAGCCCCUACAUCAUCAAGUGAGAAACAAAACUUCAAUCAAGAAUUGAGCUUAAUGGUGAAGAACUUCAACAAGUUCUACAAGAGUAGAAGCAAAGAUAGAAGCUUCAAGUCAAGGUCCUACAAUGACAAAAGAUCUUCUAGUCGAGAGCGAAACUGCUACAGUUGUGGAAGACCCGGACACUAUUCCAAUGAGUGUACGGCUCCCUACAAGAGAAGAGAAGAUUCUCCAAAAAGAAGAAGCAAAGAAUCACCACCAAGAGAGAGAAGGAGUAGAGAUGAUCGUUAUGAACGAAGAUACUCACGGAGAAGCAAGGAUUCGGAAGGAAGGAAAAAUCAUCAAGGAGCUACAUAAAACGAAGACAUCAAGCUCAUGUUGGUGAAUGGGUAUCCGGCUCCGACUCCGACAGCCACUCCGAGAGAAGUUAUCACUCCGACUCCGAAGAUACUCAAGAUGAAGGUGUUGCCGGUCUAGCACUUGUGUCAACCAACUCCUACGACAUAUUUGACUCACCAAAUGAAGGAAUUGGAAGAUGCUUCAUGGCCAAAGGUCCUAAGGUAACACACCCCGAGUAUGUUGAUUUCAAUAGUGAUGAAGAUGACUUAUUAGGUGAUGAUUUGCUUGUUGACAACUCUAGUGAUGAAUGCUAUGAUGAAAAGUCAAUUAAUCAUGCUAAUCAAGAUAAAACGGAUGACAAUGAUAAGGAGAAGAUUGAGGCUCUAACUAAAGAACUAAACACUCUUAAGUUAGCUCAUGAAACUAUCUUCGAAGAUCAUCGAGAACUUUUAAGAGCUCAUGAGAAAUUACGCUUUGAAAAGCUCAAUCUUGAGCAAGAGCAUGAGUUCUUAAAAGCAAUCAAUGAUGAUCUCCGCAAGAAGAGUUCUUCUGACAUUGCCAAGCGUUUACUCUUAUCCACUUACAUGCCUCAAGUCAAGUCUAGUAACAAGAACAAGAAAGAUUCUUCCUCUAGCAGUAACAAUGAUCAUGCUAAAUCCAAUAUUGUUGCUUCUAGUAGUUCUCUUGAUUCCACUAAUGAUUCUCUUAGCCAAGUUACACUUGAGCAAGAAAAUAGCUUAUUGAAGGGAAUUAUAGAGAAGGGAGUGUACAAAAGCCUUGCCGGGAGUAAGCAAUUCGAGGAAAUUGUGCGCAAGCAAGGAAUGCACCGGAAGAGUCAAGGUGUUUGUUUUGAACGAAAGUUCAAUGCCAAUGGAGUUGAGUGGGAAGAAGAUCAAUACCCCAAGACAAAGUUUGUUCCUCAACAAGAGAAGUAUGAUACUUCUCUCAAGGGGAGACAAGCUCAAGAUGAUCUUCCACCACAAGACUACAAGCAAAAAGGCAAGGACAAGCUUCAAGAGGAAAUUGAUGCAUUUGAAGAACCUCCUAAGACCUUAGUCAAGUGGAUUCCCAAGACUACUUCAAGUUCCACUUCAUCAAGUACGACUACAACUCCAAGGAUUCCCAUCAAGAUGGUGUGGAUCCAAAAGAAGAAGUACUAGAGAGUUCUUGAGGGUGACUCCGCCAACAUACUUCACUCUUAUCAUUUUGGCAAGAACAAGUGCAAUCAACUUCCACAUCUUGCACUAGUUCAAGGAGUCACAAACCCUCUUGUUGGUAAGACAAGGGACAAGGUAACCUAAAAGUUUUCAUGGACAUCAUCUUGUGUGUGCAUCACUCUAUGCUUAUGGAUAUCCUUGUUUGUUCCUUGUGGGACUAACCCAUGUAGGUAUUGAAAGUGCAAUUCACUCAAAUGGAUAGCUCCAAGUGAUCUACAUUAACAUUGAGCAUCCACAUCUUCAACAUCUACAUGAAGUCAUCAUCGACAAAACCCGAGGUUAGUUCAUCCCUCUAAGGGGGGAUAUCACAUCUAGGGGGAGCUUUACUCUAAGACUUGAGCCAAAGCAACUCUAAAGAUGUGAACACAACAAUGCUUUAUGUAAAAGUGGUAACCCCACUUGAGCUUAAACGAUGAGUAUGACCUAUGAUCAAGUGUUCUCACUUGACUCCUAAGUCAAUAUACUCAUAUAUAGAUGACCUUGUCAUCACAAAUUGCUUGAUAGAUGCUAGAAUUGGUUGUGCAUGCCUUGUCACAUAUUUCAUUUGCCAUCUUAUUGUGUGAGCAUGCUGGUUGCAUAUUUUACUCAUUCGAGGACAUCCACUUGUUGUUUUGAUUGUUUGGUUUUAUUUCCUUUUGCCAAGUGGAUGGACAAGAAUGCCUAAGGACCUCCUCUAGCUAUCUAUGCUUUUCUCGUCUCAAACUCUAUUCAUGCUACAUCACAAAAUUUGAUCAAGUCAGAUUCGAACCACUCUUUGUGAGGAGCGCUCGGAGUCCCCGAUUCGUCAUAGACUUAAACUUCCAAAACCUCUUUAUGAUUCUCGGUCUGACCGAUACCCCACUUUUGGUCCUAUCGAGAUCAUUAAGUUGAUCUAGGUUUUCGAUCUCGGUGCAACCGAUUUGAACUUUUCGGUCACACCGAGUUUCAGUAACUGCUUGCAGUUAUGAAUCUCGGUGCCACCGAGGUGUUCCACUCGGUCACACCGACCGGGUCGGGCUAUAUAUAGUCAUGGGCAAAAAUUUGGAAAUUUCUCCGAACCCCUUCGCCCGCGCGAUAGCCUGCUCUGCCAACUUGGUCUCCGGAUCGUCUCCUCGCCGCUAGCCGCCUCCAGUCGCUGGUCUCCGUCGCCGUCAAUGGGAAUUCUACCCCACCAUUUCCACCGUAGCGAGUCUCCGCCGAACUAGGGUAUGGACUCGAUCUUUGUGCUAUUCCCCAAUCUGAUUCUUAGCACAUUGUGAUCAUCAUGACUCCUGCCACGAUUGAAACACUCCUAUCCAGUCAAUGCGUUCGUAGAUUAGGUUUGAUUCGAAAAUUUUAGGGUUAGGUUUCCGCCGAAACCAUCUCGGACCCACCGAGUUGAAAAACUCGGUCCCACCGAUUUGGCUUAUGCCAUUGCACAAGUGAGACUCGGUCUGACCGAGAAUUACUUAUUGGUGUGACCGAUUUUGGAACUCUGUGAAACCCUAGCAGUCUCGGUGCCACGGAACUGUGACUCGGUCUGACCGAGUUCACUAGUUUAGGUGCCAAAACUGCUUCGGCAUCACCGAGUUUAAAAAUCGAUAGAUCCGAGAUGAUUUCAGUGGGAAACUAAAACUAAGUUUUUGGAUCAUUCUUUUGCAAAAAUCUCUGCAUUUUGUGAUGCUCAUCUAUUCUACCUCAUCUAUAAACUGUUCACAGGGUCAGCAGUCAGCUUGUUCAUCAUGUCAGACCAGAGUGACAGCCAGAAUGUGUCAGAACAGCAAGUGCACAUGAGUGAGGGCACUAGUCCCUCCAGCUCUUCAGAUGAUGGCAGCAGGAGUAUUCCUAGCAAUCUGCCAAAAGCUGCCACCAGACAGAGGAAGAAGAGAACUUCAGAUUCUAAGGAUGAAGAUUAUGUGGCAGAAGUGGAAGCCACAUCAAAGAGAGUUGAGCCAGCUCAAGGCACAAAGCCAGGGAUGAAAAUCAAAAGGCCAGCAGGCAGGCAGCCUAUGUCAAAGGCCAGAGCUUCAACUGAAAAGCCUGCACCCAAAGAGCCAGUUGCUGCUGAAGGCAAGAAAAGAAAGGAAAGGGUGAAGAAGACCAUAGCCAAAGUUCUUGGAAAGGCUUCCAUCAUGGAAGAAGAGGAAGAAGAAGAGGUUGCUGCACCAGCACCCAAGGCAUCUAAGCUUAUGGGUGAUGCUAUCAGGACAGGGGCUGCUGCAUCUAAGCCCAAAGAAGCACCUAAAGCUGCCUCCAAGCCCAAGUCUGCACCAAAGAGAAAUACAAGGAGCAUACCUGCAAUUGAGAAGAACAAGGCCCCAGUGCCUGAAGCUGCAGAAGAAGAUGAUGAAGAGCAAGUACUCAGAAAACUCAAGCCCAAGAUCCCAGACCACAAUGAUGCUCAUCCUGUGGCUGAGGACAUGAAGCUCAGGAGAGACUCAGGGCUGAGGAAGUGGAGAGAAGCAGAUCCGUAUGCUUCAAGGAGAAGGACUGCUGUGGAUUACAGAUUUCACACCAAGGAACAGCAAGAUUUCUAUGAGACAGUGUUGCUUGACAAGAAGCCCAUUGUUUGUGACAUGAGAUGGGUCGACUGGACCUACAUGAAGGAAAAUGAGGAACACUACCCUGGAGUGUAUGACAGCUUUAGUGCUUGUGGAGUUGCAGACUUUGUUGGGAAGAAGCUCACAAAGUGGAACGAGGAGCUCAUUAUGCAAUUCUACUCCACAGCACACUUCUAUCCAGAUGGUAGGAUCACAUGGAUGUCUGAAGGUACGAGGUACCAAUCUACUGUUGCUGAGUGGGAACAGCUCAUCAAUGCCCCAGAGGAGCAUGAGGAUGACUUGGACAUUUAUGCCAAGAAGAACAUGAAUCAUAACUCAAUGUCCAAUAUGUACAAGGAAAUUCCAAAUGAAGCUCUUGAAACUUUCAAGUUUGGGUCUGUGCAUUAUCUUCUGUCAGGGCUGCCAACCAUCAAUUGGAUAUUGAGGCACACUCUCUUGCCCAAGUCUGGAGAUCACGAGAUGAUCAGAGGCCAUGCAAUCAAUUUGCUUCAUGUAUUUGAUGUGCCACAGAAGUUCAAGGUGAUGAGCCUCAUAGUAGAAACAAUCAAGAGGACUGCAGCAGACCAGAAGAGGAGCUAUGGGUAUGCCCCACAAAUUCAGGAGCUCACUAACUCCAAGAUGGGCACGGGCAUAUACUUAUUGGACAAGGAACACCUGCCCAUCCGUCCAGAUUUUGAAGAUAAUCAAGUUAUUAUGACUGAAAAUGAACCAUCAUCUGCCCAAGCACAAGCAAAGAAGGAGAAGGCAAGGAAGGAGAAAGCUACCAAGAUGCCAACUCAAGAGGAGGCAUCUGAGUAUUUCCUUAAAACCAAACAAGAGCAGCUUGGUUACCUGAUUGCAUCCACCCUGCGGAUUGAGAAAGGACUAGCCACCCUAACUCAGAACCAGGCAAGCCUAGAGAGAAUCAUGAAACAAAAGUUCUAUGACUUGGAUGUCAAGGUGACAGAGAUUCAAACUGCAGUGGAGCAGCUCCAAGAUGAUAUGCAGGAGAGGAGAGGGAAGACAACCACUGAUGCCUUUGCCAGAGUGCCAUGAGGUCCGAGGUCGUCUGCAGUGCCAGUUCCUGACACAAGAGCAACUGCCUCAGCUCCAGCCGUAGCACCAGCCCAACCAGCUCCAGCAUCCACUUCAGCCUCGACUCCGACCACGUCUACAGAAGGCUUAGUCCUUGGAGUGCUCCGGACUCCACCACCACCAGAAGAUCAAGCCUGAGCGUCGAUCUAGCACUAUGCAUUUUCUAGGAACUUUUUGGUAACUUGUUGCCAAAGGGGGAGAAAAAUGUAUAGAUCAUAGGCUUCGAGAGAGAGAGUGUUGUUUUUUCUCUCUUGCUUUAUUUGGUGGUUUUUCGAACUUUGUUUGCUUUUGAGUGUUUGAGAUACUACGUCAUUAUCUGUGACACAUUGAUGAUCAUGUGUUUGAUCAUAAGCUACACUUAAUGCUUGCUUAAUGCUAUUAUCUUAUCUAUCUUAUGUGAUCAUUCACUAUUCUUGGUGAUGAGUGCAUGUAUUUCAUUCUUAUCAUUUUAAGCGCUCCACCAAGAUGUAUGUGACAUGGAAGAGUAACCCAUGACUCUAACUCUUUGUGCAUUUGAAGUCCAAAGCAAAUUUUAAAUAUGCACAAAUUUAGGGGGAGCUCUUACUUAUCACAUACUUCUCAAAGCGACGAUAUAUUUCAUGCUUAUUAUCAUUUGUCGAAGCUUUGAUCUAUAUGUUGUCAUCAAUUACCAAAAAGGGGGAGAUUGAAAGUGCAACUAUCCCUAGGUGGUUUUGGUAAUUCAUAACAACAUAUAGCUCAUUGAGCUAAUGCUAUUCCAAGAUGAUUAUUUCAGGAAAGCUCAAUGAUUGGCAUGGCAUGGAUGGUGAAAGUGGAACCCUCAAAAUGCUAAGAACAAAGGAUUGGCUCAAGCUCAAAAGCCCAAGACUCUUCAUUUUAUAUUUUAGUGAUCCAAGAUCACAUUGAGUCUUUAGGAAAAGCCAAUACUAUCAAGGAGGGAUGAGGUGUUGCUUAAUGAGCCUCUUGCUUCAUGUGCUUAGUGAUAUGCUCCAAAACCCUCAACUACUUUCCCAUAUCCACAUAUGACCUAAACCCUAAGCCAAACUCGGUCCUACUGAUUCUUUCUAUCCGGCGCCACCGAGUUUCACUUGUCAUAAGCCACUGCCAAACCCUAGCAAUUCGGUUCUACCGAUAGGGAUCUCGGUCUCACCGAGAUGGGAUUGCAAACUCUCUGUUUCCCUUUCGUAACUUUUUGGUCUCACCAAAAGAGCGGAUCGGUCCCACCGAGAUUGCAAUGUAAAUUCAGUGUUUCCUUUUUGUAAGUUUUCGGUCUCACCGAAAGAGCAAAUCGGUCCCACCGAGUUUGCCUGACCAACUCUCUGGUUAGCUAAUUACCAAAUUCGGUCUCACCGAGUUUGUGUAAUCGGUCUCACCGAGAUUACGUUAUGCCCAAACCCUAACCAUAUCGGUCCCACCGAGUUACAUGUCAGUCCCACCGAAAAUCUCUAACAGUCACUAGGUUUACAUUUUCGGUCCGACCGAGUUUGUUGAUUCGGUCCCACCGAGAUUGGAAAACUAUGUGUAACGGUUGGAUUUUGUGUGGAGGCUAUAUAUAGCCCUCCACCUCCUCUUCAUUCGGAGAGAGAGCCAUCAGAACACAUACACAAUUCCAACUCAUAUGUUUUGAGAGAGAACCACCUACUCAUGUGUUGAGACCAAGAUAUUCCAUUCCUACCAUAUGAAUCUUGAUCUCUAGCCUUCCCCAAGUUGCUUUCCACUCAAAUCAUCUUUCCACAAAAUCCAAAUCCUAUGAGAGAGAGUUGAGUGUUGGGGAGACUAUCAUUUGAAGCACAAGAGCAAGGAGUUCAUUACCUACACACCAUUUGUUACUUCUUGGAGAGUGGUGUCUCCUAGAUUGGCUAGGUGUCACUUGGGAGCCUCCGACAAGAUUGUGGAGUUGAACCAAGGAGUUUUUAAGGGCAAGGAGAUCGCCUACUUCGUGAAGAUCUACCGCUAGUGAGGCAAGUCCUGUGUGGGCGAUGGCCAUGGUGGGAUAGACAAGGUUGCUUCUUUGUGGACCCUUUGUGGGUGGUUGCUUCUUCGUGGACCCUUUGUGGGUGGAGCCCUCCGUGGACUCGCGCAACCAUUACCCUUUGUGGGUGGAGCCCUCCGUGGACUCGCGCAAUCGUUACCCUUUGUGGGUUGAAGUCUCCAUCAACAUGGACGUAGGAUAGCACCACCUAUCCGAACCACGGGAAAAACAUCCGUGUCUCCAGUUGCGUUUGAAUUCUCCAAACCCUUCCCUUUACAUUCUUGCAAGUUGCAUGCUUUACUUUCCGCUGCCAAUAUACUCUUUGCAUGCUUGCUUGAAUUGUGUGAUGAUUGCUUGACUUGUCCUAAAAUAGCUAAAAUCUGCCAAGAACUAAAAUUGGGAAAAGGUUAAGCUUUUAUUUGGUCAAGUAGUCUAAUCACCCCCCCCCCUCUAGACAUACUUUCGAUCCUACAUGAUGCCUUGAUGUACUGUUUUCUUGAUAUGUUUGAUGUUCAUCCAUCGUCCAUAUUUACUAGCACACUAGAUAGAAAUCGUGACCGAUGCCACUCAAUAGAAUUUCCUAGACAUUUUAUUGGAUCGUCAGAUGGUUGGGUGGCAGGGUGUGUUUGGCUAACAAAUUGCAUUGGAAUUAUAUUCUUCAUCGCCUAAUGUUCUUGUUGCUGAUAAUAGGGCCUGUAUAUAGCAAUUUAUUUUCCUAGUGGUUACUUAUGCUUAUUGUGUCUCACGCUGAAAGAAAAUGCGCAAUGAGCUUGUUUGACUUUUUUUUAUGCUUGUAGUAUACUUGAUCAGGGUAGUGCUAUUUCCUGUGAUCUUUCCUAUCAUUUGCUAGUGUGAUUCUUCAAGAUGAAACAUUUUAAAACCCAAACUACUGUAAAUAAGUGUUCUGCAUCUUGAGGAUCAAGUAUUCAUGAUAUGUCAAUAGUGUAGUUGAUCCUCACUGUUGCUAAAUGCCAUUGCUUGAUAUGAUAUAAGUAUGAGCACUUAACCAUUGUACAGUUGUUUGCAUUUUUUUGUAUUUUUUUAUAUAUGAUGAUAGUUUGAGCAAGAUGUACACAUGUUAAUUUUUUUACUUGAAUCUGUUAUGCCCUUGAUUUUUUACUUAGCUUGACCAAGAACAACAACAUCCUUGAUGUUUACUAACCCCCACCUCGCUCUUGCUCUCUCAGACCCGAAGGAGCCCGUAUGGAAGGCACCUCCUCUCCGGGCGGUGAGAGCGUUGAGGGGUCGUGGGUGCAGCUAAUGGCCAUGUCCGUGGCCGUGCCUACCAUGACCCUCUCUACAAGGGCAUAGCCAGGAAGAAGCUCAGCAACCAGAUCGUCGUCCACUCCAAGUGGAGGGGACAACUCAAGCGAUAGUAAGUUUCUAGUAUUCUCUAAUGUGUUGAUGUGGCUUGUUUACCUCAUCCUUGUUACACUUGAUUUCCUUAUAUGAUUUCUUCUCGACGGAUCUGAUAGAGAUGAUUCGUUCAAAGUAGUACAGUAUGUGAUUCCUGUUUUAUUAUAGUUUUUUUGUUUGUCCCGGUGCUCUGUUGCAUGGCUGCUAUUUUCCCUUUCCUAAUCGCAUUGCACAUUCAUUUUUGGUAUUGGAAAUGCGAUAGUAUACAUGCAAUUUCAGUUCCUAUAGUAGUCCAGCAUGCAUUGCUUUGUCGUUGGACACUGGUAAUUAAGAGAGGGCGUUGUAUGCUCUUUGAUUAAUUGUCUAGUGAUUGCCUGAAGCAUCUAUCUUCCCAGCUUUCAGAAUGGAGAAACUCGUGUCAUUUCAUAUAUGAUCUGAAUGAAAUGUCUAGGACUUGCAGCAGUUUAUCUGAUACUGUAUACUGUACUAAAGAAACAACAUAUGCGCUCCUGAAACGUACUAAGUUCUUCUCUGCUCCAUGUUCCCAUUUAAGCUAUGUGCUUGAUUUAAAUUUCAACAAUGGUUUGUUUCGCAUUCGUACUUGUUUAGUAAACCUUGUGCCAUGCUUAUUUCAUGUAGCUAACAGUAACAUGCAAAAAAAUAAUUAGCAAGUAAGAUUUUCUGCUUGUCUGCUACAAAGUUUUCAAAUAACUACUAAUUAAUUAGUAGCAUGUAGUCUGGAUAUACAAAAGCAUGUGUUGUCCAGCCCAUGUAGCAAUCACUGCUAGUCUGUAUUGAGCAAACAAUGCACCGCGUUGUAGCUAGCCGCGCGCGGUAGCCGCCGCACGAGACGCUGUUGUGCGUCAUGUGAAGUAUAGAUUUUCCCAUCUUUUUUUAAAUGUCAGGUGUUGUAUUAGUAUUAUGAUGUUAUCUUCUUAAAUUGCUGCUACUAGGAAAUCUAUUCUUGAAUAGUUUUCUUAUAAAGUUUCCUAGUCAUUCAGAACCAACUACAAUAUAUUGAUGAACAUAGUACUCUGCUCAUGUGUACAUCUUUCUUUAAAUGUCAGGCUGACAUGGAAAGUGCUAUGGGACAAGAGGUACCAAAAGGUGGAGAACCAAAGAGUGAUGCUGCUAUUGUUGCUGACAUUCUCACUAAAGAAUGUCCCUCCAGCACAUUCCUUCACUGGUUGUGUUGUUUUGGUUGGUGCCAUCUUAUGUUACUGGUUACUAGUGCACAAUAUGGACAUGACCAUAUUAUCAACAUUGGUUUUGUUAUUUUGUUUGGUGCAUCUUAUGAACCUGUGGUGUAAAGAUAAUGCUGGGCCUAAGUUAUUGAAAUCCUGGAGAAUUAUAUUAUUAUUGUCAUUAUAUUCUCCUUUGUUGGUUGACUGCCAAAUUGUGCAAUGUAUUCUUCUUUUUGAGAUACUGUUGGUUGUUGUUGGUCACCCUUCAAUAAGGGCUGGACUGAAAUACGAAAUUGUGUUAGUGGGCUGGACCGUUUCAAGGCCCUUUGACAGAAAAAAAAACAAAAUGUUUUUGUUGGGUAGAUAAAAGGGCUGGCCCAAUUAAUGAUGGCUUAAAUAAAUUGGUUGCACAACUUAGCCCAAGAACUGAUCUGUUGGGCUUGGCCCAUGCUUGUGGCCCAAAAGUAAAUUUAAAAGUGGGCUGAAUUAUUGGGUUCAACCCAUUAAAACAACUGAUUUGGACUGAUCCUACAUGGCAUCCAUGUCAUCGCAUGUGCCACGUUGGCUCGGCCACAUCAGAUCCUACGUGGUCUAGGCUCAUUAGUAAUGACCAUAAUUUUGGUCAAAGAUUUAAUGACCUAAAUUUUGGGCAAGGGUGGCCAUGACGAAAAUUCCGGAAAAGGUCAUGUUUGUUCGUUCUUGACGGCCAACUGUUGACCUUCUGAAUUUGGUCAAAAAAGGUCAAUAAACGAAAGCAAUGAUGAAUUAACGACAAAAAUGGGGAGUCAUAAUUGGCCAUAUUUCUUGUAGUGGAGGGCCUCCGACCCCUUCUUCUUUGCCGUCGUCCCGUCGCCCGCCGAACCACGCCCCAAGAACCUUAAGGUAUAAUUUACUUACUCCACAUGCAUUGCUCUAGCUGCAUGUAUACCAUGAAUCUAGGACGUGGUUCAAAGAGGAAAGGAGUGGGGGAAAGUAGUGGGAAAAGUUGUAUAUAGCAUGAAUCUAGGACGUGGUUCAAAGAGGAAAUGAAGGGGGAAAGUUGUAUAGCAUUAAUCUAGGACGUGGUUCAAAGAGGAAAGGAAUGGGGGAAAGUAGUGGGGAAAGUUGUAUCGCAUAAAUCUAGGACGUGGUUCAAAGAGGAAAGGAAGGGGCGAAAGUACUAGUUCAAAAAGGAAAGGAAGGGACAAGGCUGUAGAGUUUGAGCAGGACUAGAUUUGUUGUGCUCACAUAGGGAAAGGCGUCUAAAGAUAACAAAACUGGGACCAACACAAAUAUGAUCCUUGGUUGCUUGUUCUUUGUUGCAACAGACUGUGCAUGACCACAGUACAUCGGUAGAUGCACAUGGUGCUGGCGAGUCCACUGUCCCGUGCAACUCAUUAGUUGUUGUUAAUCUAAGGCCCUGUUUGGUUAAAAACUUCCUAGUCCAUACCUGCUGGGUUCCAGGGACUAAACAUGGACUAGAGGUUUUUAAAUGACAUGCUAAAAGACCAUGUUACCCCUAGUAAUGAACUAAUAGAGACAAGGUGCGAUGCGUGGCAGGGGCAACUGUUGGAAAAGGUCCCAAAAAGACUCCCUCGGGGUCUUCUUUCUUUAGUCCCAAAUGCCCACUUUUAGUCCCUAAAAGUCCCUCCUCUUUGGUUUAGACGGGACUGACACGGAGUUUUUUUAGUCCCUACACCAAAAUGUCCCUGUAAACAAACACCCUCUAAUAAUGCCGCUGGAAAAUUGAUGCAAUGCCACAGUUAAAAGCAAAUUACAUGUUUAACGAAUUUUAUUGUUAAUAUUAAUCAAUGCCACCAUUUGAGAAAUGCUACUGUCUUGCUUUCUUUUCCAUUUAAAUAAGGUAGAUGCUUCUUUUUGUUGCCUUCUGUGUCAUCCACCGUUAUUGACCACUAAUUGUUUCCUUUGCACCUCUGUGUAAACAGGGUUAUCUGCCUCACCUCAUUGCCAAUGUGACCUUUUUGUUGCACUACACAAAACACUUUUGUUUUAAGAGUGUUUUGUGUAGUUCAACCAAAAUUUCACACCGACAAUGUUGCUUGAUUGCUUGAUCUUAGUGGAACUGCACAAGAGGAGAUCUUACGUCCUAUCCGUUAAGGCGAAUUUGGUUCAGAUCUUCUUCUUUUGAGUUGUUUGAAUUCCGCAUCAUGAGAGGUUAGUACUAGCCUGCUUUCACAUGAUUCUGUAGUGUGCAUUCAUAUGUUGUGCUACUUGUACGAUAAUGUUGCUUGAUUUUAGUGAACUGCACAAAUGGAGACAAGUAUUUCAAUCUGUAUAUGCACCAUAAUAUCCCAUUGAGGUAAGAUAAGGAUAUUUCACAACUGCUGGCCUGUAUUUUGCCACUUUCAUCAGAAAAUUAAGUUUAGUACUAUACUUGUGCUCCCUAAUUGACAUGCCAAAUCUUACAUUGAAGGCGGAGCUUGUUUGUUAUUGAACCAAGUGAUGAAGUGGAAGAACAAGGUGAAGAAAAACAAAAAUCAACUCCCGGUGCUGUAAUGAAGCAAUGGAACUGUGAUGACACAAGUAAUGAUAUAGUUUUACAUCUUAAUUUAUUGCUAUGGCUGGAACGAGCAAUUGUUUUGCCACUGAUUUGAUGCCACUCUUAAUGUAAUAUGUAAGUAUCUCUACUUGUGCAAACAGGGAUCUUCUUUGAAGAUACCAUAUAUUUUAGUGGAACUACACAAGAAGAUGUUGGAAACAUUAAACUAAUCGAGGAGUAUAUAGUAAGCAUGGCCACCACCGUAGAUUGCAACAGAUGGUUCCGGAGAAUUGCUUCAUCUGUAUGCUCUACACAAUAAGCCUCCUGACAAAGGUUGGUACUCGCCCACUGAUUUCAUCCAUAUGAUUGAGCUUUGUCAUCUCUAUUGGUGUUGUGCUACUGUUUAGAUACUGUCAUGAAAAAGUGGUAUUGUCCUUAAGAAGUGCUUCAUCUGUGUUGUUUUAAAUAUUUCCUUUCCUUUUUUUCGAGUAAAAAGUGAUGCUAGCAUUUAGUAGUCCUCUUGUCUUUGCACAACAGGAUCAUCUUCCUCUGAAGGAGAAUAUGGAGUACGUGAAGUGACUAGUUCCGAUUAUGCCAGGAUGAAGAAGCCCUGUCUAUCUUAUCAUCAGAAGGAGCAGUUGAAGGAUGGUACAUUACUCCCCACAAGACCAAACUAACUUCAGCUUAGAAGGACUAACAAAAUCUCCAUUUUUUUGCUGUGAUGCGCGAGUAUAAUGUUGUUCUAGGAUUCUUUCUAGUGAGUUUCAUUUUUCUAAAAGUGUGCUCUACAUGGACCAUGUAUGUGCCUGUUGAAACUGUCAAUUCAUAGUACAGUUUGCUUUGUACUAAUCACUUUUUUGUAUUUGUGCAAACAGGGGUGCUCAGCUUGAUUUCAAUGGGAACUGCACAAAAUGUUCAUGAAUACAUCGAAUCAUUCAUUUCCACCACAAGAAAGGAGGUGCCGAUAAGUUCAAGGCGUUGCAACAUAUAAGGGCGAAAUCAUACAAGCUACGCAGGAAUUUGGUUGAUUUUGGUGGAACUGCACAAAAAGAACAGCUGGUUUAUUUAGCACGAGGUGCCAUGUCAAUGUCCAAACUGAUGGCAAACCCUGCCCAUUCCACAAGCGUAGGCAUUUGAUAUUUUGGAAUGGGACAACCUUGUCAAAUUUGCUCAUUGAUUUUAGCAAGACAUGCGUUUGAUAUUUUCGAAUGGGACGCCCUUGCUGUCAGCAGCGUCGAUCAAUUUUUUCUUUAUUCUUUAGUUGUGAAGUAAAUAUUGCCUCUGACAUGUGAGUCGCUGAGAUGCAUAAUCAUCGAUUGUUUUGAAUGUUCUCUAUGAAUUGCCAGGCUUGUGUGUGUGAUUGCAAUGUACAGAAAUGCUAAAAACCUGCUCAAACUCUUUGUACUCCUUCUAUUCCUUUUUACUUCGCACAUUGUGAAAGUGCGUACUUUUUUGUAUAAGAUUGGUCAAAGUAGAGAUACUUUGACUGCAGACAAAACUUGUACGCAGACUAGAAAUGACCGAAGGGAGUACAUGUGAAACUGCUGUAAACGAGGUGAUCACCCUGGGAAUAAUGCUAGUACAUAUUAUUUUGCAUGUUCAUCCAAUGCAAGUGAUACAGGAAUUCGAACUAAUCGAAAUAAAUUCAUUUAUACAUGGUCGGAUUUCAUAUAAACAUGCCAGAUUUCAUUACAUUUCAUACAUUCUUCAACUAAAAAGGGGUGCGCUGGAGGUAUAAUUAAUUAACUGAAGCUACCCACCUGUGUCCCGCUGAGCCGAACAGAAGCUUCAGUGACUUAACUGCAGGUGCAGUUGUGUAACUGACAUGUGGCCUGUUGGGCUCACGUGUCAGUCAGCCAACUGCACCAGCAGUUAAGUAGAAGCAGCGUUAUUCUCCAGCAGAACUCCCCGACUCCACGUCGCCGCCAAGAAGCUAACCGGACGUCAAUAGUCAACCCGCCUAGUUUGGCUUCAACAGGAGGGUAGCAGCGGUGGCUUUACUUGGACCCGAGCGACAGUGACCUACCGUGUUCUACUCUUCCUUGUUUUCCGUGUGGCACGGCCUCGUUGGCAGCGGGGCGGGGCCUCGGUGGAGCUGGCGAUGUCCUCUAUCUCAUUGCCGGCGGGCGACGCCUCAGCGGAGCGGUGGAAAUCCUCCUUCACAUUGCCGGCAGGGUGGGGCCUCGGCUGAGGCAGCGAUGUCCUCUGCCUCGUUGUUGGCGGGGCGGGGCCUCGGCGGAGCCGGCGGUGUCCUCUGCCUCGUUGUUGGCGCCGCGGGGCCUCGGCGGAGCAGGGCCUCGUCGACGCCAGCGGAGCGGGGACUCGUCGGAGCCGGCAUUGUCCUCUGCCUCGUCCUCGGUCUCGCCAAACAGCGCAUCGCCCGUUUCCUCGCCCUCUUUGCUAGCCUCUUUGUAGCCGGCCGCAGCCUCCGCCACCCACAUGCGGUCCCGCCAGUGCUGGUGGCGGCCCUUGCGGGCGGAGCGGUAUGAGUCGAGCAGCGCCUCCUACUCCGCCCGCUCCACGGCGAUCUGCUCCUCCGCCUGCAGGUGCUCCUGGAGGAGAUGGUGGUUGUAGGCGGCGUUGGCCUGCGCCUCCCGGAAUUGCUCCUGACGCAUCUGCCUCACACUUUCCAUAUAUUGGGAAUGGGCCUCGCCGAUAGUCAUGGUGCAAUGCACCGGCGAGGAUGCGCGGAGGAGGGGGUUGGCACCGGAUCGUCGACUACCAUGUUCUCCGUUGGGACGUCGUCAUCCUCCGGCUGCCUGCCGGCCAGCCGGUCGGCAGCAAUUGCUGCCAUCUCCUUGUGGUCCGUCGUCCGCCCAUCCCGAAGAGCGCUGGAGCGCGAGGAAGUCAUGGUGGGCAGUAGUGGUGUGGAUAGGAGAAAGGGAACGGAUGCGGAUGACUGCGGCUAUGGCCGGCGCAGCAGUUUAUAUAGCAAUGGUGGGUGGGCGGAGAGACGGACGUGUGGCGCCGGAGUAGCCGCCUUGGCAACCGCGUAUCAUUAAUGUGGGCGACAGAUGGACGGACGGACGGCACUUGUGUCAUUUGAAGGCGGAGCAAUCGCCUGCACCGGGAAGUGGGGCGGGCGGCGUUGACUGUUUUGGGCGGAAAGCGCGCGCGGGCGAGGAAAUGCCUUUACUUGGAGAGGAUGACAAUGGGGACCCACCAGGUCCAUAGCCUCACGUACGCAAGUGCCUCCUUAUUUUAUAUAUAUAUAUAUAUAUAUAUAUAUAUAUAUAUAUAUAUAUACUCCCUCCGUUUAGGUGAAUAAGUCGUAUUAGAAGGUGCACCACGACUAGGUGCAAGCAGAUUGGUGGAAAAGAAGAAUAUUUCUCUCUUCUAAACACAAUAUUUAAUCACAGCAGUUAAGAGGAUGCAUUAUUAGCUACCCAUGCAGGCCAUCGUAAUUCAUAGCAUGCAAAGCGCUUUUAUUUCUUGCCUAAUAACCGCAUGGAUGUGCUGCAUGCAUUGGUCCUUGGCCGAGCAAAAAAAAGAGAGGAAAGGGGUUUCCACGGGAGACAACGAGGCAUAGGUGGAAGCGUUCGCUGGAGUUAUUUAUUUUUCUUCCCCCUGGUUUCUUGACAUCACGGUCCCACACCAUUGUCAACGUAUGUAGUACUAGUCAAUAAACGAGAGAAUUGCACAAGAAGCGGCCGACAGCUGGGACCAAGCUGCUUGAGCAGUAUUUGUGUUUUUGAGGUGUGAGCACUGCACAGUUUUUCGAUGUUUAGCCCAGAUAUUAAUUUUUCUCCUCUGAACAACAACGAAAACAUCGCUGCAGGUAUUAACUGGGCGGGCUGUGACCCGUCUAGCCCAGGCCAGAUAUCCAGCCCAGAUGUUAAUUUUAUUCAAGCUGAAAAUGGCUAGCCCAGCUAUACUUUUUUUAGGAAUACCCAGGCAAGGUCAAGUUGUUAUUCUCCGUCCCGCUGGGCUGCAAAUCUUUCCUAAGAGGGAUGCAUUAGGCUUAACAAGAAAAUGGGCUUUAAGAAAUAAUAAAUGAGAUGUAAUUAUAAAAACUGGGCAGUAACUAUAAAAAAUGCACCAAACACAUGAUUACUUUAUAAAAUAUUAUUUUCGGAUAUUGAAAAUUUUAAUUUCAUUAAUUGUUGCGAGCGCAAUGUUUCGUUGGAUUUUUACGUAAUAUAAAUUUAUAUUGAAAUUGUAUUUAAUUUGACUAGAAAUUUCGGGAUAAAAAUAUUUCGGAUCCCAUCAAAAUAUGGAAAAUUUUAUUGAACUCUGUUUUGAACGGUUGGUUGAAAUGGGCUGUACUUUUAACAAACUGUAAAUGGGCUGUAGUAAAUUCCAUUAGAAUUCAAAAAUGGACUACACAUUCUUACAAACCUCAAAUGGGCUAUAAAUUCUCUGCCACAUACUUCUGGCCUUACUAAGUUGACGCGUCCCCUAAAAAAACAGAGUUGACGCGUAUGCAAGGCUUUGUCAACUUAUAGUCAACACACGGUUCUAGCAGCAGUAGCCGUUGGAUGUCCAUCCAACGGAUGCCGUGCUUCUUCUUCAAUCUCAGAUAUUCUAGCUUCACCCGCCCAAAAAAUUAUUCCUCCCCCUGACAUCUGGGGUGCACUGUUUCGGAAGCUGACCUGUGGGCCUACUAAGUUAACGUACCAAGGGCUUUGUCAACUUAGUCAAUAUAAACGAUUCUAGCUGCAGUGACCGUACGAUGUCCAUCCAACGGCCGUAGUGCUUGUUCAACCUCUUGGUCUUCUUGCUCCAGCCACCCAAAGCAGCGCCGGUCAUGCCGCCUGCUCCUGCCUCCCGUGGCCGGCUGUGCUACCGUGGAGGCCUCAUCGCCCCCCUACUAUUCCCACCACUGACCAGGCCCUGCGGCGACGGCAGCCUCACAUCACAGUCGAACGAGUGAACCCUCAUACUCCUCUCCGCGUGGGCAUCCACUGCCGCGUCUUCACCGGCUCCGCGUCGUCCCCUUCCUAGGCCUCGCCGUCGUCCACCGCCCUGGUGCUCUCGGCGCGGUGUGGUCAACGUGGAAGGAACGACUUCCAUCGGACGUGGACUGUACGUGGAGAGGCUGACAGCUGGGUCCACGGCGGCAGUAAGAAAGUGCCUCCUUAUUACGCGGAAAAUAAUGAUUCCUCCACCUGACAGCAGGGACCCACCGAACAGGCCACCAGUAUUUUGUGAAAAAAAUUGUUCCCCCUGACUGCUGGGACCCACCGGACGGGCCACCGUAUUUCGUGAAAAAAAACGUUCCCCACGCUGUCAGCUCGGACCCACCGGAAGUGCCUCCUUAUUACGCACAAAAAAUGAAUACUCCCCCGGCUAGCUGGGACCCACCUUGCUGGGAGGCUGACUUGUGGGCCUACUAAGUUGACGGGGACAAAGGGCUUUGUCAACUUAGUCAAUAUGAACGAUUCUAGCUCCAAUGACCGUACGAUGUCCAUCCAACGGCCGUGGUGCUUCUUCAACCUCUGGUCUUCUUACUCCAGCCGCCCAAAGCAGCGCCGGUCGUGCCGCAUGCUCCUGCCUCCCGUGGCCGGCUGUGUUGCCGCAGAGGCCUCACCGCCCCCUACUAUUCCCACCGCGGGCCAGGCCCUGCGGCGACGGCAGCCUCACACCGCAGCCGAACCAGUGAACCCUCGUAGUCCUCUCCGCGCGGGCUUCCACUGCCGCGUCGUCCCCUUCCUAGGCCUCGCCGUCGUCCACCGCCGUGGUGCUCUCCGCGCGGCAUGGUCAACGUGGUCAAGGAACGACUUCCAUUGGAAGACUACUGUACGUGGAGAGGCUGACAGCUAGGUCCAUGGCCACAACCCAGUUUUUUUGUGAUUUGCCAAGUAAGUCGCUUUGUCAGGCCUGUUGGGCUGCAAAUCUUUCAAGACGAGGAGAGCUUUCAUUCGGCUGGCCGAGAAAACGGCCCAUCAGUAAUGAGAAAUGGGUUGUACAUUUUUAAAACACAUCAAACCGGCAAUUAGUUUCAAAUAUCUUUUUUUUUCAUUUCAAGAUUUUAAAUUACAUUAAUUUUUAUGUGUGGAGAAUUUGUUUCAAACGCCUAUACCUGGAUAGGAGUGCAGACAACAUAAAGAAGUACAAGAUGGCGAAGAAGGCCGCAAAGCGAGCUGUUGGUGAAGCAAGGGGUCGGGCAUAUGAGGACAUCUACCAACGGUUAGGCACGAAGGAAGGUGAAAGGGACAUCUAUAAGAUGGCCAAGAUGCAAGAGAGGAAGACGAGGGAUAUUGGCCAAGUCAAAUGCAUCAAGGACGGAGCAGGCCAACUCUUGGUGAAGGGCGAGGAGAUUAAGCAUAGAUGGCGGGAGUACUUCGACAAGCUGUUCAAUGGGGAGAAUGAGAGUUCUACCAUUGAACUGGACGACUCCUUUGAUGAGACCAACAUGCGUUUUAUGCGGCGAAUCCAGGAGUCUGAGGUCAAGGAGGCUUUAAAAAGGAUGAAAGGAGGCAAGGCGAUGGGCCCUGAUUGUAUCCCCAUUGAGGUGUGGAAAGGUCUCGGGGACAUAGCGAUAGUAUGGCUAACCAAGCUUUUCAACCUCAUUUUUCGGGCAAACAAGAUGCCAGAAGAAUGGAGACGGAGUAUAUUAGUACCAAUCUUCAAGAACAAGGGGGGUGUUCAGAGUUGUACUAAUUACCGUGGAAUUAAGCUGAUGAGCCAUACAAUGAAGCUAUGGGAGAGAGUCAUUGAGCACCGCUUAAGAAGAAUGACAAGCGUGACCAAAAAUCAGUUUGGUUUCAUGCCUGGGAGGUCGACCAUGGAAGCCAUUUUCUUGGUACGACAACUUAUGGAGAGAUAUAGGGAGCAAAAGAAGGACUUGCAUAUGCUGUUCAUUGACUUGGAGAAGGCCUAUGAUAAGAUACUGCGGAAUGUCAUGUGGUGGGCCUUGGAGAAACACAAAGUCCCAGCAAAGUACAUUACCCUCAUCAAGGACAUGUACGAUAAUAUUGUGACAAGUGUUCGAACAAGUGAUGUCGACACUGAUGACUUCCCGAUUAAGAUAGGACUGCAUCAGGGGUCAGCUUUGAGCCCUUAUCUUUUUGCAUUGGUGAUGGAUGAGGUCACAAGGGAUAUACAAGGAGAUAUCCCAUGGUGUAUGCUCUUUGCGGAUGAUGUGGUGCUAGUUGACGAUAGUCGAACGGGGGUAAAUAGGAAGUUAGAGUUAUGGAGCAAACCUUAGAAUCGAAAGGGUUUAGGCUUAGUAGAACUAAAACCGAGUACAUGAUGUGCGGUUUCAGUACUACUAGGUGUGAGGAGGAGGUUAGCCUUGAUGGCCAGGUGGUAUCUUAGAAGGACACCUUUCGGUAUUUGGGGUCAAUGUUGCAGGAGGAUGGGGGUAUUAAUGAAGAUGUGAACCAUCGAAUCAAAGCUGGAUGCAUGAAGUGGCGCCAAGCUUCUGGCAUUCUCUGUGACAAGAGAGUGCCACAAAAGCUAAAAGGCAAGUUCUAUAGGACGGCGGUUCGACCCGCAAUGUUGUAUGGCGCUGAGUGUUGGCCGACUAAAAGGCGACAUGUUCAACAGUUAGGUAUGGCGGAGAUGCGUAUGUUGAGAUGGAUGUGUGGCCACACGAGGAAGGAUCGAGUCCGGAAUAAUGAUAUACGAGAUAGAGUUGGGGUAGCACCAAUUGAAGAGAAGCUUGUCCAACAUCGUCUGAUAUGGUUUGGGCAUAUUCAGCGCAGGCCUCCAGAAGCUCCGGUGCAUAGUGGACGGUUAAAGCGUGCGGAGAAUGUCAAGAGAGGGCGGGGUAGACCGAAUUUGACAUGGGAGGAGUCCGUUAAGAGAGACCUGAAGGAUUGGAGUAUCACCAAAGAGCUAGCUAUGGACAGGGGUGCAUGGAAGCUUGCUAUCCAUGUGCCAGAGCCAUGAGUUGGUUGCGAGAUUUUAUGGGUUUCACCUCUAGCCUACCCUAACUUGUUUGGGACUAAAGGCUUUGUUGUUGUUGUUGGAGAAUUUGUUCGAUUUUAUAUUGAUGUACAUUUACUUUUAAAAUCAGUUUGAAUGUGAGUCGAAAUUUCGGGAUUAAAAACAGUUCGGACCGCACCGAAAUAUGCAAAAUUUUGUAUAAUUUUUUAACCGUUGCCACAAUAUGGGCUGUAAUGCUAACAAAAAGAAUAUGGGCUCCAAAAAAACCUUAAGAAUUAGCAAAUGGGCUGUAAAUUAUUAGAAAUAAUGGCAGAUGGGUUGUAUGCUGUUUUCCACAGAUUUGAGGCUUUCCUAAAAAAAAGGUUGAUGCACAAGCACUGACUGUUGGAUGUGCAUCCAACGGCCAUUGUGCUUCUUCAAUCUCUGCUCUUCCUGCUCCAGCCACUCAAACAAGCGCCAGCGGGACUGCCUGCUCCCUCCUCCUUGCGGCCGGCUGUGCUGCCGUGCAUGCCUCACCGCCCGACCGUACUCCCAUCGCUGGCCUAGCUAUCCCUCUACUCACCCACACAUAUUUUUAUUCUCCGACGAUUGUAGACGAACCAGUAAACCCUCGUAUAGUCGUACUCCCCUCCGCGUGGGAAACAACUGCCGAGUCUUCCCUGCCUCCGCGUCGUCCCCUUCCUAGGCCUCGCCGUCGUCCACCGCCCUGGUGCUCUCGGCGCGGUGUGGUCAACAUGGUCAAGAAACGACUUUCAUCGGACGUGGACUGUACAUGGAGAGGCUGACAGCUGGGUCCACGGCCGCAGCAAGGAAGUGCCUCCUUAUUACGCGAAAAAUAAUGAUUCCUCCAUCUGACAGCUGGGACCCACCAAAUGGACCACUGUAUUUCGCGAAAAAAAACGUUUUCCCCUGACUGCUGGGACCCACUAGCUACAUCUUCGCACGCAAGGAAGUGCGUCGGGCAAAAAAAAUGAUUCGUCCCCUGACUGCUGGGACCCACCAGCUACAUCUUCGCACGUAAGGAAGUGCGUCCGGGCAAAAAAAACGAUUCGUCCCCUGACUGCUGGGACCCACCAGCUACAUAUUCACACGCAAGGAAGUGCCUGACAGUCGGGACCCACCUGGUCGAAGCGUACGUAACGUUGUCAUUCUGGUCGCGAACGUGUACGUACAUACUGGUCGAUGUAGAGGCGCCCAUGUGUCGUAGUAGAGGCGCGCACGUAGCAUGUACAUGUACGUACAGCGGCCAGGGUGCAAGAAAGAAAAUAUGGCCACGUAUGUGUACAUACGGGCGGGGUCUCGAACGCCUACUCGCGCAUACGUACGGCUAGGGCUCAUGUACAUGGCUGGGUCGGAACGGAGAAACAACGUCGUCGUCGUGUUCAUGGGGAGGCAACGGAAUGCGUCGUGUUCAUGGGGAGGCAACGGAACGCGUGGGAGCCAACCGGCUGGGUCGGAACAGAAUGCGUGGUCGUGUUCAUCGGGAGGGCUUGGAUGGAACAGGCGAUGGAAACGAGGCCUGGCGUACCGCACAACGGAAGAAACGAACCUCUUACGUUCGGAACGGGGUCCUGUUGAUCGGGAGGGGUCUGGCGUACCGCAAAACGGAGGAAACGGACCUCCUACAGUCGAAACAGGGGUCCUGUUCAUCGGGAGGGGUGUGGCGUACCGCAAAACGGACGAAACGGACUUGUGUUGGAGCGCUACGGUCGAAACGGGGGUCCUGUUCAUCGGGAGGGGUGUGGCGUACCGCAAAACGACACUCCACGGGAUACUGUUCAUCUCCACCGUCGACCCCCUCCAGCCUCCACGAGCUACUGUUCAUCCACCGUCGACCUCCUCCAGCCUCCACCUGCGACUGUUCAUCCACGGGCUCCUAUUCAUCCAGCCCCCACCGCGCGCUACUCCACCGGCUACUGUUCAACCAGCCCUCUCCACGGGCUCCUGUUCAACCACCCCUACACGGGCUAUUGUUCAUCCUGCCCUCCACCGUCUACUGUUCAUCCAGCCCUCCACGGGGUGGUCCUGUUCAUCCAGCCCUCCACGGGGUCCUGUUCAUCCAACCCAAACCGGCUCGAUCGAUCGGGGUCCUAUUCAUCCAGAAGCAACACCACGGGGUCCUGUUCAUCCACCCCCACCGGGAGCUGUUCAUCCACCCCCACCGGGAACUGUUCAUCCAACCCCCCCAACGCUCACUGUUCAUCCAGAUGCAGUAUCGAUCGGCUUCAGUUAGCAGCAGUAGCAAAGGAAUCGCUCGAUCGGGUUCAGUUAACAGCCAUCGAUCGAUCGCUCGGGUUCAGUAACGCGUAGCCUGCUGUGCAAUCGCUCGGGUUCAGUUAGAGCCCAACGCCUCGCUCGGGUUCAGUUAGAGCCAACGCCUCGCACACACGCGCGUACGUGUACGAGAGAAACGCGCAUCGCUCAGCCCCCGACCUCCCACUGUAACCAGGAACUCCCCGAAAUUUUCCUCGUCCUUUCUUCUACCAUGGUUUUUUCCGUCAUGGACGGCCCAAAGAAUGUCAUGCAGCUGCGUCUCCGGCCCGCCCAGGGCGAAAAGCCCAUUUUCUGUCAUGAUUUUUUGUCGUAGAAGUAGGAGCCCACCACAUCUAUGAUGAUACCGUGUUUUGUCACAAUUAUCGUCAUAGAAGUGUCAUAUGUAUGACAGAAAGAAAUUUCAUUCGGCCCAAAAUGUCACGGAUGUGUCUUUUUUUUAGUGGGUUGACGGCGGCGGUGGGCGCCACAAACCAGAUCACAUUGACCGGGAAACCAAAAAGAAGACGCCAAUCAAAACGACCGGCGAGAGAGAAAACCCGGAUCAAAGGAUCGGGAAAAAAACUCUCUAGGGCAGCCCGGCCGGUGGACGAACCCUAGGUACGGGCGGCGCGGCCCCCGGUUUAGGAUCGACUUGCGAUAGAUACCAUGUUAGAAGAAAGAAAGAGAUUUGAUGGAAUAAUUCUUUUAUUGCUUGAGCCUCGUGAGCAUAUAUAUAGAAAUACAUGAUCUACUUUGAAUACAAGGCAAGCUAGAAUAUUUCUUAAUUUAAUCUACGUUUUCUAAUACAAUCACGUUCCUCAACAAACGGCAUGGUUGCGGUGGCAGUUGCAGGGCUCGAGCUUGCGACAGGGGGUCGGGGCCAUGGUCGUGGGAGUGGGAGCGGGCGUGCUCCGAAUUCUUCUGGUCGAGGUGAAGAACUGAAGACAAUGGGCUCGGGCCCCCUCUGUCAAUGAUAGAGAGCGCGUGGGGGUGGUUGUCAUUCGAUCUAGCACAGACAGCUGCGAUUUAGAUCACAACGUAUCGUUUUCUGUUUUUUCUAGGGGUAGUAUCGUUUUCGUUUUCUACUUUUUCUUUUUUUAGACAAGUUUUCUAUUUUUACUGGGCGUACGAGGGGGUGAGUUUUGGGUCAGCUUAGCUGGGCUGAUGCGCUGGCUGGGCUUCUUUCACUUUUUCUUUUUCUUUUUCUGUUUGUUUUCUUUUUCUUUUUUAAUCCAGGGUUUGAACCUAAUUUUAACUAGCACAAUUUCAUAACAGUGCAAAUCCAUUGAACUCACGAAAAUUAGAAAAAAAAUACUAUGGCUCAUAUGGAUCAUAGGGAAAACAUUUCCAACCCUGAUGCGAUUUUUUAAAUACAUCUUAUCCAAAUGGACUUAAUAUGACUAUUAAAUAUAUCUCAAACUUAAUUAGGGUUUCUGGAAUAGUCAAAUUAAUUCCAAACAACUUCAAAAUGCACCAAAGUCAUGAUAUGCAAGUGUAUGCUAUGUUCACAUCCUAAUUUCAAAAAAAUUGGAUAUGACACGACCACGUGGAGGAGUCCUUCCCGCUUCUGCAGCCAUUGUUGCGUCAACAUCCGAGCAGGGUAAGGGGGUGUUAAUAAGUAUGUUGGCGCCACCACUGCCUCUGCCGCCAAGCCUUGCCUAGGACCACGUGAAGGAUUCCUUCCCGUCGCCACCGCCACCUCCUCGGUCGAACCUUGCCGCCUAGUUAGAGGAUUGGGGGCAAUCUUUGCCGGCGACCACUUGCGGGAGGACACAACUGCAUCGAAGAACCAAUGGGUGACCCAUCAGACCAAGUCUAGUAGGUAUGCAACACUUUUCCAUAAAAUUAUGCGACUAGAGGUAACGAAGGUUCAGUAUCAUGCUAUGUUAAGGAGCGUGGAGUGGGAUCCCUCGCCAUUGCUGGAGGAUUAGAGUAGUAGUAAGACUAGUAUUAGUUUGACUGGAAUGUUAUCAAUUCAAUUUAUCCUAUGAUUAGUUUAGUAUUUAGAUGCAAUUUAUCUGGAAUGCUUUAAAUGGGAUGUUAUCUGGAGUGUAUUUAUAUGCAAUUUAUCUUGAAUGUUUUACAUGAAUCGUAUUUAUAUGCAAUUUAUCUAGGAUGGUUUACCUGGAAUAUAUUUAUACACAAUUUAUCUGGAAUGCUUUAAAUAGAAUGUAAUGAAAAAAUAUGCAAUGCUUUAACUGGAAUGUUAUUUCUCUUAUUUUCACCCAAAAAAGCAUUGGAGGUGGUUUAGCUACACCCUAACUAAAUAACCUGCACCAUCCAUUCGUCCCUAACACUAGUCUAUCCUCCCCAUCGCACUUCGGCUUCCAAAAUAGAUCUGCUACACCGCCUCCAACUACCUCCCUCACCGUCGACAUCUUUAGUCGAUAUCGACCACGCUGUUGGACACGACCAGGUUAGCGCUUGCAAAGUGCUACACAUACACAACAUGGUGUGGUCAUGCUUCCCACACCGCCCUAACUCUCCCUGACACUCCCGAUGUCGGCAUCAUCGAUCCAAAUCGGCUACUUCUUCUUAAACCUCGCAUUGCGUGAUGUCAGCAGGAGUUUGUAGUAAGUAAAAUAGUUUCCUCAAUGAGAACUCAAGAUAUCAAUCCAUGGAAGUGAUGGUAUUCUACACAUGAAUCAUUUUAGAAACAGAAAUAGAACUUUACUUGUGUCCUCAAUAGUUCUAAUAAGGGUAUCUACCUUGCUAGUCUUGCUAGUUGCACAAGACCGUUAAACCUAGGUACCUUAGAUUAAGAAUCAUACAGGUUAGCCGAUAUUAAAAAACUGGGCUAUAGAUUAAUGUUAGUUGUAUAAAAUACAUAGAAAUUAGCUAUACCAAUUCAUCGGACAUAUUAAAAAUUCUUGUUUCCACCGGUGGAGAGGUGUUGACUGUGCUUAGGGGAGGAGCUCGGGGACGAAGCGCCACCGUUAUUGUCGUCAUCUCCAUGAUCCUGGCGAAGGGUCAGGCUUGGCGGCUGGCAGCUACUGUGGUAGGCGACAGACCGGAUGGAGAGGAUGCAAUGUUCGGCACAAUUGGUUCCGGGAAGAUCGGAGGAGUGCCUCAAUCGCGGACUCCACCACGGAGUAGUACCCCGGUAGUAGCCUGUGGCGGUGUCCACCAUGAUGCAGUGUCCUUGCGACAGCUGGACUGGACGCGGCUUCGCACCAUCUGGAGCCUUUCCCACGACGUUGCUCCACCAUGGGUGCGGGAUGCCGAGUGUUCGUAGAUGGUGUCCGAUCCUUGCAUGGGUGUAGACCAAUGUUUCUUAUUCCGGUUUUAUUGGGGGCGCGACGGGGGGAGGGGGGUGCGCGUACCAAGUUCUAAAAAAUCCAGGGUUUUCGCCCAAAAAUCUUCAAAUGACUUUGGAAUUCUAUUUUUCAACGUCCAUAUAUAUUUUCACUUAACCCAUUGCGUACACGAAGUAUUUUCUAUUCAAGUUGUCGAUCAACUAUAGAAGGUUGAGAUUUUUUUUGAGGGGAAGGGAUAAAAGGUUGAGAGUUUGACUUGGUACUUUCGCACCACAACUUUUAAUUUUAAUAAGCUUUGGAUGACGCGAUAAUACUUUAUUUUAUUUUACAAAACGGGGAAUAGAACCAGUGACGUGACCAUAUCACGUCAAGCUCCCUACCGCUAAGGCAAGUGCCUUGUUGCCAUAACGUAUACAUAUUGAAUUCCAAAAUUUUGGGUGGUAACAAAUUUUCCAGGGGCAUAGAAAUUUCCGGCAACCGGCGAGUUACCUGAAAUUCGCACCGAGAACAAAAGGCGGAACUUGCAGCGCCUCGAGGAGGACAUAGAUAUUUUUGUUUGGUGUGGACGGUGGAUGUGAUUUAUUUCCACUAAUAGUAGGUCAUGUCCAUGUCAAAAAAAGAAGAAGCAAUACGCCAUUGUCCAUCUCAAACAAAAAAGCAAUAGGCUACGCCAUGUCAUCAAUCCGUGGAUGGAUGUCUCGACCAAUAGGCUUCAAGUACAUGGAUUAUGUGUUUCUUUGCCAGUCAAUAAGUUUCAAGUACAUGGAUUGUGUGUUUCUUUGGCAACCAAUAGGCUUUAAGUACAUGGAUCCUGCGUUUCUUUAUAAAAAUGAGUGUGUUGUAUGCACUAUGUGUAAAAAUAUUACAUAAUGAAAAGGAAUUAGCAUGAUGCUUAAAAGAAUGAAAGGAAUAAGGAGAACAAAGCUUGUCCUAAAAAAAUAAGGAAAAAGAACAAUUUCACGGUGGACUCUACUACGACAAACCUCAUCGACUCAAUGAAGUUGCAAUUAUGCAAUAACGCACGUAUAGUAGCAGCACCAGGACCCGGCUCAACCGAGAAGUAAGAAGAAAAAAGAGAAGACACCCCAUCUAGCCCGGGCUCUGCCCUCCCUCCGCAUUCCCUGGGAGUCAAAAAUCACUGUUUCGUCACGCUCAUCAACCCUUCAAGGAUAAGUGUGCCUCCCAAAACCAGCCCUACACUAUCGUCCGACCCUACGAGGGUCUAUUGUUGGAGGAAGGUUUCAAGCAUUACCACACGAUGAUAUGAUAAGUGACAUCUUGCACGACGAGGAGAUGGACAUAUUGUAUCAAGGGUUUGCACAACGCCACAGAUAUCUUCACGGAUCAUGUCAUGCUAACAGUAGUUCGAGGCAUGAGGGUACCGUCAAGAUUAUGUCCUUUGCAGAUUUCGAGAGGGAAAAUGUCAUGUUUCACAUGAGACAAAACCUUGCGAGUAGCAAUUAUGGACAAAAGUGGGUUAAAAAUAUUAUAGAUGGUCUUUAGUAUAUGUUUAGCCCAUAUACCACAAAAAAAGAGUCUCAUACACCACGGGUCCAAGAUUCGGCCAUCAAAAUUUAGGUUAUUGUCAUUUUAAUUCUCAGGAAUUCAAAUGAAGCACAAAAGUCCUGAGACUGGACACGGUGUCAUGAUAUACCCCCAGAGGCUUUGGUACAAAUUUGACAAUUUUUUGCAAUAGUGUCAUGUACACUACUUACAAAUCAGAUCAUCUACGAGCAAGAAAUUAGGUUUCAAGAGGAAUCUGAUCCGGUUUGUAUGUAAAGCGACUGCUGAUUUAUUCACUGGCCUUCAAAUUUUGCGCACACUCAACAUGUACUAUUACAUGAAACAUGUCAAAAUUGAUUUUUUUUGGGCCUGUUUGCUAUAUUUAAACCAUUAAGUGCAUUUAUUUUAUCUAAUGGAUAUCACUAAAGUUUCGACUGCAUGUACAUGCAGUUAUGACCAAAAGUAAAUAAAAAUAUACUAUGAUGGUAUUUGUAUAUGUUUAGCCCAAAUACCAUAAAUUAAAAGCAGUCUCAUACACUAGUGGUCUGAGAUCUGGUUACCGGCAUGUAGGUUAUUGCCAGUUUAAUUUCCAGGAAUUCAAACGAACCGAAAAUUCCAAGACUUGGCAAUGGUGUCAAUAUGGCCCUCAGAAGCUAUCGUAAAAAAAAUUGAGAAUGCUUCACAAAAUAAUAUUGCUUACAAACUAGACCAUUUUCGAGGAAGAAACUAGAUUUCGAGAGGGCAUGGGUAAGGUUUACAUCGGAAGCGACCACUGCUUCCUCCAUUGUCCUUCAAUUUUUUCUCGCAUUAAACACGCACCAUUGCAUGUAACUUGUCAAAAUUUGGCAUUUUCGGAUGGUCAUUUGUUAUAUUUAAGCCAUUAAGUACCUCUCUAGAGUUUACUUGAUAUAAUUUGAUUUUGAAUUACAUGUACAUGAAAUUAUAGACCAAAGUGGAUUUGGAAAUAUUAUUUGUGGUGUUUACUACUUGUGGUGUUUACUGGGAUGUAGGUUACUGCCAUUAUAAUUAUAAGAAAUUUAACGAAGCCUGGAGACUUGGCAUGGAGUAAUGAUAUGGUCACUAGAGGAUGUGGUAAAAAAUUGAGAAUAUUUUGCCAAAGUUUUCAUGUAGGCUGCUUACAACCCGCACCAUCUCCAAUGAAGAAAAUUAUGUUUCGAGAAGGAACAAACAGGUUUGUAUGUGAAGCGAUCACUGCUUCCAUGAUUGUCCUUGAAACUCAUUCCAAUCUCAACAAACACUAUUAUGCGUGCCAUGUAAAAAUUUGGUUUUCUGUGUCCGUUAUCUAUAUUUAAUCUAUUAUGGGUAUUUAUUUUCAUUAAAUACCUAGAAAUUGAUUUAAUGUCUUCAAGAUAGCAAAUAAACCAUGAAUAACAAGUGUCAAACUUUAGAGCAUCUACACCCGUAAAUUUUAAAUCUAACCCCUUAUAUGUCCACGGCUGUGUUCAGGCAUAUCGGUGGACCGGUGCCGGUCACCCCUCAUUUGUCAGUGCUGCAACACACUCCACAUGUGCAAACCCCUAUUUAUAUAAUAAUCCAUGCAACUAAAAUUCGUCGUCAUCAUCAUACAUAAGUAAAACGAGCUCUAUUCGAAUAAAAACUAUCCAAGUUCUACUCAUCGUCAGAGAUGUAGAUGACCCCGUGCCAGACAGACCGACCUCGUGGUCAUUUGUGGCGGGGCACACUCCAACUUAUUUUACUCAUGGUCUUCUUUUAGUUUCACGAAGACUCACUUCCGCCUCAUGCCAGCGAGGUGGAUUCGGCAGCGAUUCAUCACCACCUCCUGCUCUGAGUGGAUCGAGUCGAGGAUGGCGGCUUGCUCCACCUCGAACUGCACUCUUGCCUUUACGGCUUUGGCGUGUUGUAACACCACCUUCGCCUCGUCCAUGCCAAAGACAUCGGGCUCAACCUCCAUACCCAUGCCUCCUCCUCCAUAUCCUAUAGAAUCACCUCCUCCUUCUCCAUUACCUCCUCCUACUAUGCCACAAUUUGAGAAGAACGAUUAUAUCUUUGGUGGCACGAAUCUCGGUGGCGGUCUCCGUGGCAUUGGCGUGUUGGAACCCUGCGUACACCUCAUCCAUGCCAAAAACACUGGGCACAACCUCCAUACCCACACCUCCUCCUCCAUAUCCUACAGACCCACCUCCUCCUUCAACACCUCCUCCUCCUCCUCCCAUGGCACUACCUCCUCCUCUUUCUCUGUUACCUCCUCUUAUUACGCCACAAUUUGAGAAGCAUGACGUGCCUCCUCGGUGGCGGUCUCCUCUCAACACUUGGUUGUGAUCAAUUUGUAAUACCUUUUGCCAGACCAUUGCAGACGCCAAGCUCACUUUGGAAAGGGAAGGGGAGGUGGAAGCGAUGGCGGUGCAGACUACAUGGAGAGGAGGGGAAUGGGAGCACCUAGGGUCACCUUCAUCACCCGUCUUAAAUAGCAUAUUUUGGUCUCCUGUGUAGUGCGCUAGAGUGACGACAUGAAUGUGUCCUCACAAAAUAGAAGGAAGAACCCAGGGGACUGAUGGUUUUUUGCACAUUCCCCACCCAUAAGUCCGACGUGGCAGACGCGUUUGGGCAUGCCCGAGCGUUCCCAUAUCCGCCCCGCAUAUGAGAUGGACAUGAGGGAUGUCGGACAACCCAUACGUUUGGGCUGGGUGUGUGGGGGACGGUUGAGUGGUAAUUUUGUGGCCAGGUUGUGUCCCGGNNNNNNNNNNNNNNNNNNNNNNNNNNNNNNNNNNNNNNNNNNNNNNNNNNNNNNNNNNNNNNNNNNNNNNNNNNNNNNNNNNNNNNNNNNNNNNNNNNNNNNNNNNNNNNNNNNNNNNNNNNNNNNNNNNNNNNNNNNNNNNNNNNNNNNNNNNNNNNNNNNNNNNNNNNNNNNNNNNNNNNNNNNNNNNNNNNNNNNNNNNNNNNNNNNNNNNNNNNNNNNNNNNNNNNNNNNNNNNNNNNNNNNNNNNNNNNNNNNNNNNNNNNNNNNNNNNNNNNNNNNNNNNNNNNNNNNNNNNNNNNNNNNNNNNNNNNNNNNNNNNNNNNNCUUCCAAUGAUGUAACUUUAAUGUAGAAAAACUAAAGCAUAAGCCUAAACCUAAAACACUAAAACCCAAACAUUCUAAAAAACUAGCAAAAACACCAAUCACGGGCUAGCCAACCGCACUGGUACUUUCCAUAAGUCAUCUGAAAAUUACCAUUGGAGGCCACAAAAGUCGCGACCGCCACUGAUACUUUUGUUACUAGUGCCGGGCUGCAGUCCGUGUCAGCCACUAGUAUUUUCAUCCACAAAAGCCAUGAGCCAAAAUAUGAGUGGCGGGCACAUUUGCGAACGCAAGGUCACGUCCGCCACUGGUACUUGAGUUACAACUGGCAGGGACCGCGGGGUAUGAAUCCACGCCAAUGAUUACUUCCUUUGGUGAUCCAAAAAUAGGGUAGAAAGGAUUCUCUCCUUUUUUUCCCAGAGGUGACCCUGAGUUAUUGAUCCAACGGGAGGAUGAUGCCCUUUAAGCUAGGGUCUUAAGCAAGCUUUUGUUAAAGAAAUAAUUAUAGCUUUUGACCGGAUCGAAACCAAACAACUGUUGAAAGACAGUUAUAAUAAAAAAUAGGCAUGGGUAUGAGGUCUUAAUGCUUACAACCAUAUAUUUGUGUUAUGAUUAGAUAUGAUCUUAAUUUGUGCUCUUGAAGUCACCCAUCAAGAUGUGCUUGUUAUGUACCGAAGUGGGGGAUGUGUUCAAAUUAUGUCUUGACCGACACGCGUCCUGCAUCAAAAGUUAGUUGUCCAACUGAAUGCCCUAUCUGUUGCACGGGGUUACCUCGAUAAUUAAGAUUGCUAUAAUUAGACAAAAGCAUUGGGCAUUUAUGACUACAUGUCUUGUGCCCCAGGGAUAGGAUCCGUGUUACCGUACUAAACCUUUCUGUCACUAGUAUUCACAAUAACACUUCAUGGUCUCCCUGCCCUUAGCCUCUCCAUGGCUCGUCCUACGUGAUUCUGGGUACCUGCAUGGAUGAAGAACGCGAACGAGACAAGAGACAGCUAUGGAACCAUUUUAUUUCACACAUACGAGAUGUUAAUUCAAAACCCUUCCGUUGAUCCCCACAACAAAUACUUCUGGUUGCAAGGCUUUUGCCUCAACCCAUACCUUACCGAACUACUCACACAUGAAGAUCACACAAAGAACACAUCAUGAAGAUUGAUAUAUUGAUAAUAUGUCUUACAAUAGAUGUCGUGUGUGAUACACGAUUACAAGUAUGACUACAUUGCUGAGAGCUAUGGUGGAGGUGAAGGUGAUGGCUAUGGAGAUGGGAAAUGGCGGUGGCUAGGGUUGUUGAAGAUGGCUACGGUGAUUAUGAAGAUUGGUUGUUUCGGUGGCUCUCUGUUAUCCAUUUGGCGAAGGCACGUUUAUAAAGGUUAUUCAGGUGGACGAGGAGCAUCGGUUUCCACGUCAUACGGCCGGUCAUAUGAGCGGACACGGUUGUAUGGAAUACCGUCUUUUCUGGUAUUUCUUUUAGUGCACCUCCACUUGUUCCCUCUCCACAAAUCCAAAUUCGAAACCGCUCGAGAAAAAACCUAUGUUGUUUUUUCCUCAAAAAAAAUAAAAAAACUAUCUUGUGUGGCUAUCGAGGCGGACAGAGGCACAGAGCCCCUGUCCAAUUUCUUUCCCUUCAUAUCUAUACCUAAUAAUAAAGGGCCUAUUGCUUCUGGCGGUAUGUUAUUAAAAUUGCAAAAUAUUACCCAAUGCCACCUAUAAGUGACAAAAACGUUUUGCACGGGAUCCCCCGCCUGGGCCGGCCCAAGCAUAGGAACCUACUAUACCGUUUGGGCCGGCACAUGUGCGCACGCCAGUUUUUUAGUUUCUUUUUUAUUUUUAUUUUUGUUUUUUACUUUAAAUAAUUAGCAAUUUCCAAAAACUUUUGAAAUUUUAAAAAACUGAGUAUUUUUGAAAUAAAAUGUCCAAGAAAACACAAAAUGUUUGUGAAUUUAAAACAUGCUCGGGAUUUUUCUAAAAAUAUUCGCAUCUUCAAAGAAAUGUUCAUGAUUUCGGAAAAAUGUUCGUAAAAUAAAAGAGUAUAUCAGUUUGAAAAAAAGUCCGUGUAUUAAAAAUUAUUAAUUAAACUGAAAAAAUGUUUGCUAAUUCGAAAAAUAUCGUAAAUUUUGAAAAACAUUUCUUGAAUUACAAAAGAGUUUAUUGUUUCAUAAAAUGUUUAUUGAUUCAGAAAAUGUUCAUGCAUUUCAAAAAAUGUUCGUGGAUUUCAAAAAAUAUCCAACAAUUUCGAAAAAAAUGUUCGUCUAUACUAGAAUUGUUCGCCGAUUCAAAAGAAAAUGCUUAAAAACCGUCUGCAAUGUAAAAAAUGUCACAAUUUUUAAAGUUUUUUUUUGUAAAUAGUAAAAAAUGUUCCCAAAUUUGUGAAGUGUUCACGAAUGAUCGAAUACGUAGUUAAACAGUAAUGCUUCUGAGUGUUUGUGACUUACACCCGCGUGAAUUUUGAAGAGUUAACUGCCGGGUGGAUUGGAAUAUUAUAGUAUGCUUUUAAAACAAUGUUUUCUGAAUUUCAUAACAAUUCUUUGAAGUACCAAGUUUUUUCACAACCACGAUAUUUUUUCGAAAAUGUGAACAUUGCUUCAAUUUUGAAUAAAUUUCAAAAAAGAAAUAUUUUCUUGUAUUUGUGAACAAAUUUCCAAAUCAUGCGAUGAUGAGAUGUGAACAGAAUAUGAUCAUCGCCAUUGAAGAUUGUGACUUUUUUUUCUCCCGUUGCAACGCACGGACUCUCUUUUGCUAAUCAUCAAUCAGAAAAGAAAAAGAUAGCAUCUGCCUUUCUCCCAACAAGAAGAAACCGCGUAACAAUUCCACCGUCCAUGAUUCUUUUCUGCCUGACCAGUGGGCCCAGCAGGUUGAUCGGUGUCAUCUGAUCUGACUAUAUACUGCCUCCGUUCGCUUUGCUCCGUCCUGCCCACUCCCCCGCUCGCUUUCCGCCACACCCGCGAAAACCCUACCUCCGGAGGCAACGCCGGGCAAGAUGAAGGGCGGCGGCGAUAUCGAGGCGGGCACCGCGGCACCGAAGGGGACGACGGAGAGCCCCGAGCUGCGCUGGGCGCUCAUCCGGAAGAUCUACGUCGUCCUCUGCCUGCAGCUGCUCCUCACCGCCGCCGUCGCGGUCGUCUUCGUCAAAGUCAGCAGCAUCCCGCGUUUCUUCGUCUCCUCCUACGCCGGCCUCGGGCUGUACGUCUUCAUCCUCGUCUUCCCCUUCGUCGGUGAGGCCUCAAACCAUUUCUCCUCCAUUACGAAUUUGUGAUCCAAUUGCAGCGAGGGUUUUCUCUUUUUGGUAAAAGAAACAGAGUAUGUAUGUCAAGGCCUACAGGGGCUGUACAAAAUUAAGUUACGACAUACAACAAGUGCGUUUUAAACGCCACAAAACAAAUAUGUUGCACAAUUAUCGGAAUCCACGGUCCCAAUUUGGUAGAUCUGAAGAAGAUUUUCGUUUCGCUCUGUGAACUAGCCACUGGAGCUCUUUCUUGAUUGUACGCCUGCAAGCAUAAAGACUUGGAGUGAAUCCCCUGAAAAUAAAAGGUCGUUGCUUCCGGGCAUUUCGACGAAUUUGUAUGCGUGCCAUUUCAUCAUGUCCUUCCCGCAAAAAAUAAAAGAUUUAAUUAUGUCUGAUUUUGAGGGCCUUGGUCACAGGACAGGACUAACUUUCCCUUUGCUUUCUUUGCAUUCUCGUCCCUGCAAAGCUAUGGAUUUUUUGCAGGAACGUCCCAUGCACUCUUAAUUUUGCUAUACUACUGUAGAUUGGGACGUGGUAGCUUUGUGAAUUGCAGCUGGAAGUUAUUCUGUUUCUAAAAUGCCUGUUAAUUUUUGGUAUGCAGUGCUGUGCCACUUGCUAAAAUGCUUGUUGUUUUUACGCAGUGCUGUGCCCGCUGCACAUCUACCGCCAGAAGCACCCAAUCAACUUGCUGCUUCUUGGCGUCUUCACAGUGGCCAUCAGCUUCUCUGUGGGCUUGACAUGUGCCUUUACCAGUGGUACUCUUUCUGCUCCUAGCUUCUUCUUGAGUCGCUCUGCUGCUUAUGUAUAUCAGCACAUGCUAUCAUCAGAAUCUGAUAGCUCCUGCACCAUCAAAUUCUUGAGUCACAUCUGCCAACUCCUAGCCUGUUCACCAUGUGCCUUUAAUGCCCCUCUCAUUGUGUUAAUUCAUUACAUAUCCAUGGCUAGUAGAUAUUUUCGUACUAUUAGCUUCCUACUGUUAUCGUAUGGCAAUUGUGCUAGUCACCAUGUGCGACAAUUGAUAGUUUCAUACUGUUAUUGUGAAGCAUUUUGUUUGCGUGUGGACUGGGUUCAGAAAUACAUCCGCUGCCAAUUUGCCAUACCCGUGCAAAUGGUAGACACGGCCAGGCAGCCCAUGUGACUGUAGUUGAUGCAUUUUCCUAGUCUGUGUUGAGGGCAAAUUGUAGUUGUUGGUCACCAUUUAUGAUUGAUAUGCUUGUCUGAGUUAGAAGCAUUUGUAGUAUUGCCAGCUAGCAGGAUUACCUUUUUAGAAGAGCUGGCUUUGCUAUUUUCAGCGGUUACUUUUUCACUAAGAAAUUGGCAAACAGUAACCUUUGCUUUUCAUAGAACAUUGGUUGGAACUUGCAUAUAUUUUUACUGUUUCUUCCGGCAACUAUUUGUUUUAAGAUACAUAGUGUUAUGAUAGCAAUAAUAUGUCAGCCGAGCUGCUCUUUGAUCUGAAGGGCCGAUUUGUCCAAUAAUAUGCCAGCCGAGCUGCUCAAGUUGACAUGGUUUUGGUAAGGACGUGAUUUAGGCUGCAGGACUAGCUUAAACUUUUAUCAAGAUAGAAAGGAUUUUCAGUUGAUAUAUCAUACUAGUGUCGUGAUAAGACAAUAGAUGCUUCAUGCAUGUGCUGGUUAAAUCUCAUUGGAUUAAAGUGAUUGAAAAUACAUAAUCUUUCGAUUUAGACAUAGUUAUAUUGACAGGCACUCUGUGAUCUGUCAUCCAUUUGUGUUUGCGUUAGUGUUCACCACUGCAUUUUGGGGUUGUACCAAUUCCAAGGUUCUUUCUAUCUUGUACCACAUCGCAGGAGGUUGCUGCUAGUUUGCUUCUUCAAUGCAUCACUGCCAUUUACUUCAGAUUUUAGCAUGCAUGUGCUUUAUUGUUUAGUCAAAUUUACAUGAUAGUUCAUUUAGAGAUGUAUGCGAUGGUAAGAAAGCAAUUAGUUCAUUUAGUAGCCGUCCUCUUAUAUAUAUAUGUGUGUGUUUUGUACUUUGUUGGUAGGAUGGGUUUUCUUUGAUAAAGAACCACUGCUAAAAUAGUCCGCUAUGUGUGCAGGCAAGGUCAUUUUGCAGGCUGGGAUUCUUACAAUUGUGGUUGUCUUGAGCCUCACUGCUUACACCUUCUGGGCUGCAAGGAGGGGCAAGGACUUUAGCUUCCUUGGUCCUUUCCUAUUUGCUUCUCUGAUGAUUUUGCUCGUCUUUGCUUUCAUUCAGGUUAGAUGCCGUCCGUUCCCUUCUCUAGUUAGGUGUGUCGCCCAUUUACCUAUCAGUCUUCUCUAUUCUAUAAUGCAAGUACUGAUCAUGACUUCUGUUUGCAGAUCUUCUUCCCGCUGGGCAAGCUCUCUCACAUGAUCUAUGGCACGCUGGCGGCACUCAUCUUCAGUGGCUACAUUGUCUAUGACAUGGGCAGCAUCAUCAAGCGUUACAAGUAUGACGAGUAUGUCUGGGCUGCCGUCACGCUCUACCUUGACAUCAUCAAUCUGUUCCUGGGCCUGCUGACUCUGUUUAGGGCGUGUGACAACUAGGCACGUCUCCCUGCCCCUGCUCUCUCGUGCUUCAAAUCCC